This 137047-nucleotide long non-coding RNA is filed under the name Cucumis sativus (cucumber). RNAcentral describes it as "long non-coding RNA (CSAT_LNC002372)". Lineage: Eukaryota; Viridiplantae; Streptophyta; Magnoliopsida; Cucurbitales; Cucurbitaceae. The record is from RNAcentral.
UUUUUUUUUUUUUUGUCUUUGUCCAUCCAAGAAAAUUGUAAACCCAUCAAAAAUUGAAAACAAAUAUAUUAAUUUUUUCGAUGAUGACCAUUGCAAUUAAGAAAAUUCAUCCCUUGAUGGGUCUGUCCAUCAAGAAAACCUAACUAACUUGAAAGAUACUGCUAGACAACUAAUAUAUUAUUCUUGAUGUUUAUUGUCUAUUGAGAAAUAGUUUUCUCGACAUUUGUGAACCAUCAACAAAAUUGAGAAAACUUUGCCUAUCAAGGAAAUCAAGAAUCCACAUUUUUUCUUACGUUUUUUCGUAUUUCUUCGACAAAAUAAGGAGACUUUUCUUGACGUACAUACCCGUCAAGAUAAACAUUGUAUUAAGAAACAUACUUUUCUUGAUAUCCCUUUGCCAUGACCAUCAAACAAUCAAAAUUUGCGUGCAUCGAGAAAGACUAAAUUUGUAGUAGGUCCUCUCUUUUCAAAUUUACUAUUGAUGUCACGUGAAAGGUUAUGUAUAUUUUAUCUUCACCACACCUUGGUAUCAACCCAAACUAUUGACCUCAACUUUUGUAAGAAGGGAAAAGAAACUAAGGUAGCCAGCUUUUCAAUGUAUAAGCAUGUCCCAAUAAUCUUGAAAAACAUAUUCACCCUUUACAUUGGUCAAGUAAACUCCAUCCUGUCUUGCACUCCAAGAACAAGUUAAAUUGCCACAAAAAUUAUUCAAGAAAUUGUGAUUAGUUUUAAAAGAAUCAAAUUCCAAUAAUCCGUUCUCCCAUUCCAAUAUGCAACGAAAUUUAGUAGUUUCAAAAUCGUUAUCUUGGAACGACCAAUCUUGUAGCUCACCUGGAAAAAGUAUAUGCAACCCUAAAUCGUUAUCUUUCGAGAAGCAAUGACUGUCUAACAAGUACAUUUCCAAGUCGUUGUGAAUUUCGAUUUGAUAAUGGUGAAGUUGAAUGAUGGAUGAUUUUUGUGGUGCAAACGAGAAUCUGGCCAUCGACAUGUCGAAUAAGACAAUGAGGAAGAGAAAUAUCAAUAAGACGAGUAGAUGUGGUGCCAUUGUUGAUGUGUAGGAGAAGAAUCCUUGUAUGUCUAUUUAUAAGGUUAUUAUUUUUGUGCUUUUUUUUCACUUUGAAAUAGGAAGAGUUUAGUUGAUUAUUUUAGGAAAUUAGAGGCCUUUAUUUUGUUAUUUGUUUUAAUUUAUAUGUAGGUUGUUUUAAGUGUAUGAGAUCCAUUUAGUAAGAGAAGAAUAUUUGUUGGAGGUUUUGUUUUGUUAUGUGUGGAGCUUGGAGAGGAUAAAGAUGGUGAAUUAAUAAUGUGAAAGAAUGGUGGCCAUUACAUUAUAAAUAGUUUUCUUCCUAUUCAUUAGAAAUAAUUAAAUUAUAAAUAUAGUUUCUAAAAUUUUGAAGUUUGUCUAUUUGGUUAUUCAACUUUUAAAAUUACAAAUUUUGAUCUUAUACUCCAAUUUUUUUAAAAAACACAAGUGAAUGACUUGUUACAUUACACAUGCAAUACACAUAUAUCUAAUAAAUCAAUUAAUUUUUAAAAUUUUGAACUUUUCACGAAUUUAUUAGCCAAAAAAUUUAUAGUUCAAUGAUUUAUUAAAUACAAAAUUAAAGUUCAAAUGUCGUUUCUAUUAAACGCUUUUAUUUGUUUAUAAAUCAAAUUAUAAAUAUUAAAUUCAAAGUUUAGUACUCAAUUUGUAAUUUAAGGAUGAACAAACAACAUUUUCACAUGCAAGGUCAUCGUGCAAAUAUUAACCAACAUAGUUACAAAGUUAAAUUUCAAUACGAGCAUAUAGUUCAAAUACGUACAUUGCCUUUCCCUUUACAAAGUCGACCAAAAAAAUGCUACUUGAAUGUUUUUGGCAUGCAACCCUAAAUAAAGAAUUGCAAAAAGAUGGUGAUGAGACUUUGUCAUCUACCAAAGAAUUUCUAUUGAUGGAAAAUUUCUAAACUUCAAUUGUCAAAAACUUACUUAAAUAACCUAAAGCAAGGCUUAAAUAGCCUCCCAAUAAAAAACCAAAUGAUUUGAUGUGAUGUGGUUCAGUCUCUAGAAUUUGAUUCUCUGAUUCAAUUUCGAUUGAAUGCUUAUGCUUGAUUUGAGGAAGUGGAACACGUGAUGUUCUUGAAGUUUGAGUCUUGGAAGAAAGUUUAUAUUUUGAAAGAAGCUUCAAUCUUCAAGGACGAUUGACUUUAAGAGUUAGGGAGUCUUCUAGCUCUUGAGAGAAUUCUCACUAGAUAUUCUAGAGUAAAAAAUUUUCAACCCUUACAAAUGAUUGUCCACAAAUCCUAAGAUUACAUCUUGUUUCUUAAGUCCUACUGAUUCACUAUUGAACAAUUGGUUUUAGGUCCAACCUAUAAACCAAAUAUCUCUCAGGCUAGUGAGAGGGUAAGACUCCUUGUUCAAGACUUGGAUCUAAUCUUUAAGGGAACAACCUAUCUACUAACCCUAAAGCGGGUAAGAGUGAAUUUCAUCUUGCACACCCGAUGUCCAUAACCAUCAACCGGUCUCUACCCCUAAAGUGGUAGGGCUUAUUAGGCUAGCAAUGUUGAGCUAUCCUCACCUAUGCAGAUAUAAGUAUAAUUUCAUUUAAAGAGAAGUUCAUAGUUAGCUCAAGAUUAAGAUUAUGUUACCUAGGUCAUAAUAAUUGAAAUAGACAGUUUUAUAUAAUCAAUGUACGGUGUUAUAACUUAAAAAUGACUAUUUCAUGGUUUUAGUCUUAUGUAAACUCUUUACAUAGAAUGUCCCCACUUUCAUAUCUCUACAUGAACGAUUAGGGAUCACAUUAUUUGCAUUAACUACAAAGUGGGUUACAUCCAUAGUGUUCUUAGAAGAAGGCACCCAAACUUAUUCAUACACUAUAGACCGUUUGGGCUAUAUACUCGAACUUGAUCCACAUUUAUGUUUACAUAAACUUCAAGUCUACACUAGAUAGUCUCGGGAUCUUAGUUUAUUGAAUUUAAGAUUAUAGUAUUCUAUUUUCACUAUUAAGUCCUCAAUAACCACUUUAUUAUAUAGAAUAUAAUAUGAUUUUGUAAACUAUGAGUUUUAGGACAAAAAUUCCAACACAAUUAUCAACAUAAACCCAUAUAUAACACUUAGAGCUAGAAAGUCAAGAGUUUAACAUCAUUAGUGAAGAAAGAGAGGGAGAAGAGUACCCACCCUUGAUGAUUCCCUUUCUUCACGUUUUCCUAUCCCCAAUACUUCUUUAACCAUAAUGAACUUCUCAACGAACAAGGACACAACCAUAGAUGUAUGGGCUUUAGCACCUUGAUAGAGGAAGAAAGAUAGAGAAAAUUUCUUGAAAGAGUAUGAGUAGGGGUGUACAUAAUUCAGGUUGAGCUGGGAAUUGGAGGAAAAAUAUGGACCAACUAGAAGUAUAUGGGUUGGCAAAAAAUGAACCUUAUCGAUUUCAUGUGCAAGUGUCCACCCAACCCAAACAAUUCGGGUUGGGACAAUUGGGUUGGCGAGUUACUCUUUUUUUUUUUCUUUAAUUCAUAGGGAAUUUCAUAAUCUUAGUCGAUCAAUAUCUGUUCGACGUGAUGUUUUGGGUUAGAUACUAAGAUUAUCACUCAUGGCUAAAUUGAAUUCAGAAACCCAAUUUCAAGCCAAAACAAAAACUUAAAUCAAAGUAUUGCUUCAUGUGUUUUCCAGUAGAAAAAAAAUGGACAAAAUCACACGAAAGUGUAGUGUAAACAAAUCUGAUAAUCUACAAGUUCAAUGAAAUUCCCAAAUUGAAUAAACAACAUAAAAUAUGAUUGAAUACAAACAGUAACAAAUUCAAUCGAAGUUAAAGAAAAUUGCAUACGAAAUUUCAAUAGAAGAAAUUAUUUCAUUGAACGAAUUAAGUACCUUAUUAGAAGGUAUAACCGAAGCUAAGACCAAACAGAAGGCAGAUCCACAAAUUCUAAAUCCUAACAAGAUCUUCCACAAUUUCUCUUAAUCCCUCUUAAUGUUCUUAAUCAACAAACUCUCCAAUAACUUCCAUCUUCGCCUAACCUUACUCUCUAACAUCGUCAUUGAAAGGAUAAAAGCACUAUGACAGUGGAAGAAUUUAAAAAACCGUUACUCAAAUUAAUUUGGAAAUCUUAAAAUACUAGUACAUUGGCAAAAAUUUAGAACUAAAAUUCUAAACAAAAACUAAGCAUGCUUUUAAAUUAAAAGAUACGGAUAACUUACUUUCAAUGACGUUUUCUAUCAUCUGGGAUGAGAUUGGUUUGUGGGAACCAAUUGGGAUGAAAAAAGAUUUAGAGAUAUUUGAGAGAAACUCAUCUUUUUGCUUUCAUGAAUUUGAAUAAAUAUCUCUCCAAUAUCUUAUAGAUUUAUAUUAAUGUAAUUAAUUAAAUAUGAUUUAAUUAAUAUUUCAUUCCAAUCUUAUAUGAAUGAAUAUCUAUGCAAUAUCUUAUCAUUUUAAUUAAAUAAAACUAAACUAUUAUUAAUUCUCUAAUUAAUUAAUGGCUAAAUUAAAUAUCUUAUAUUAAAUUUGAAUCAUAUUCAAAUAUAAGUUUCUCAUAAUUAAUUUUAAUAUGAAUCAAAUUCACAUUAAAUUAAUAUUUGAACUCAUUCAAAUAUUUUAUCUCUCAUAAUUUAAUUUUGAAUCAUAUCCAAAAUUAAACUUAUAUAAUAAAGUUAGAUAAAGUUUAUAUUAUAAUGUAUCACUCUAUAUUAUACUAAUUCUCAAAGUAAAUAGAUCUUAUUACCCUUUACGAGCUAGGAAGGGAACCUAAUGGACCUAAAAUAAGCACAUGAAUAUCCUCUUUGUCACUAAAUCCACACAUUUAGCUAUUUCUUUUGCAACAUAUUUUGAUCCAAACACAUAAUCCUAUUAGAUUAUUCAAAUCACCAUUCCAAUUACAAGGUAACAUAUUAACAUCAAUAUAAAUAUAUAUAGAAUAUUACACUUAUGUGUGAUUACAUUUAUUUAAUGUGAGUUAUUCUUUUGGCUUUUGUUUAGAUUUUUCAUUAUUAUUACUAUUAUUAUUAAUAUAUAUAAACUUGCAACCAACUUAAUGAAUCAAAUGCAAAGGUUAGAUUUCAUUUCACAUGUCGACAUGUUCAAACAGUUCAAUAUGGACGGAAUGUGAUCUUUUGAUAUUUUAAUUUUACAUUUUUAUAGGCUAAUUUGGAUGUUUGUAUUAACCAUCAAUUAAUUAAUUUAAAAUAAUAAUGAUGUAAACUAUUUUGGUUACAUUUUUAAAUUAAUUAUUUAGGGAGAAGUAAAGUAAAGUUUUUAAAGGAUUUAUGGGCUGCCAAUUUGGAUAACCCAUAUGGUGAUUGAGCUUGAUGUUUACUUCCAACAACCAAUUCGACAAUUCAAACAUACCUUAAUUCAAGUUUUUUUUCUCUAUAUAUUCAAAUAAGAUCAAUACAUAGAAAACAAACCUUUUAUUUUUAUUUGUAAAAUAUGAUAUUUAACGUCAUAUCAAUACUUCAAAAGUACUCCAUGAUAAACAAAUCAACACCUAAACACAGACUUCUUAAAUGAACUUAUGAUAAAAUAAUCAAACUCUCGAAACAUAAGCUUCACGGAUGAUAACACCAAAAAUAUGAUAUCUAACCUCUCUUAAUUCGAGAUUCUUCUAGAACUUUAUGUUUCUAUUUGGUUAUUUUACAAGUUUGAACACAUUAAGGGUAGAGUCGGACUAUAAUAACAAAAUGGAACUAAAAUGGACAAGAACUGUGUCUAAUUCCAUCGAUCGAGGUCAAAGCAUCAAAUAACGUACAAUUUUGUCUCUACCAGCUUGCACCGUUGCACCGUUCAAAGGCAUAAUGCCUCCUUUGCCCGAAAGACACACAACACUGUGAUGCUUUGAAAACAAUUCGCACGAUCUUUUCGUCGAGCAUGUGAAUCAUCGUGACACUGUCCCUAGCAUCGUAGAUCCAUCUCGAUGUUAUAAUUAAAGCAAUGUUUUGCCACCUAGGUUGGAGAAAAUUCGUCCCAGCCAGCUCUUAACACGAUUCCUUAUAUUUUUCCACUAUUUUGGUUUGUUCAUGUAUCAAUUCAAUUCCUUGGUGUUCGUUAUGAAUAUUAUGGGCUAAAAUAUUGUAUUUUGGCUUGGGUGUUUAUGUCUCUUUCUCCAUUUCGAUCUAUGUUUUAGGUUUCGUAUUUAACUUUAUGUUGUAUUGUUGAUUUAGUUUUGUUUUCGAUAGAUUUUGAUUAUAGUAUCAGAUGUAUAGAAAUUUUAUGACCACUGCUUUGAUUAACUUAUGAUUUGUGAUUGAUUGUAUGUUAAUUACAAGAAGUGUGAAGUUAUGUUGGCUUGCAAAUCGAAUUAGAUGAGUAUUGAUCUAACUAACUUAGGAUUGAAUAGAUCAAAAUAUUUAGUUAGACGUUUAAAAGUUAAUUAGUUCAUUUAGUGUGCCCUAAAUCUUAAUGCAAUUAGGAUAAUUCGUUUACAUACGCAUGUUUUUCAUCUUGUUCGGUUGAACUAAUUAGUUAGAUUAGUUUUUCUGAUUAAGUUGGUUGAGUGUAAGAAAUAAAUCACGGUGGUUAGAAUUAUAUGAUCAACUACAUUGAACUGGAAGGAUUUGUCACAACCCAAACUACACUUUUUUUAAAAAAAUUGAUUCACAACCUUUACCUUUACCUUUUUGUUUUCUUGCAAUUUCAUUUAUUGCUAAUUCAUCACCAAACCCUCCUCCGAUUUCAUUGGUUACUCUCGAGAUGUGAGCUAUUUAUUUGAGAAACUAACACACUUCUUGUGUUCAAAUCGAUUUUACCACUAAGAUUGGUGCUUGUGUGGUAGAUUCAGUUUGGUAUUUGACUUGAGUUUAGGCAAUGAAAUUCGCCUAACCAUAUAUUAGACUUUAGAACUCAAAUUAAAAAAUACUUUGCAACCCCUCAAACAUACCCUUUCAACUCCAUAAACUAUAAUAACCAACUUUGCACUCAAAUAGUUGGCCCUUUAAAAUAUAAGUUAACUUGAAGUAGGAGAAAUUAAUCAAAUAGAAAAUGAACUCAAAACUCAAAUGGUAAAGGUAUAACAUUUUCAAGUUUAGAAACCAAAAUAUCAACUAAACCUGAAACUCAUAAAUAAAAGUAUAUUAAUUACUUUUGAAUGUCAGGACACCAAAAUCUACUGCAUAAACAAAUGUGUACAGUAUAGUUUCAUAAAUAUUUUCUGUACACAUGUAUAGAUCAUAUAUAAAUACCCAAAAUAGAACAACCUCAUAAUUGUAAGAGAAGUAAAAUAAUGAUAAUGAUGAGGACAACAACACAAUAAGAAUAAAAACAAUUAAACCAAUGAGAAUCUUCAUCUUCCUCAUUUGAAAAAGAUAAGAUGAGAUGUGUUCCUAUCUCCAUAGGUUUUUUGGGUGGCUACUCUAUUUUACAAAAUUAGCUACAACUCCUCAAACUAUCUUUCCUAUCUACUAUGCCCAAUGAGCUGUCUCUUAAAAGUAUAUACCAUUAUAUACUCAACUAUUACCAAUCGCUUCCUUUGAGCGGUGGAAACAAGUUACAACUUCACACAACUAACCAAAUGUCAUUCCAGUUAUUCAAUAUAUGAACUCUACCGCAAACAAAUAGAUUUCGUUCUAUAAGAAAAGCACCUUAUCUAGUAAAAAAAGAAAAAUCUUAUAUUGAGAAGGACAGAGAUCUUAAAAUUGAAUAUAUUUGUGAGGUGACAAAUGUAAGAAUCCAAGUUAUUUUCGAUAAAACAAUAAUAUACAAAGUUAAAAUAAAUAUAUAAUUCUUGUUUUUAUGAAAAAAAGAUUGUAUUAAGCUUUGACACACUCAUUAAGAAGGGUACAAGUAGAGAACAAUAACAAUAUGUGAAUUUCUCCAACAAAUUAGAUUGUUAGAAAUGUAUGAGAAUUAAUAAAAACCAGAGCAAGAAGAAUAAAGAUUUAAGGCCAAUUAAAAUCAAGAAAUCUAUCCACCGCCACACAAUUUGGUGAGAAAUAAUCGACAUCAUAUAUAUACAACACACUUUUCAUUAUGUCAAAUACAUAACUCCUCAAACCCUAUUCAAAUCUAUCUUCAAAUUUUGGAUGAGGUAGAAAAAGUUGCACAUGUAAGGUAGAAAAAACAAAAACAAACAUUCAAGCUCAAGUAAAAAUUCAUAUAACUUGACAUAGAAAAAGAAACAAAACAAAAAGGGUUUAAUGUUAGAAAACUUAAAUUAAUAAUAAGUUUUGGAAACACAUAGAUCCAAAUCUAUAGUUUGCAUGUGCACCAUGAAAAUAAUAUGAAUAUAAAAUUUAGAAAUAAUCGAAAUUGUCGUAAAUUUGACAAAAAUUUGACAAAAAUAAGUUUUAGAAUUAGACUUAUAGUCCAAACUUAUUGUCAGGGUAAAAAUGACAAAAAAUAAAUCAAUCCAUUAAAUAUCAAGAAAAAGUAAUAAUAUACUUAAUAACAUCUAAUACAUAACACUUUGUAUAUAUAUUUGAUAUACUUAUAAUAUACUAUUGAUAUACAUUUGAUAUCUUUCAUAAACUCGAGACACUUCAUACACUAACAAAUGUUAUAUCUAGAAAAAAAAAUAAGACAAAUGUGUUACCCACGUUGAAUGUUAGAUUUUUAAUUUGUCAUUGGCUGUAAUUUUUUCAUGGACGGAUCCAUGCACAUAGGGGCCACGGGCAUAUCAUAUGUCUCCCCAACUUAAUUAUUAGUUUUUGUAUAUUUAACAUAAAUUUUAAGUACUUAUUUAACAUAAUUAAAUAUAUACAAAAUCAAGUUAUUAAAAUAUCAAGGUGAGUAGAGGUAGAGGAGCACACCGUGAACGCAUUCGUCGUGGCUUCAAAUUCUUUCCCAUAAAUUUUUUAUUAACUUUAGAGUUAAAGCUAAGAUAAUAUCUUCUUCUUCCAUGGUCAACAUAUACAGUACAUAGCAUUUACAAGUAAGUUUCAAAUUUUUCUCAAACUUUUUAGUUUUCAUACAUUUAAAUUUAAAUUUAUGUAAUAAAUCUUAAUACUUUGCUUCUAAUUGAACCUUAAUUUUUUAGUUUUGAAAUGACCAAUAAAUAUAUUAUUUUAUUUAAAAAAUGUUUGGUACUAACAAACAAUAAAGAUGUUAAAUUUACUGUAUAUUUUUUAAAGUUCAAAAACUAUAUAUAGCACCGAUUGAAAUAUUAAUGGCCUAAAAUUUUGACCUUACAUAAAGUUAUGCUCUUAAAUCAAAUCAAAUAUGCAUAUCAUUAAAUGUUGCACGCAAUUUACUUGAAUUUAAUUACAAAAUUGAAAAAGAAAUAGUAAAAUUUAUUAUAGAUCACUCUAAAAAAAAUAGCAAAUUAUUAAAAUUAUUUACAAAAUAUAAUAAAAUUCAUCAAAUUAUUUCCAACUCAUUUCAAUAUCUUACUAGUCAUUCACAAUUUUCUAUUUACAUAAAAUCAAAUAGUAGAGCAAAGAGUAAUAUAUAUAGUUUAUCCUCUUUGAAUAUAUUUCUAUACAUUACACACCAUAUAUGGGUAGAAAAAAUGUAUAUAUCGGUGUAACAGUAAAAUAGGUCAUGUUCUUAAAAGUCGUAAACCUUUUUAGAAAAAACCACCCAAUUUCUCUCACAGUUUUGUUCUCUCUUUUUGCAAUAUAAUGGAUAUAUGGAUUUCAUUUUGUUGCUUCUGCACCAUCUAUUUUCAAUCUUUGAAAUACUCGCAAUUAUUUCCAUAUACAUCCAAAUUUUAUCCAUCUAAUUAUUAACACUUAUUAUUCUCCCUUUAAAAAAAUUAUUAACAUUUAUUUCAAAUGACUCAUCAGACUUCCUCCUAGACUGUUCUAUCAAAAUCAAAUAAUUGUAUAUAAAAUAUUAUAUAAAUAAAUAAAUGUAGUAGUUGUAUUUAUACGUAUCAAAAUAAAAUAAAAAAUUCUUGAUUCUUUCUCUUCACACAUUGUCGACAUAUAAUAUAUAUUGUUUAUUCAUUCAAUCCGGUCCCUCUGGAAAAAGUAGAGACAUUAGUUCAAGUCCUAUUUUUUUAAUUAUCACAUCCAUAUACUUCAAUUUUAUUUUACUUAUUUUGCUUUAAAUGUUCCAUUUUGUUUUCAUUACUAUAGAAAAACAACUAAAUAUUAUCGAUUUUAAAAAGUUAAAUAUUUAUCCAAUGGUUGAACUAAAUUGGAGACUAAUAUACGUUGCCCAUACCCCUCACCAAUAUAUCUUCGUGAAAUCUAUAUCCACCAACCAAAUAUAUUUUAAACGUAUAUAUAAUUUGACAUGUUAUGUCAUAUUUUAAAAACCAAUAAAAUUACUUUUUUUUUUCUUUGAAAUCUAUUCCAUAUUUAAGAUUUGAAUUUGAUUUCAACUUAGUAAUAAAAUAUUAAAGGAUAUAAUUUUAUUCCUAACAUUUAAAUUUUAUUUGAAAAUUGGAUCCCAAGAUGUUAAGAUUAUUGUCAAAUUUGAUUUCAACAUCUGCGCCACAUGCCACUUCAAUUUCCUACUUAAAUACAGCUUUCUCAUCCAUACUUAAAAUCUGGUAUGUUCAUUGAUUACUGCCUAAUUAAAUUUCAAUUUCUUGUGGGUCUUUACUUUCUUUUUUUAAACAUUUUUUCCCAUGGGUCACCAACCAUGUUUUAUGGAUUAUGAUCUAAAUUGAUGGUAAUGAACUCUAUAAGUCAUAGAACUCAACCUAUGCAAUUCUCCCCCUCUUCUCUUGCCAAAAGAAAACACUAACCACUAAUAUAAAGAGUCACUGAACUACUAAUUUACUUGUAGAAAUGUAUGGGAUACAUAUUAAUUAAUUGAUAUCUAAAACUCUAAAAUCUACCACCAAAACAGAAAUAGAUAAAAUAAAAUCUUUAGGAUAGUAACAAAAUACCGUCAAAUUUAGGGUAUUCAACUAAUAGAGUUGGUGUAUUUACUAAUAAAAAUUUCAAUUCUGUAUUCAACUAAUAGAGUUGGUGUAUUUACUAAUAAAAAUUUCAAUUCUAAGUAAAACUUCUAUGAAAAUGCAAAAGACAGUAUAUGUAUAUAUAAUUACCAAAAUCAGUAUUACAAUUAUUCUAAUUUAGUCGUUAAACUUUAAAAAAAGAAUACUCAUUUGGUAAUUCAUAUCAUCAUAUCAACCAAAUCUAGACGUUUAAAAUCUAAACUAGAGCCAACCAAUACUUAAGCACAUGUCAACGUUAUAUUAUUCAUCUAUAACCACAAUAAAGUUUUUAAAAAAAUAAGAAAAUAGACAUUUUGUGAAUUUAAAAAAAUCUAAAUAGAAUCUUCAAAAAUUUAGAAACGACUACUACAAUAGUAUUUAAACAUUUUAAAAAGUAUAUAUUUGAUUUCAAAUAUAUAUAUAUAAUAAAAUUCUAUAACCACAAUAAAGUUUUUAAAAAAACAAGAAAAUAGACAUUUUGUGAAUUUAAAAAAAUCUAAAUAGAAUCUUCAAAAAUUUAGAAACGACUACUACAAUAGUAUUUAAACAUUUUAAAAAGUAUAUAUUUGAUUUCAAAUAUAUAUAUAUAAUAAAAUUCUAUAACCACAAUAAAGUUUUUAAAAAACAAGAAAAUAGACAUUUUGUGAAUUUAAAAAAAUCUAAAUAGAAUCUUCAAAAAUUUAGAAUCGACUACUACAAUAGUAUUUAAACAUUUUAAAAAGUAUAUAUUUGAUUUCAAAUAUAUAUAUAUAAUAAAAUUCUAUAACCACAAUAAAGUUUUUAAAAAACAAGAAAAUAGACAUUUUGUGAAUUUAAAAAAAUCUAAUAGAAUCUUCAAAAAUUUAGAAUCGACCACUACAAUAGUAUUUAAACAUUUUAAAAAGUAUAUAUUUGAUUNNNNNNNNNNNNNNNNNNNNNNNNNNNNNNNNNNNNNNNNNNNNNNNNNNNNNNNNNNNNNNNNNNNNNNNNNNNNNNNNNNNNNNNNNNNNNNNNNNNNNNNNNNNNNNNNNNNNNNNNNNNNNNNNNNNNNNNNNNNNNNNNNNNNNNNNNNNNNNNNNNNNNNNNNNNNNNNNNNNNNNNNNNNNNNNNNNNNNNNNNNNNNNNNNNNNNNNNNNNNNNNNNNNNNNNNNNNNNNNNNNNNNNNNNNNNNNNNNNNNNNNNNNNNNNNNNNNNNNNNNNNNNNNNNNNNNNNNNNNNNNNNNNNNNNNNNNNNNNNNNNNNNNNNNNNNNNNNNNNNNNNNNNNNNNNNNNNNNNNNNNNNNNNNNNNNNNNNNNNNNNNNNNNNNNNNNNNNNNNNNNNNNNNNNNNNNNNNNNNNNNNNNNNNNNNNNNNNNNNNNNNNNNNNNNNNNNNNNNNNNNNNNNNNNNNNNNNNNNNNNNNNNNNNNNNNNNNNNNNNUUCCUCAAAGUUCCAUACCCCUUCCCUCUGUAGCUUCCUUUCUUUUAUCUCUUUCCUCUAACUCCCGGCCCUACCAAAGUGGUCCCCCUGGUAGGUUCUUGUUUCACCUGCAAAAGAUUCAACCCACACCCACACCCACACAAAUACACAGAAUAUUUCCAGCACACUCACAAACACAAUACAACGGAGAGAGGCUGAUAUAUGUGUGUAUAUAUAUUCAAUAUGGAAUCAUAAGCUUCAACCAAGUAAGAGGGUUGCUCUCUCCCCAAUGAACAACGUUCAUUCAAAAUACAUAAUAACCAAGAUAAUCAACCCUAGCAAAAAACGCCUAUAUAUAUAUUCCCUUUCUGCUGCUGCCACGUGUUGUUAGGACCACUGGUCAUCCUAACAACCAUGUUGUCUAGGUGGAAUUUUUAUUAUUUUUACCCCUCCUUUGGUAAACUUGGGUGAUUGGAGGCCUAGUGUAACGGACAUACUUGUCCAAGGUGUGUUUACCUAUGGCCGUAUGCUCCGAUUAGCCCCAAUUUAUCUUGUCUUUAUGUCUUGUAUGUAGUUUAGGUAGUUGCUUUAAAUUUCAAGUCGAUAUGCUUGGGUGUGACGUUUCGGCAUUUUCAUAUGCAAGCCUACCAGAGAUGAAAAUGUUAAAAAUGUACUAUAGGGGAGGCAUACCUGUUGAAUCCCCGCCCAAGCCUUGUCGUACACUUUGCAAUCUAUGCUUUCUUAUUGCAAUUGACAGUCUUCAAUGCUUGUUUUAACAAUGUUUUCAAUCAAUUUAAUCAUCUUUCACGUUUUCUAAAAAUAUUUUCCAAGAACGUGAGGGGAGGUUGAAGCAUGUGUUGAAGUUGUCUGCGAUUUGUGGAUUUUGAUCGGCUGACUUGUUCGUCGAGCUAGAACAAGUGCCGCACUAUCGUUCACAUCGUGUUUGAAGAAUUACGAUUGUGACACCUAGCACCCUCUCUAUUAUUUCCCACCAUCGUUACGUGUGAUAUUAAUUUUACCUUCAUCAUCACGUGUGUUAUUAUUUUUAUUUCUCCUACUAUAUUUAAAUAUCAACGGGGGCCUAACGGAUUAUGAAUUAGAUUUUAUUCUUUUAGAUUGGAGUCCCAUUUUUGUAGCUUACUGGGAUCCUUUUGCCGAAGUUCUUUAAUCCUCUAGUAAAUAUUUAACUUUCUUUAUUAAAAAAAGGAAGAAGAAGAAAGGAAUAACAAAAACUGACAAACUCCUUUAGAUUGAAGUAUUAACCUUUCCAUAUCUUUGCCGAACAAUCUUCACUCCCACUAACAAUGACUUCGGAAGCAUGUGAAUCCACUGAAUACACAAUGGUAGUGUCACCAACCAUCUCCAUCAAUGUUUCACCACUUAGUGCCCAUAACCUAAUGGAACUGUCUAAAUGGAAAAGAAAAUCAAAGUCAACUUUCUAAUUAAUUCAAUAUUCUAAUAUAAAGAAUAUAACAAAUAGUCCUCCCAUGUGAAAUGAAAAGUGGUUCUACAGAUUCAGAGAAGGCAAUAGAAAUCACUCAUUUUAAUGUCAUUUAAUAUUUCAUCAACAACCUAUAGAGUUUAUUAAUCUUUUUCUUUCCUACUAAAGAAGCUCUAAUUUAUUACUCUAGGAAUGGUCCUUUCUAACUUAUAUACAGGUAACAAAAAAUAAAUUGAAGAAAUACUCUGAGCUUUUCCAUUUAGAAAUCCCAAUGAGCAAAGACUAAAGUCUUCCCGGGAUUCUUAGGAUGCCAAACUCCUCUCAUUGGAUAGACAUCAAUAUAUCUUAGAUGAGAAGCUACCUUGAAUAGCCUUGCUUCCUCAGCAUAUAAACAUAAAUAUAUUUGUUGUAUUCAAUCAAAAAUAAAAGAUAAGCUUGUUCUGAAACCAAUUCCAAAAAUUUCUUCGAAAAUAUGCUGGGAGAGUUGUUGUUGUUUAAAUACUUGGUCCUUCGAAGGUUGGAAUUACAAUGUAACUUUUCACAUAUUCAUGAAAAGUUAUGAUUCUUAUUAUGAAAGAAUGAAACUUCGAACUAGUUCCUAAAGGUAGUACUUUUAGCUGAUGUGGCAAUUUGGAUCAGCCAUGUACGGUUGCAUUCCUCAAUGUGAGUGAUAAUCAAACCCAAACUACCUCAAAGGAAUUAUUUUGUACAGUAACUCCAUCUUUACCAACUGCGACAUAAAACUAUCUAGGGUUCAUGGGUUGGGGUAAGAAAACUUUUGGACCCAACCCACCAAGUCUUUUUAUCAUUAAGUUUUCUUCAUUUUUAUGUCAAUUGGCAUGUAUUUUAUAAGCUUUGAGAGAAGAAACUUAAUAUAAAUGUAUACUUGGUCAGAACCCCGUCAUUUAGCCUCAAUUUUCACAAUGUAGAGGUAUAGAAUUCAGAGAGGUUAUUUUAUUUUCUUAAAAUUACUCCCCAACUGUUAAUCUAUGAUUAACUUUUGCUAUAAAAAAUUAGUCCUUAUAUCCCUCUUCUAGAAAUUUGACAAACAUAUUAAUCAGGCGCCUUUUUCUGAAAAAUAAUUGUUCAUAUAUUUUUUUGAAACAGAGACAACCCUUUUUAUUAAAGAUGUAAGUAAAAGAGACUAAUGCUCAAACUAUAGGAGAAUUAUACUAAGAGCGAAAAGAAUGACCAAAACAAAAGUACAGACAAAUUGAACAAAACAAUCAAAAUCCUGAGAAAACAAUAGAAAACUGAGAACAAAGCGAACUUAAAACCUUUCAACAAGAAGCCCAAAAUCAGCUGAAAAUUGCAGACUAAAAACUUCAGACUAGAUGGAAGGAAACACCAAGGGAGAGCUAACAACAAUGCAGCUUUGUUGAAAAAAAUAUCCCUCCCAAGUCAUCCUUCGAUCUUGAGUGAGUGACUAGAACCAGAAUAUUUCAUAAGAACUUUAGAGGGCCAAAAUAAUAAAAGCAUUCGUCGAACCUCAUGUGAUCCACUAAAACAAACCUAAAAGAUAAUUGGCUGAAAAACCAAGAUCAAGUUAUUCUAUACUCAAACCAAAGUAGUUCCACAUCGCUCAACAAUUGACUUCAAGCGAUCUGGAACUUCACAUUGUCGAGCUUGUGAGGGAAAUAAAGAGACUUGUUUCUCAGUAAUUAAAUCCUCCCUUGUCUGAAAGCGGUAUUAAGAUCAGAUUCUAGAGGAUCCUUAAUCAACUGAUCAAUGUUUACAAUGAGUAGUGGAGGCACUUUUGAUUCAGAUUUUACCGAAGGAGCUCAAGGUAUCGUGCAAUGUGAUCGAUUUUCUUGGGACACAUAAAUAAAUCUAACGCCAAUUGAAACAUAAGGACUAGUAUUUGGAGCAUGAUAUUUCUUCCUAUCUCUACAUGUAAAGAUCACAAGAAAAAUAAGAAUUUCACAAAAUAACAGAAAACAAAAUUAGACAAAAUCAGGGCAUGGCCGAGGAUGAGAUUAGAGAUGAAGCGGUGAUUAGUAUUUAUUGAAAAUGGGAGAAAAGUAGAAUGUCAAACCAAUCCAAGAACAUACCUCACAAAUCUUCGGAGAGACGAUCGUGGUCAAAGCAGUGGUUGUGGUCGAGGAUGAGAUUAGGGAUGAAAGGAUGUUACGAAAGGUAUAUCAACAAGAAGAAGGGUAAAACAACAACAUCCUGUCAAAAAUCACUUAAUGUGAUUGAGAUCUUUUAGCAUGACUGCUUGAGAACUAAAGAAAAAUUUAGAAUGUGACUGAGAACUUUUAGCACAACCGGGCAGCAACUUCAAUAACAGAAAAACAUGCAUAAUGUAGGAAGACAGCAGAUUUAAAAUUAUGACAGUGUAUUUAUGAAUGUCAGGCGAUACAUUAAUGUUCCAAAAUUCAACCAAAGUAUGGGAUGAAAGAUAUACAAGAAUCUUCCAUGAUAAGGGCAAGACCAGGAUAUCCUUAUCCAAAAGAAAGAAAAAAAUAAUCAACCAAAGUAAAUUCCAUGUAUGAUUGGAAAUUAUGGCCAAGGCGAAGGAUGAAGCGGAGAAUAGAAGGAAUAUUGAGCAGGGUACGACUUACCAUUAGCUUAGAUCAAAACCAGCAUCCGCAUUUAUGGCAUAAAGAAAUUUGUUUGCCAGCUGCUCCUUGCUGCAUUGCUCACAAAUCAUAGAGUUGUGAAAAUGAAAACUUAUGCAAGUUUUUUUAUCCUUUUUAGAAAAGAUGUAUAUGUUUUAGUUCAUCCACAAAUCAACAGACUUAAUAAACUGAUGUAAUUCAAGUUGGACUUAGUUUUUCACAAUGAAUUCUCCACCAAUAGUGGCUAAGAGAUGGAGUAUAUAUUGAGGAUUGUAAGUAGUUACAAGUAGUUGAAAUAACUGUUUUUAUGAAACAGUUUUAAUUGCAGUCUUAACAGCUAAACAGUUUAAUUAUUUAAACUGUUUUACUAACUAACUACAGCUGUUUAGCCAUGGCAUUCUAUAUUACAUCAUUCCACCCCUAGCAUGGAACUCGACCCGAGUGACUUAGUUGACAAGGCAGAAAUCAUCUGGGGCAUAGUACUGUUUCAGGUCUGCCACGUUAAAAAUAGGAUGAAUGUGCAAGUCUGGUGGUAGUUCAAUUCUGUAAGCGUUAUCUCAAAUCUUUUCUAGGACACGAAAUGGUCCUAAUUGUCUGUCUUUCAGUUUGUGUUCCAGUUGGAAAUCGAAUUUUUCUGAGGUGAAUCAUUACUAAGUCUCCCUCAGUAAGGGUAGCUUGUCUUCUCUUUUUGUCUGCUGCCUUUUUGUAGGACUGAGUUGAUUCUUUUAGGUGGUUAUGGACUUCUUCGUGUAAAUUCUGAAUCUUUUCUACCAUCUUUUCUGCUUCUGAGCUAGUGUCAAUAGCUGUGGGGAGUGAUGCUAGGUCAAAGGUUGUUAGUCUUGGCUGUUUUGUGUAUACGACCUCAAAUGGACAUUUGCCGGUUGAUCUAUUCUUCAUAUUGUUGAAGGCGAAUUCUGACUGUGCAAGAGCUAAGUCCCACUGUUUUGGUUUGGAUCCACUAAGACAGCAUAUUAAGUUGUCGACAGUUCUAUUUGUAACUUCUGUUUGGCCAUCUGUUUGAGGGUGUGAUGUUGUGCUAUAUUUCAUUCAAGGUUGUGUCAAAUUUGCUCCAUAAUGUCUUCCAGAAAUGGCUUAGGAACUUGACAUCCCGAUUAGAAACAAUGGUCUUUGGUACUCCGUGCAGCCGAACUAUCUCUCGACAGAAUAAAUUAGCUAUGUAGGUGGCAUCAUUUGACUUCUUACAAGCCACAAAGUGUGCCAUUUUACUGAAUCUGUCGACUACAACCAUGACUCAGUCAUACUGCCUUUGAGUUUUUGGUAAUCAGAGCCCGAAAUCAAUUGAUAGAUCUUCUCAAAUGGAAAUUGGGGUAGGUAAUGGUGAGUACAGGCCGGCGUUUAUACUUGAACCUUUAGCUCUUUGGCAGAUAGGGCACCUUUUAAUAAAGUUGUUACAGUAUCUUCUUAAUUAAGGCCAGUAGUAUCUCUUAAAGAUUAUUUCAAAAGUUUUAUCCUGCCCGAAGUGUCCAGCCAAUCCUCCUGAAUGAGCCUCUUUUAGUAGUGCUUCUAGAAGUGAUGUGUGUGGGAUACACAACUGAUCUCCUUUGAAUAGAUAUCCUUCCAUUAUAUGGAAGUCUUCCGCCUUGGUGUAGUGGCUGCAUUUGGUCCAUGUCAUGGCGAAGUCAACGUCUUCCCCAUAUAGGUUAGGUAAGUGUUUGAAUGCCUCGAUCUCCAUGGAUAGAAUAGUGAGUAAGGAGCUCUUCCUGGAUAGUGCAUCUGCCACCUUGUUCUCCUUACCAUUUUGGUGCCUAAUGACAAAGUCGAACCUUUGUAGGAAGGAGAUCCAUCGUGCGUGCAUCCGAGUAAUAUUCUUUUGUGACUAGAGAUCUUUCAAAGAGAAGCGGUUCGUUAGGAGUACAAAUUCCCUGCAUAGGAGGUAAUGUUCCUACUGUUUGAGUGCUCGGACAAGGGCAUAAAGCUCUUGUUCAUAAGUGCUCCAGGACUGUCUUGUUGUGCUCAACUUCUUACUGAAGUAUUCAAUAGGGUGGCCUUGCUGUGAUAACUCGGCUCCAAUUCCGGUUCCGUAAGCAUCAACAGCUACUUCAAAGGGUGAUGCGAAGUUCGACAACUGUAGAAUAGGGCUGGAAGUUAGUCUUCUUUUUAUCUCUUCAAAGCUCUGCUGUUGCUCUUCGUUCCACUUAUAGUUCCCUUUCUUUAGGCAGUCGGUUAAGGGGGUCACUAUUGAGCUGAAGUUUCUGAUGAAUCUUCUGUAAAAGGAUGCCAAGCCAAGGAAGGCUUGUACCUCCUUGAUGGAGGUUGGUAUUGGCCAAGACUUUAUGGCUUCUGUCUUCUUUGGUUCCAUACCUACUUUUCCUUCUUUGAUUACGAAGCCGAGAAAGACAAUUUCCUUGGUGAGGAAUGUACGUUUCUUUGGAUUAAUGUACAGUUCAGUUUCGGCCAGGACUUGGAACAAUUUUCUUAAGUGCUGAAUGUGGUCCUUCAGUACUAUUGUUGUACAAGAGGAUGUCAUCAAAGUAAACCACUAUGAACUGGUUUAGAAACGAGCACUGGUUCAUCAACCUCAUGAAGGUGCUCGGUGCAUUGGAUAAGCCAAAGGCCAUCACCAACCAUUCAAAUAACCCUUCAUUAGUUUUGAAGGUUGUCUUCCACUCGUCUCCGGGCCUGAUUCUUAUUUGGUGAUAACCGCUUCUUAAGUCAACUUUUGAGAAGAUGGUAGCUUUACCUAGUUGAUCUAGUAAGUCUCCAAUUCGAGUAAUAGGAAAUCGGUAUUUUACAGUGAUUCGGUUGAUAGCCCUGCUGUCUACACACAUACUUCAACUUCCGGCCUUAGGUGUGUGAGCAGUGUUGGCACAACACAAGGGCUUAGGCUAGGCUUCAUGUGACCCUUUUUCAACAAGUCUUCAAUGUGGUCAUGUAAAUUAGGUAGCGAGGCUCCUGGGGUAAGAUCAAUUUGGUGUUGGAUGUCACGAAUUGGUGGCAAUCCUUGCAAGUCCUUCUUUAGGUGAGGAAAUCUGCAAACAAGUUCUCUAAUCUAGUCUCACCUUCUUUCUCCAGGGGUUUGUCAGCCACUACAAGUCCCAAAAGGUCUUGCUCCCUUUCUCUCAAGAUCUUCUUCCCGCUCACUGUGAUGAAGAGUUGUCCUUUUUUCUUCUGCUUCAGGCCUUCAGAGUUUUUCUUUGUUAAUGGGAGUUGAAUUACUUUCCUUCCCAUCCACUGGAACUCAUAGGUGUUUUCCCUCCCCCUGUGUUUGGUUCAGGUGUCAUGUUGCCACGGUCGGCCUAGGAGUAGAUGGCACACGUCCAUGUCUAAAACGUCGCACACAAUCUGGUCUUUGUAGCUACUUUCGAUGGAUAGGGGCACGGUGCAAAUUUCAUUGAUUGAUUGUGGUCUCUCCUCCUUUCUUCACCCAUCCUAUUUUGUAAGGAUCAGGGUGAGGGUCUGUUUUUAGGCAGAGAAUGGUCACAAUCUUUAUUGCUAAAAAGUUCUCACUGCUUCCACUAUCACUUAUAAUGUCCUCUAUAGCCAUGAGCCAUGAUUGUAUGGGUGGUUUGCCGAAUCUCUGUCUAUUUAUCUCCAAUUGGUCCCACCAUGUUAAGGCUCCUCCUCCCAAUUUUAGAGCCACAAGUUCUCGGUGUUUUUUAUCCAAUCCAAGAAAGAUUCUAUAUCCCGUUUACCAUUAUAGGUUGGGAGGUCAAUUUUCAUUUUGUAGUCGUGAUGAAUCUCUCGUCAUGCUUUAUGUCCUCUAUAGCCGUGAGCCAUGAUUGUAUGGGUGGUUUGCCCUAUCUCUGUCUAUUCAUCUCCACUUGGUCCCACCAUGCCGAGGCUCCUCUUCUCAAUUUUAGAGCCACAAGUUCUCGGUGUUUUUUAUUCAAUCCAAGAAAGAUUCGAUAUCCCGUUUACCAUUAUAGGUUGGGAGGUUAAUUUUCAUUUUGUAGUGGUGAUGAAUCUCUCGUCAUGCUUUAUGUCCUCUAUAGCCGUGAGCCAUGAUUGUAUGAGUGGUUUGUCGAAUCUAUGUCUAUUUAUCUUCAAUUGGUCCCACCAUGCCGAGGAUCCUCCUCUCAAUUUCAGAGCCAUAAGUUCUCGGUGUUUUUUAUCCAAUCCAAGAAAGAUUUGAUAUCCCGUUUACCAUUAUAGGCUGGGAGGUCAAUUUUCAUUUUGUAGUCGUGAUGAAUCUCUCGUCAUGCUUUAUGUCCUCUAUAGCCAUAAGCCAUUCGAUAUUCUCCGUUGUCGUUCCAAAUAUUUCCUUGGUCGUCGCCACUGGAAGAAUCAUAAUCUUGCACGUUUUGCCACUCCUCGUCGUCAUCUUGCUCAUCAUCGUCGGCGUGUCGUAGUGGGAUUCCUCCCGGUCUCCUUCUUUGAUCAUUUCUUUGGUUGGGCCAGUUUCUAAGGUUCCUUUGAGCCCGUCAGCCACCUCUGUUUCCUGCCUUCCAGUCAUAAUCCUCGUUCCUUGCCGGUGCCGGUAGUUCAUCCAUUCUUCGAGUGAGUGAGUCUAAGUUGUCCAUUACUUUGUUCAUUUUGUCAUGUAAAUCUCCCAAGGAGUCUUCGACGGCCAGCAAGCGUACAGUGGUGGUCCUUGGAGAGAGGGUGGCGGUCUCUUCCACCUCUUCCUGCUCGCGGUUGUCCCCUGCGGCGGGGAUUCUUCUCCGGCCAGCCAUCCGUCUGAGGAUCGGGGCUGCUCUGAUACCACUUGAUGUAAUUCAAGUUGGACUUAGUUUUUCACAACUGCCAAUAAUGGCUAAGAGAUGGAGUAUUUAUUGAGGAUUGUAAGUAGUUACAAGUAGAUGAAAUAACUGUUUUUAUGAAACAGUCUUAACUGCAGUCCUAACAGCUGAACAGUUUAAUUGUUUAAAACUGUUUUACUAACUAACUACAGUUGUUUAGCCAUGACAUUCUAUAUUACAUCAUAAACCUAACCAAGUUAUUCAACCAAAUUGGUGUUAGUUUCACGUAAUCACGAAAAAUAAAAAUUUCUUGGUGGACUGGAUGUUGUAUGGCCAAGUAAAAAAGAAAACCCAGCCAUAAUGGACGAGCCGUGAAGGUGAAAAACAUAGGAUAUGUUUGAGAAUGAUUUUUUAGAGUUAAAAUCACUCCGUAUAUGUUAGAAGCCACUCUGGCAUGCCCUUAACUAUUGAGAAUCUUAAUCAAUUUAAUGUUUGAUUUAAUACUUAAACCCGAUUUUCAUAGCACCAAAUUUGAUUUUCAAUGACUAAAAUGUGUUCCUCAGAGUAAUUUUGGACAUGACAUGUGAUUUUUAUCAUUUUAAAAUGUUGCUAUAUACUUAAUUAUUUUGAAUCUAAUUGUUACAUUUGCAAUUAUCCCAUUUUUUUUAUGUUCCACGCUAAUCUAUAUAUGCCUGAAUACAGUUUCAAGCAUGUAGCCAGGAAUGUCUCGCAAAGUACUGAGUUACUUUUUCACAUGAUUUUUGCUAGCAGGAUAAAUUAGUUUAAGCUCUAGAAGGAACCAACUUAUCCCCUUAAGGGAAACCAAAACAAAUAAUUAAGAAUAACGAGGAUACGAAUUUUACCCAGGAAAUGGAGAAAAAUGAACAAAACACCAAUUUCCUUUGUAUGCAAAAACAUGGCUCAAGAUAUUUAAGGCCAAGAAGAGGUCCUCGAGAGCAACCAGUUACAAACCUAAUGAAAAAGCAAGAUCCAAUUGUUAUAUUUCUGAAGUUCAGUUUUUCUCUAAGCCAACUUGAGACAAGAAGUAAUGACCAACUGAUGUGUAAUGAAAAUACUCACUUCAGAAAUUUCUUUUGGUUUUCCACGGAGAAACUUUUGAUAACUUCCCAAAACAUCUCAAUGACAUAAUGCUCCUGAAAGCAUGAAAUAAAAAUUCAAAUUUCGAUGUUCCCACAUUUCAAAAGCAUAAAAGAACAUGAUUAAAAAAGUGAAGAUGUUUCUCAGUUUCCUAUCACAAAUUUCUUGAUCAUGGUUGUGCCUGACCAAACAGGGCAUUACAAACAAUACAAGUCCAAAGUUUGUUUUCAUAGUCAUAGAAACAUAAGAGAGGACUAGAAGUCUGAAUAAUGGUAAUCAAUUUAUCCCCCAGUUUCAAACACAAAUACAGGCAUACACAUUGUAAGAAUUCGAAAUUAAUUGAAAAAUAUUAAAAAGAAUCUAAACGAUGACCAACUCCCUAAGCUCCAAAGACUUCAAAACCAUCUCCCAAUUACCCGGGUGAGAUCCUCCAACAUCAUCUACAAUUAUGAAAUUUAAUUGACUUGACAUCACAAUUCCGAUUGCACUACAAUAAAUCUAGUAUUCGAUAUCCUAAACCAAGAAUUGUUCAACCUCCAAAGGAAGAUUAAUUGUAACUAAUCUUCUUGCAAGAUUUCAAAUUUUCAAAAUUUUAUCGAACACAAUAUGCAAAAAAAUUAUGCAGAAAAGAAAAGAAAAGAAAAGAAAAUACAUAUGUAGAAAAAAGGGUUUAAUAGAACUUACCCUAUGAACCUGAUAUUAAAAGCUGAAAUGAAAUAGACCAGUCAAAGACAGCAACUCGAUUUAUCUUGGAACCACAAAAGACUAGCAACAAAACCUCCAUCAGUAUUUAGCCAUUGGUCCAUGAUUUGACCUAAAUUAGGGUUCUCUUUAUGUUUUUCUUAUCAUUUCCCAUCGCAAGGGAAUUUUUUUUCCCACAUCUUUUCCCCUUACAAGGACUUCAGUUGUCACCACUUAGAGUCCAUGUAAGGCUAAAAACAAUCUAGUUCACUUCGUUUAUUUCUCAGAUUUUAAUGAUUAGUAAAAUUCUGCCUCUACACUUUUACGAGCAUUAUGCCUCUUCGAAAAUGAACAACUUGAAUCUUAAGGAAGACUAGUUUCCUUAUCCUGAACCUGAAUCUUCACAUCAUCAAGGAAACCCACAUCUAUUCCUUCAGGUGAACUCAAUAAGGAAGACCCUUAUUCCUCUAGGGUUUAGGCUUUGGUUAGUUGCUGCCCAGAUCACAAGAUCAAGUGUACUCCUAAUCAUUCUAGGUUCUUGCUUUAAUUAGUUUAGUGUUUCACGUCACAUGAAAAUUAAAGGUCGACAAUGGCACAUUAUCAAAACUACUAACCUCCUCCCCCCUCCCCCUCCCCCACCCACACACCCACACACCCACACAAAAAGAAGAAUAAAAAUGCAAAUCUAAGUGCUUAACCCUACUGACUUCGUAUGGUCUAGGAGAAAAAAUGUUCCUCCUUUAACAUACUUCUUUCCCAAAUAGUAUAAUUAAUACUAGCAUGAAAUAGGAUUCAAGGCACAUGAGGCAGUUGAUGUGCAAUGAUAAACGAGUCAUCAAGAGAUUAUAUAACAGCAAACCAGCCUUUUCAUGCAAACCACGUUACUAUCUCAGUGAGCCAGUGAUACCUGGAAUUCAAGCUCAUUGAACAUGUCGAUCCAUUCUUUCUGUAUAAGCUGCUGAAACCCUCUCAAAAAAUGAGAACUUUGCUGUCGUAUCUGAGGAGGACAUGUUUUCAAUCAACAUUGGAGUAGGGAGACACAUUGGAUAAACAAGGGACAAACUAUGCUGAAAGUUCAAACGAUGAUUGGCAACAAGAUGAAUGAAUGUGAUGACAUUUUCACAGGUGACACGACGGUUUCUUCCUCCAGGAAGUAGCUCUUCUUCAGUUUGCUUUCCAUAUUCAUUGUUUAUAAUAACAAAAUAUAGCCCUAGUUCAGAAAUGUCACCUUCAUAAUGCUGUCCAGAAAAAUCAGAAGGGAAGACCCAAAAUUUAAGAUAAGGAGUGAGAAAAAGAUUCUAUGAGGAUACUAGAUUGAUCUAGAUCAUCGAUCAACAGGCUAAGUGUGGUAUCAGCUAAAAGUGAUACCAGGGAAUACACACCUUUAAGAAAAUAAGGUGGCGAUACAAUUCAGGAUCCAAGCAUGGCAAGUCAUUUAGAUAGUUCUACCUGUUGUGAUGAUAAACAUUGGAAAUAUUCAAUGUUGGGUUAAAUAUUAUUCCAUCUUUAUACCAUGCAACCAUGCAAUAUUAAACUCUCAUAAAUUAUAUAGAAAGCUGAUAGACCUCCCAUAGUAAAGGUGCAUUCCCGUAGAGACAAGAAUAGAAAGAAGAAAGAAUGAUUGAGUGUUAGUUGGUAUUUUUCCAUUUGUGUGGGCCCUUAGGAAUGUGUUUGUUAGAGUGGGGCCAAGUAUUUUAUUAUUUCUCUGAGCAAUUACUUAAGUGUCUUGAGUGGGAGGGUAUGAGUAUCUUUUUGGACAUAUGAUUUUGGUCUAGACUCUCAUUAGAGUCUGGAGAGACUUGGGAGCUCUCAAAUCCUUUCCCACAGUUGAUAAAUAAAAUUUUGGCUAAAGCCUUAACAGUUUUGGUAUCAGAGCCAACGUUCCUGGUAUGGUUGGUAAAAAUUGAGCGAGGAUAUGAAAUUGUUAAUACACGGGAUGGGAGUGACGGGAAGUGCCUCAAAAGGAUCCACAUCUAGUGAAAGAACGAUUACAGACAAGGGAAAGGGAAUAAUGAAUGAGGAACAAGUUCAGGAAGAAAAAAGUGAACAAAAAACUAACCCGGUGGUGGAUGAGGGAGUUGGAGUACCAUGUGCACCAAAUAUUUGUGAGAUACCCCUUUUUGACACGAAGCUACGAAAAUUGGAGGUGCCGAUAUUUAAAGGGGAGGAAGAAGAGAACGUGGAUGGAUAGCUACAUCAUGUGGAGUGCUAUUUUGUGGUGAAUAUCUGACGAAGAGAGAUAAGUUGGAUGCGGCGGUCCUGUGCUUGGAGGGGGAAGCUUUGGACUGGUAUCAAUGGAAGGAGGAUAGAAAGAAAAUCUGCAGCUGGACAGAAUUCUGACAGCUUCUGUGGACGAGAUUCAAAGCGUCCGACCAGGGAGAUAAACACGCAAGGUUGAUGAAAUUACAGCAGGAGACCACCGUGAGGGAUUACCGGCGGCGAUUUGAACAAUUUUCGGCCGGCCUUAAAGAUAUGAGUAAUGCAGCCCUAGAAAGUAAGUUUGUGUGUGGGCUGAAGGAAGAGAUCCAAAGUGAGAUCUGAAAAUUGAAUCCAGUGGGCCUACAGGCUAAAAUGUUAAUGGCCCAAAUAAUUGAGAAGAUGAUCAAGUGGUUCAAUUGAAGAGAAUUCAUGGGGCAAGUGGAAACCCUAAUUUAUCACUUAAAAUGUCGAAUAGUGGGCCAAGCGGGUCGGGAAGUCAAACUGGGUCAAAGGCCUCAAAUCGGGUCGCUACAUCACGAACGAUUACGAUUAACCCUAGCCAAAAUUCAUCGUAUUCAUCCACGACGAUUACUUCAUCGCAGGAAUCGGGCGCGAAGAGUACGAUGUCUCAACCAUACCGCCGAAUGACUGACAACGAAGUGCGGAUUAAGAAGGAAAAAUAUUUGUGUUUUAGAUGUGACGAGAAGUUCAGUCCGGGGCACCGCUGCAAAAGACGUGAAUUGAACAACAUUGUUGUUCAAGAAGGGGAAGACUUAAGUGACAGAACCGAUCAAGUGGGGGAAGAAAUCGAAACCAACGGGAAAUAGUGAAUCUGUCGAUAAAUUCAUUGGUAGGUUUCAAUUCGCCGAAAACCAUAAAAAUUAAAGGAGAAAUAAGGGGACGUGAGGUUGUGGUGCUGGUCGAUGGGGGAGCCACACACAAUUUAAUUGCAGAAGAGAUAGUCAAAGAGCUAAAAAUUUCAGUAGAAACCAUGGAUGCAUAUGGGGUUGUUCUGGGAACCGGAGGCGUAGUCCAAGCAACCGGUGUGUGUAAGGAUGUAAACCUGACAAUCGCCAAUUUAUCAAUCACUCACGAUUUUCUCCCUCUACCACUCGGGAGUGUCAACAUUAUAUUAGGAGUUACUUGGUUGGAAAUGUUAGGGAAAGUAAUUUUUUAUUACAAGUUGUCGGAGAUGGAAUUCUCACUGGGUGAAUGGGUGGUAAUUCUUCAAGGGGAUAGAAGUUUAGUAAUAUCCCAAGUGUCACUUAAAUCGAUGAUGAAAACCUUUGAGAAGGAAGAUCAAGGUGUGUCAAUCGAAUUAAGUGCAGUUGAACAGUGGGGAGCAAGGGAACACAUAGCAGACUACUUGAGUAAACUACAACCAAAUUUCAAAAAGUUCUUCAGUCCUUUAGCGUUGUGUUUGAACCAAGCAAUCAAUUACCCCCACCUCACGAUCAUGAUCAUGCUAUUGAAUUAAAACUAGGGGCUCGUGCAGUGAACGUGCGCCCGUAUCAUUAUCCCCAAUUUCAGAAAGAUGAGAUAGAGAAACUAGUUAAGGAAAUGCUGCUAGCCGGAAUAAUUCAGCCAAGCAAAAGUUCCUUUUCAAGCCUGUGCUCCUUGUUAAGAAAAAAGAUGGUAGCCGGCGAUUUUGUUGAUUACCUAGCACUGAAUCUUGCCACUAUACCAGAUAAGUAUCUGAUUCCUGUUGUUGAUGAACUGUUAGACUUAUUAUUUGGGGCAACCAUAUUCUCCAAAAUUGAUUUAAAGUCAGGUUAUCAUCAAAUUCGGGUGCGGGCGGCCGAUGUUCACAAAACAGCGUUUCGAACCCACGAGGGGCACUAUGAAUUCCUUGUGAUGCCGUUUGGGUUGAAGAACGCUCUGGCAACAUUCCAAUCAGUCAUGAGUGAUGUUCUUUCCCCAUAUUUACGCAAGUUUGUUUUGGUUUUCUUUGAUGACAUCUUAAUUUACAGCAAGUCCUUGGACGAGCAUUUGCACCAAUUGGCAAUGGUUUUGGAAACUCUAGUAGCUCAUCAACUGGUAGCCAACUUUGAAAAAUGCCAAUUUGCGGUUGACAAAAUUGAAUACUUGGGCCAUGUUAUUUCUUCAGAGGGGGUGGCAGCGGAUCCAACAAAAAUAGAAGCGAUGGUUAAAUGGCCAGCACCCAAGAACGUGAAGGAGCUAGGUGGGUUUUUGGGGCUAACGGGGUAUUAUCGGAAAUUUGUUGCAAACUACGGUUCUAUUGCGCUGCCCUUGACACAACUGUUAAAAAAAGGUAACUUUAAGUGGAAUGAGACGGCCGAGAACGCAUUUCAGCAGUUAAAAGUCAGCAAUGAUGUCUGUCCCAGUGCUAGGUAUUCCUGAUUUUUCACAAAGUUUUAUGCUGGAAACUGAUGCUUCGUGAUGUAAACUAUAGCUAGUUAGUUAGUAAAAAUCCCUAACUAAUUAGAAAUACAGCUGUAACUAACUUCCUAAAACAGUCUUGUAACUAACUAAAUAAAACAACCUUGUAACUAACUUGUAACUAACCUUGAGAUAUCAAUAUAUAACAGUCUCCUAGCCUGAAAUAUGGCAGAGAAUUCUUUUGAAAAAUCAAUCCAACUUUGAAUUACAUCAAAUUGGUAUCAGAGCAGCCCCGAUUCUUGGACGGAAUGGCUGGCCGAAGAGUUAACAACCCUGCCACGGGGGAAAACCGUGUGCAAGAAGCGGCGGAGGAAAUCACCGUCCUCUCUCCAAAGACAUCAACAGUUCGCUUGCUGGCUGUUGAAGAAUCUUUGGGAGAUCUCCACAACAAAUUUGAUAGGUUGAUGGAAAGUGUCGAACUGUUAAACCGAAGAGGAGAAUUCCCACAGCCACCACCACGGAAUGAAAUUAACUUCCAAAACGACCAACGUUUUGGUGAAACAAGAGGCCGGCGAGCAAGGGGAUACGUUAGAAACAUGAACAAUCCACGAGGACUUCAAAGAAGGAGACCCGGUUACGCUAUACAGCAACAGCUUGACGAAGACUUUCAAGAAGAUCAAGAAGCUUGGCAAGAAACCCAAGAAGAUGAUUCUUCAAGCGGGGAUGAACAAGGAAACAUGUGGAACUUCAAUGAUGAAGCACGAGCAGGAAGAAAUAACCAAAGAAUUGAGGCCAGAAGAGGAGAAUACCACGAUUAUAAGAUGAAGAUUGACCUUCCCAUGUAUGAUGGCAAACGAAACAUAGAAGCAUUCUUGGACUGGAUAAAGAGUACUGAAAACUUCUUCAACUACAUGGAUACGCCUGAACGCAAGAAAGUCCACCUAGUAGCCUUAAAAUUAAGGGCUGGUGCAUCAGCUUGGUGGGAUCAGUUAGAAAUCAAUAGACAAAGAUGCGGGAAACAACCGGUUCGCUCAUGGGAAAAGAUGAAAAAAUUAUUGAAGGCAAGAUUCUUACCACCAAACUACGAACAAACUUUAUACAAUCAGUACCAAAACUGCCGCCAAGGUGUCCGGACAGUAGCUGAGUACAUUGAAGAAUUCCACCGCCUGAGUGCAAGAACAAACCUAAGCGAAAAUGAACAGCACCAGGUUGCAAGAUUUGUGGGAGGCCUUCGAUUCGACAUCAAGGAAAAGGUCAGACUACAACCAUUUCGUUUCCUGUCUGAAGCAAUAUCAUUUGCAGAAACGGUAGAGGAGAUGAUUGCAAUUCGAUCCAAGAAUCUAAAUAGAAGAUCAGCAUGGGAAACAAAUUCGACAAAAAGCAAAACAAACGACCAACCUUCAACCUCAACAAAAGCAAAAGGGAAAGAGAUUGAUAAUCAAGAAGUAGCCGUUGAAAGAAAGAAAGAACAGACGUUCAAGCCUAGUGGUCAGAACAGCUACUCCCGCUCGUCAUUAGGAAAAUGCUUCCGAUGUGGCCAAACUGGCCACCUGUCCAACAACUGUCCGCAAAGAAAAACCAUUGCAAUAGCCGAAGAAGGAGGACAGAUAAGUGAAGACAGUAUAGAAGCAGAGGAAGAAACUGAACUGAUUGAAGCAGAUGAUGGGGAAAGGGUCUCUUGUGUUAUCCAACGGUUACUAAUUACGCCCAAGGAAGAAAAGAACCUGCAACGCCACUGUCUUUUCAAGACAAGAUGCACCAUAAACGGAAGAGUAUGUGACGUAAUCAUAGACAGCGGCAGCAGUGAAAACUUCGUAGCAAAGAAAUUAGUAACAGUCUUGAAUCUAAAGGCUGAAGCACAUCCAAACCCUUACAAGAUAGGUUGGGUGAGAAAAGGAGGAGAAGCCACGGUCAGCGAAAUCUGUACAGUCCCUCUCUCCAUUGGAAACGCCUACAAAGACCAAAUUGUUUGUGAUGUCAUUGAGAUGGAUGUAUGCCAUCUCCUACUAGGAAGACCUUGGCAGUAUGAUACUCAAUCAUUACACAAAGGGAGGGAAAAUACAUAUGAGUUUCAAUGGAUGGGAAGAAAGGUAGUCUUACUCCCUAUAACGAAAAAGAUUAACGAAGGGUUAAGAGGUGAGAAACAGUUAUUCAUCACUGUUAGUGGGAAAAACAUGCUUAAAGAAAGGGAACAAGACAUCCUAGGACUGGUUGUUAUUGAAAAAACCAAAGAAAAACAGGUUGAAGACAUAGAACCCAAAUUACAGCAGCUCCUUCAUGAGUUCCCUCAUAUAAAGGAAGAACCGAAGGGACUCCCACCCCUUCGAGAUAUACAGCACCACAUAGACUUGAUUCCGGGAGCAUCACUACCAAAUUUGGCUCACUAUAGGAUGAGCCCCCAGGAGUACAAAAUACUUCAUGAUCAUAUUGAGGAAUUACUAAAGAAAGGGCACAUCAAACCUAGCCUCAGCCCGUGUGCAGUACCAGCACUUCUCACGCCAAAGAAAGAUGGAAGCUGGAGAAUGUGCGUUGACAGCAGAGCCAUCAACCGCAUCACGGUAAAGUAUAGAUUUCCCAUUCCAAGGAUUAGUGACCUGCUAGAUCAACUCGGAAAAGCCAGUAUCUUUUCGAAAAUUGACUUGAAAAGUGGCUAUCAUCAAAUACGGGUAAGACCUGGCGACGAAUGGAAGACAGCCUUCAAGACAAACGAAGGAUUAUUUGAAUGGAUGGUCAUGCCAUUCGGCCUUUCUAACGCACCCAGCACCUUCAUGAGAUUGAUGAACCAGGUACUUCACCCAUUUCUCAACAAAUUCAUAGUAGUUUACUUCGAUGACAUACUUGUUUACAGCACAAACAAUGAUGAGCAUUUACUACACCUAAGGAAGCUGUUCCAAGUCUUAACAGAAGCGGAACUCUACAUAAAUACUAAGAAAAGCAUGUUUAUGAAAAAAGAAAUUGCAUUCCUCGGCUUUAUAAUCAAACAAGGAAGCAUAAGCAUGGAACCAAAGAAAAUCGAAGCCAUCCAUACAUGGCCGACUCCUGCCUCCAUUAAAGAAAUACAAGCCUUCCUCGGCCUGGCUUCGUUUUACAGGAAAUUCAUCAGAAAUUUCAGCUCUUUAGCCGCACCACUAACUGACUGUCUAAAGAAAGGAAACUUCAAAUGGACCCCGUUACAACAAGAAAGCUUUGAAGAUAUCAAAAAGAAGCUCACAUCCAGCCCUAUCCUUAGAUUACCAGAUUUCUCUUCACCUUUUGAAGUAGCAGUUGAUGCAUGCUGUACAGGGAUUGGAGCUGUCCUAGUACAACAAGGACAUCCUAUCGAAUACUUCAGUGAAAAACUCAGCACCUCAAGACAGACCUGGAGCACAUACGAACAAGAGCUGUAUGCCCUCGUCCGAGCACUAAAACAAUGGGAACACUACCUGAUCUCUAAAGAAUUUGUACUCCUAACUGACCAUUUCUCACUAAAAUACCUUCAAGCUCAAAAGAAUAUCAGUAGGAUGCACGCACGCUGGAUAUCCUUCCUCCAAAGGUUUGACUUCGUGAUCAAACACCAAUCAGGCAAAGAGAAUAAGGUGGCCGAUGCUCUAAGCAGAAAAGGCUCCCUACUCACAAUACUGUCCUCGGAAAUCAUAGCAUUCAAACAUUUACCCGACUUAUACGAAGGUGAUACUGACUUCAAGGAUAUCUGGUACAAAUGCUCCAACUUCUUAGACGCUGAUGACUACCACAUUGUUGAAGGAUAUCUAUUUAAAGGAGAACAAUUAUGCAUCCCGCACACCUCACUACGUGAAGCCUUAAUAAAGGAAGCACAUUCUGGAGGGCUAGCUGGACAUUUCGGACAGAAUAAGACAUUGGAGAUCACUUCCAAACGAUACUACUGGCCGCAAAUAAGAAAAGACUCCAAUAAUUUCGUAAAAAGAUGCCCCAUCUGCCAAAGAACCAAAGGCUCCAGCACGAAUGCAGGAUUAUACUCGCCACUACCCAUCCCGACCUCAAUAUGGGAAGAUUUAUCAAUUGACUUCGUGAUUGGAUUACCAAAAACACAAAGACAAUUUGACUCAAUAAUGGUUAUAGUGGACAGAUUCAGCAAAAUGACACAUUUCGUAGCAUGCAAAAAGACAAAUGAUGCAAUCUACAUAGCCAACCUCUUCUUUAAAGAAGUAGUACGACUACAUGGAGUACCUAAAAGCAUAGUAUCAGACAGAGAUGUCAAGUUCCUGAGUCACUUUUGGCGAACACUGUGGAAGAAGUUUGACACAACACUGAAAUUCAGCACCACAGCCCACCCACAGACAGAUGGACAAACUGAAGUAACAAACAGGACCCUCGGUAAUCUGCUACGCUGCCUUAGCGGGUCAAAACCAAAACAAUGGGAUCUAGCAUUGGCUCAAGCUGAAUUCGCCUUCAAUAAUAUGAAGAACAGAUCAACAGGAAAGUCCCCCUUCGAAGUAGUUUAUACCAAACUACCACGAUUAACCUUUGAUCUCACUACACUCCCCACAACUGUGGAUCUCAACAACGAAGCAGAAUGCAUGGCAGAAAAUAUCAAAAAACUACACAAGGAAGUCCAUGAUCAUCUUAUACAGACAACAGACUCCUACAAAAAGGCAGCACAUAAAAAAAGAAGACAAGCCCACUUCAAUAAAGGAGACCUAGUAAUGGUACACCUGAAAAAGAGCAGAUUUCCUACUGGCACCUACAACAAGCUGAAAGACAGACAAAUUGGGCCAUUCCCUAUAUUAGAGAAAUACGGAGAUAAUGCCUUCAAGAUCGAUCUACCACAAGACAUACACAUACACCCAGUCUUCAAUGUUGCUGACCUAAAGCCAUACCAUGCACCAGAUCGUUUCAGGCUUGCUGACUGAUGGACCCUGGGACGAGUCCAUCCUUAGGGGGUGGAAUGAUGUAAACUAUAGCUAGUUAGUUAGUAAAAAUCCCUAACUAAUUAGAAAUACAGCUGUAACUAACUUCCUAAAACAGUCUUGUAACUAACUAAAUAAAACAACCUUGUAACUAACUUGUAACUAACCUUGAGAUAUCAAUAUAUAACAGUCUCCUAGCCUGAAAUAUGGCAGAGAAUUCUUUUGAAAAAUCAAUCCAACUUUGAAUUACAUCACUUCGGGUGUGGGUAUUGGGGCUGUCCUAAUGCAAAAUCAACGACCAGUGGCCUUUUUCAGUCAAGCUUUACCUAUUACCCAUAGGUUUAAGGCUGUUUAUGAAUGGGAGCUUAUGGCAAUAGUGCUGGCUGUUAAAAAAUGGCGACCAUAUCUAUUGGGUAAGCCUUUUGUGGUGCGUACAGAUCAGAAAAGUUUGAAGUUUCUUCUUGAACAACGGGCUAUCGGGGGAGAAUAUCAGAGAUGGAUCGCUAAACUAUUGGGGUAUGAUUUUGUGAUUGAGUACAAGAAAGGAUUGGAAAACAAAGCGGCCGAUGCCUUAUAGAGAUUACCACCGGUAUUUGAAUUGGGCCUCGUAAGUAUUGUGGGCGGGCUAAACCCUUCGGUUUUCGUCGAUCAAGUGGCUGGAAAUGAAUCUCUUAACAAUAUUCGAUUAUCCUUGAUAAAUGGACAGCCAGCUCCAGAUGGAUAUUUGCUACAAGGAGGAGGAUUCACCUAAUAUUACUUUAUUAUUAGCUGAGUUCCAUAACAGCCCGAUAGGGGGACAUCAUGGUGCAUUGAAAACAUAUCAAAGGCUAGCAAGGGAGGUCUAUUGGCACCUAUGUUGCUGAAUGUUCCGUGUGUCAGCAAGCCAAAUACUUGUCUUUAACUCCGGCUGGUUUCCUUCAAGCAUUACCCAUUCCGGACCGUGUGUGGGAAGAUAUUAGUAUGGAUUUUAUUGAGGGCCUCCACAAAUCCGAGCGUUAUGAUGUUAUAUUGGUAGUUGCGGAUCGUCUUUCCAAGUAUGCACAUUUCAUUCCCUUGAAACAUCCAUUUGGUGCAAAAGUGGUUGCUGCUGUUUUUAUGCGAGAGAUUAUUCGUUUGCAUGGAUGCUCCCGAAGUAUAGUGUCGGAUCGUGAUCGUAUUUUCACAAGUCUAUUCUGGGAAGAGUUGUGGAGGUUGUUGGAAACUCAGUUGAGACGAAGCACCACUUACCACCCCCAAACGGAUGGUCAAACAGAAGUUGUCAAUCGAGGGGUGGAGACGUAUCUACGGUGUUUUGCUAUGAACACACCUAAACAGUGGGGUAAAUGGCUAGCUUGGGUUGAAUUGAGCUAUAAUACAACAGUCCGUACAGCCAUAUUGAUGACCCCCUUCGAGGCCCUCUAUGGGCGACCACCCCCCUCUAUAUUACCGUAUGUGAAGGGCUCGAGUCGGGUGAAUGAAGUAGACCAUUUGAUGAAAGAAAGAGAUGAAAUUUUGGGUGUUUUGAAGGCCAAUUUACUGAAAGCACAGCAGCGAAUGGUCAAAUAUGCUAAUGCUAAAAGACAGGAGGUUCUGUUUAAGGUUCAUGAUUGGGUUUAUGUGAAGUUACGCCCUUACCAACAAUCCUCUCUCAGCCGUUUUAAGCACCCCAAAUUGGCCCCAAGAUUCAUUGGUCCAUUUAUGAUCGUGGCACGAAUUGGUUUCGUUGCAUAACGUUUGGCCUUUCCCAAGGAAUCGCUUAUACACCCAUCUUUCAUGUUUCUGUUCUUCGCAAGGUCGUGAGUUCAAACAGGCCAUUAUUCCCAAUUCCAAAAGAUUUGGCUGCUGAUUUGUCUAUGCAAGUGUCUCCAGUAGAAGUAUUGGGAGUUCGCAAAACAAUAGAAAAGGAGGACAACUUAGAAGUUUUGAUCCGUUGGAGUGAGGGGACACUUGAAAGUGCAACAUGGGAACAAGCUGCUCUUAUUCAAGAACAGUUUCCUGAAUUCCACCUUGAGGACAAGGUGGCUCUUUGGGGGGCGGAUAAUGAUAGACCUCCCAUAGUAAACGUGUAUUCCCGUAGAGACAAGAAUAGGAAGAAGAAAGAAUGAUUGAGAGUUAGUUGGUAUUUUUCUAUUUGUGUGGGCCCUUAGGAAUGUGUUUGUUAGAGUGGGGCCAAGUAUUUUGUUAUUUCUCUGAGCAAUUACUUAAGUGUCUUGAGUGGGAGGGUAUGGGUAUCUUUUUGGACAUAUGGGUCAACUGUCAAGCACAAGAUGCUGCCUACUUUCAGAUGAGCAACAUCAUUCCGAUCUUAACAGUCAGAAGAGCAAAUCAAAUCAAUCCUAGCAUAUUCACAAAUCACAACUAAAAAGUACAAACAUUACAAAAUAAAACAUGCAGCGAUAUCAACAAGCAUUCUGAUAAAUAAUUAGCCAAUUAAUUGACAUUACAAAAUAAAUAAAGAAAAACAAGCAUUCUGAUAUUUUUCUAUUUGUGCGGGCAGCCGAUGUUUACAAAACAGCGUUUCGAACCCACGAGGGGCCCUAUGAAUUCCUUGUGAUGCUGUUUGGGUUGAAACGCUCCGGCAACAUUCCAAUCAAUCAUGAGUGAUGUUCUUCGCCCAUAUUUACGCAAGUUUGUUUUGGUUUUCUUUGAUGACAUCUUAAUUUACAGCAAGUCCUUGGACGAGCAUUUGCACCAAUUGGCAAUGGUUUUGGAAACUCUAGUAGCUCAUCAACUGGUAGCCAACUUUAAAAAAUGCCAAUUUGCGGUUGACAAAAUUGAAUACUUGGGCCAUGUUAUUUCUUCAGAGGGGGUGGCAGCGGAUCCAACAAAAAUAGAAGCGAUGGUUAAAUGGCCAGCACCCAAGAACGUGAAGGAGCUAGGUGGGUUUUUUGGGGCUAACGGGGUAUUAUCGGAAAUUCGUUGCAAACUACGGUUCUAUUGUGCUGCCCCUCUUGACACAACUGUUAAAAAAGGUAACUUUAAGUGGAAUGAGACGACUGAGAACGCAUUUCAGCAGUUAAAAGUCAGCAAUGAUGUCUGUCCCAGUGCUAGGUAUUCCUGAUUUUUCACAAAGUUUUGUGCUGGAAACUGAUGCUUUGGGUGUGGGUAUUGGGGCUGUCCUAAUGCAAAAUCAACGACCAGUGGCCUUUUUCAGUCAAGCUUUACCUAUUACCCAUAGGUUUAAGGCUGUUUAUGAACGGGAGAUUAUGGCAAUAGUGCUGGCUGUUCAAAAAUGGCGACCAUAUCUAUUGGGUAAGCCUUUUGUGGUGCGUACAGAUCAGAAAAGUUUGAAGUUUCUUCUUGAACAACGGGCUAUCGGGGGAGAAUAUCAGAGAUGGAUCGUUAAACUAUUGGGGUAUGAUUUUGUGAUUGAGUACAAGAAAGGAUUGGAAAACAAAGCGGCCGAUGCCUUAUAGAGAUUACCACCGGUAUUUGAAUUGGGCCUCGUAAGUAUUGUGGGCGGGCUAAACCCUUCAGUUUUCAUCGAUCAAGUGGCUGGAAAUGAAUCUCUUAACAAUAUUCGACUAUCCUUGAUAAAUGGACAACAAGCUCCAGAGGGAUAUUCGCUACAAGGAGGAGGAUUCACCUGAUAUUACUUUAUUAUUAGCUGAAUUCCAUAACAGCCAGAUAGGGGGACAUCAUGGUGCAUUGAAAACAUAUCAAAGGCUAGCAAGGGAGGUAUAUUGGCGAGGUAUGACAGCCCAUAUCCGCACCUAUGUUGCUGAAUGUUCCGUGUGUCAACAAGCCAAAUACUUGUCUUUAACUCCGGCUGGUUUCCUUCAAGCAUUACCCAUUCCGGACUGUGUGUGGGAAGAUAUUAGUAUGGAUUUUAUUGAGGGCCUCCCCAAAUCCGAGGGUUAUGAUGUUAUAUUGGUAGUUGCGGAUCUUCUUUCCAAGUAUGCACAUUUCAUCCCCUUGAAACAUCCAUUUGGUGCAAAAGUGGUUGCUGCUGUUUUUAUGCGAGAGAUUAUUCGUUUGCAUGGAUGCCCCUGAAGUAUAGUGUCGGAUCGUGAUCGUAUUUUCACAAGUCUAUUAUGGGAAGAGUUGUGGAGGUUGUUGGAAACUCAGUUGAGACGAAGCACCACUUACCACCCCCAAACAGAUGGUCAAACGGAAGUUGUCAAUCGAGGGGUGGAGACGUAUCUAGGGUGUUUUUCUAUGAACACACCUAAACAAUGGGUUAAAUGGCUAGCUUGGGCUGAAUUGAGCAAUAAUACAACAGUCCGUACAGCCACAUUGAUGACCCCCUUCGAGGCCCUCUAUGGGCGACCACCCCCCUCUAUAUUACCAUAUGUGAAGGGCUCGAGCCAGGUGAAUGAUGAAGUAGACCAUUUGAUGAAAGAAAGAGAUGAAAUUUUGGGCGUUUUGAAGGCCAAUUUACUGAAAGCACAGCAGCGAAUGGUCAAAUAUGCUAAUGCUAAAAGACGGGAGGUGCAGUUUGAGGUUCAUGAUUGGGUUUAUGUGAAGUUACGCCCUUACCGACAGUCCUCUCUCAGCCGUUUUAAGCACUCCAAAUUGGCCCCAAGAUUCAUUGGUUCAUUUAUGAUCGUGGCACGAAUUCGUUUCGUUGCAUACCGUUUGGCCCUUCCCAAGGAAUCGCUUAUACACCCGGUCUUUCAUGUUUCUGUUCUUCGCAAGGUCGUGGGUUCAAACAGGCCAUUAUUCCCAAUUUCAAAAGAUUUGGCUGCUGAUUUGUCUAUGCAAGUGUCUCCGGUAGAAGUAUUGGGAGUUUGCCAAAACAAUAGAAAAGGAGGACAACUUAGAAGUUUUGAUCCGUUGGAGUGAGGGGACACUUGAAAGUGCAACGUGGGAACAAGCUGCUCUUAUUCAAGAAACAGUUUCCUGAAUUCCACCUUGAGGACAAGGUGGCUAUUUGGGGGGCGGGUAAUGAUAGACCUCCCAUAGUAAAGGUGUAUUCCCGUAGAGACAAGAAUAGGAAGAAGAAAGAAUGAUUGAGAGUUAGUUGAUAUUUUUCUAUUUGUGUGGGCCCUUAGGAAUGUGUUUGUUAGAGUGGGGCCAAGUAUUUUGUUAUUUCUCUAAGUAAUUACUUAAGUUUCUUGAGUGGGAGGGUAUGGGUAUCUUUUUGGACAUAUGAUUUUGGUAUAGACUCUCAUUAGAGAAGUGUGUAGAGAUUGGGGAGCUCUCAAAUCCUCCCCCACAGUUGAUAAAUAAAAUUUUGGCUAAAGCCUUGACAAAAGCUAAUGUAGAACAUCCCCUUCUUUAUGUUUCUUGAGUUUUAUCCUAGAGGAGGUGUUUGAAUUACCAUUUUUAUAGUUUAGGAUUAGUUAUUUGAAUUAACAAUUUUGUAUCUUGAGUUAGUUAUAAGUAAACUAACUCAACCCCAAGUUAGUUUAACAACUCUUGUAAUCUCCAGCCUAUAAAAAGGCUUCUCAUUUUCAUUAAUAAAUCAUAAAAAAAAAGGCAUUAUACAUAAAGAUUUCCUAGCUUUGCAAUUACAGCACCAAAAGCAAUGUACAGUUCAGAUGAGACUUUAUUCCAGUAUAGAGUAGCUCUGUAAUUGCAGAUCAAGAAAGUGAAUGUAGCAUGGAAAUCCCAAAUUCAAUGUUUGGAAGUUAGCAAUUGACAAUCUCAUUAGUAGGAAGACAGCAGAUUAUUAGCAAAUUCAAUGUGAUUGAGAUCUUUUAGCAUGACUACUUGAGAACUUUUAGCACAACCGCGGCAGCAACUUCAAUAACAGAAAAACAUGCAUAAUGUAGGAAGACAGCAGAUUUCAAAUUAUGACAUUGUAUUUAUGAACGUCAGGCGAUACAUUAAUGUUCCAAAAUUCAACCAAAGUAUGGGGUGAAAGAUAUAUAAGAAUCUUCCAUGAUAAGGCCAAGACCAGGAUAUCCUUAUCCAAAAAAAGAAAAAACUAAUCAACCAAAGUAAAUUCCAUGUAUGAUUGGGAAUUAUGGCCAUACCUUUGCCAAAAGAACUUCGAGGAAAUGGAAAAGCUGGAGAUGUUGCUCAUGUAUCAUUCCCGAACCAGGAUUGGGGUAGAGCAAAUGGUCAGCGAUUUGCUGGAUUACCAAGCAGAAAAUAACUUAUAUUAGAAAAAAUGAACAAUACAUACCCACAUAUUACUGAAAUUUUAUGAAAUAGAUUUCAAGCAACCAAUUUUUAUAUUGAAAUGUGAUCUCACAACUAUUUUUAUUUUGAAAAGCGAUUUCAAACAACUAUGGCUGUUUCAUCACGCUUCAUGUUAUCCAAUAAUACUACAGGAUUAACAAAGCCAUGCCAUGCUAAUAAUAAGGAAUGUCGUGAUAACCUUAAAUAAACCAUACUGCACGUCAAAGGCUGCCCGUGUAAUGUUCUCCAUGACAUCUUUAAAAAUACCACCACCAUCAAUUCCUGCCUCCUCAACUCCAAAAUUCAUUAACAAAAGACACACGUAUCUGCAUGCAGAAAAGUGAAGCAAUUGACCCAACACAAACAAGAAAAAACUAAUAAACAAUUACAAGUAACUCUGCAACUAUAGGAUGCAGAAGAGGGAAGGGGUCGUUUUCACGAGGGCAAAGAAAAAGAUAGAAAAAAGUAAGAUAACAAUUUCAUUUUUCAUAAAUCAUGGAAGUCUGAAAUUACCGAUCCUCGAAGAUCAACUUCAGACAAUGCACUCAUCUGACUGAAAGCAUCUUCCAAUAUAUGAUUUCGUCGAAUUCUAAACCGGUUUUCUGGCAAAAACAGCAAGAGAUCCAUUCCUUUGCCUAGCUGCUGCUAGUUGUGUCUGUGAAAUGAGUUAUAGAGAAAGUAACCAUAAAUAAAAAAUAUCUUACAUAUUUCUAUAACUAACAGUCAUCCAAGAAAUUCAAUAUUGUGGAUAAGGAAACCAAAAAAAAUAACUUGCUUACAGUGAAAAUCUUAACCCUGCUAGUAAACGGUACUAAAAAGGGAACUCGCUUGUGUAUAUCAUUUGCUCUGGUAUUUUCCAUCACUGCCUACAAAGAAACAAGGCCAAGUAAAUAAUUAGAAUUACGAUCAGAUAGUGGUUUCUCUCAUGGAAAUUCCAUUGCAAAAUGGAAGGUUCACUUGGUCUAGAGAUGGUAAUUCUCCUUGAAGAUCAUUAUUAGACAGAUUCUUCAUAAAUCAGAUGUGGGAUAUUUGUUUUGAAAAUUCUCGGGUUUCUCGAAAAGCACGCAUCUUCUCGGAUCACUUUCCUUUAUUCUUGGAGGCUGGUUCUUUUCUUUGGGGUCCCUCUCCUUUUCGGUUUUGUAACAGCUGGUUGGUGUCCAGUGAUUCUAAUCAGAUUAUUGUUGAAACAGUGAGCAACUCUAACUUCCAGGGAUGGGCUGGUUUCAUUCUUCAUGAGGCAGUUGAGAUCAGUUAAAUUGGCAGUAAAAAGCUUGGAAUAUUGCUGCGCAAGCUAAGGUAAAAAAAAAACAGAGAAAUCCUUGAUGUCAAAAUUAGAAAAAUAUGAUUCUGUGGCUGAGUUUGAUUGGAUUAAAUCAAGAAGAGUUGAAUUCUAGAGCUGCUUUGCAAGCGGAAUUACUUAGUAUUUAUCAAAACGAAGAGCGUAAUUUUAUUCAGAAGAGUAAACUCAAUUGGCUUUCUUUGGGUGAUGAGAAUACGGGCUUCUUCCACCGGUUUCUAAAUGCGAAAAAAAGAAGGAACCUCAUAACUGAAUUAAAAAAUGAUUGAUGGGGUUGUCUCGACUUCAUUCCGCGACAUUGAAAGGGCUUGUGCUGGAAUUUUUUUGAGUCACUUUAUACCAGAAUUCCGGGGGACAGAUUCAUCCCUAUUAACAGUAAUUGGUCUUGUGUUUCCUCAAUUCAGAAUGAGCGCUCUUGUUACCCAAUUUUCAGUGGAGGAGAUCUUUAAGGCAUUAAAGGCACUUUGGCAACAAUAAAGCUCCGGGCCCGGAUGGCUUCACAGUGAAGUUCCUAAUCACCCAAUGGUCUAUUUUCAAGGAUAUCUUCAAAUCACUAAUGUCUGAUUUCCACAGAAAUAGAAGAUUAAAUGCUUGCAUCCAAGAAAACUUUAUUUGUUUAGUGCAGAAAAAAGAGAAUGUGACUCUAGUCAAGGAUUUCCGUCCAAUCAGCCUUACUACGUUAGCAUACAAGGUCGUUGCAAAGGUUUUAUCUGAACGUCUAAAACAAGUUAUGGAUGCAAUUAUAAGCCCCACUCAAAGCGCCUUUAUUGAAGGUAGGCAAAUUCUUGACCCAAUAUUAAUUGCUAACGAGGCCGUGGAAGAUUAUAGGGCAAAAUGGAAAAAAGGAUGGAUUUUAAAACUUGACUUGGAAAAAGCCUUCGAUAGGGUGAAUUGGAACUUUUUAGAAAAAAAUUUAUCUUUGAAAAAGUUUAGUUCAAAAUGGACAUCAUGGAUAAUGGGCUGCCUAAAAAUUCCAAAGUAUUCAAUCUUCAUCAAUGGUAAGCCUAGAGGCCGGAUAACAGCAUCUAGAGGUAUCCGCCAAGGGGACCCCCUCUCCCCCUUUUUAUUCCUCCUAGUAAGUGAGGUUUUAGGAGAAAUCAUAAACAAGCUUCAUAUUAACAGCCAGUUUGAAGGUUUCCUUGUUGGCAAAGACUUGAUCCACCUCCCUUUGCUUCAAUUUGUCGAUGAUACUCUUCUCUUUUGUAAGUAUGAUGUGAAGAUGCUCCUUAAACUUUAAAACGUCAUUAGUUUAUUCGAAUGGUGUUUGGGGCAGAAAGUAAACUGGGAAAAAUCAGCCCUUAGCGGCGUUAAUGUGGGAGAGGAAGAUUUGUUUCAAACAACAAAUCUGAUAGGGUGCAAGGUAGAAAAGCUUCCGAUUAUAUAUUUAGGUCUCCUUUUGGGAGGCUACCCUCGACAAAAGUCUUUUUGGCAACCAGUCAUUGAUCGAAUUCACAAGAAACUUGAAAGGUGGAAAAGAUAUAACAUCUCUAGAGGCGGAAGACAAACCUUAUGCAACUCAGUUCUGGUUAGCCUUCCUACAUACUACCUACUUUAUUUUCUAUACCUGAAAAUGUGGCUGCCUCUUUGUUAAAGUGAGUUUUUGGAUUGAAGGAAAAGGUCUGCAAUACUCCUUGAAAGACAGGGGAAGCAGAAGAUUGGUGUUCUAUAUUCUGGUUUGCUUAUUAGUAUUUUGUUGUUUGGAAUUUUGGAUUAGGAGGUUUUCUUUGUUUGAUGUUUGUGAAUUAUAUGUAACGUGACUCAUUUUCUGAGGUUCACGGUUUGCUUAUGUUGUAAGUUGUGUUUGAAUUGUCAAUAUAAUAGAAACACUACAUCAGUGUUCUAUCAUGAUGUCAUCCUUGGAAUGCAAUGGCUGCACACGUUGGGGUAACUGAAGUGGAUUGGCGGAAACUCACUUUAAUUUUCAUACAAAAUGAAAAGAAUGUUGUUAUAAGGGGUGACCCGAGUUUGACAAAGACUAGAGUGAGUCUGUAACACAUGAUGGAGAAAUGGACACCAUCUGAUUACGGUUUCUUGACAAAAUGUCGAGCUAUGGAGGGAGGAAUGACAUUUACCGAACUAUAUGGAAUUGAUGAUGUUCCUACAUUUCAAGAGUUACUACCAGCAGACAAUUUUGGCUAUCCUAAAAAUCCAGCAACAAAGAAGUGGGAAGUGCUUGUUAGUUGGAAAGGAAUACCACCUCAUGAGGCUACAUGGGAGAAUUGUGAUGAUUUUACACAAAAGCUUCCUCAUUUCCCACCUUGAGAACAAGGUGUCUUUGGAGAGGGAGAGUAAUGAUAGACCACCAAUUGCAAUACGAUAUAGCAGAAGAAAGACAAGUGGAAUUGCACGUGCACAGGUGAUGGAAUUGGAGGAAGUGGAAACCACCUUAGUGGGGACAACAGUUAGUUACAGGGGGGAGGUUAAAAGGGAGAGAUGGAAGGAAAGAUGGGGGUUGGUUAAUCAGUUUCUGGAAGUGGAGGGGCUGUAUUUUCUGGAGAGCAGAAUUACAGAAGUUGUUCAGUUUAAUCUUAGAAAGUGUUUUCCAUUAUCGUAAACUACUUUUGAUGUUUGAAUGUUUUAUUUUGUACUUGGUUAUUGUCUGUAAUAGUACUUAUUUGUUCUGUGUUUUCAAGACUGGUUUGAGUAUUGUAUUCUGUAAUAGUUUGGUUGCUUAAUGAACAAAUAAGAACCAUUACUUGGUGUUCUAUCAGCUUCUCAAUCAAGCAUUAACAUCUCAAUAAGGUAUUAUACAUGCAAUCAAACAAUCACAACAUACAUACCAUUUACUCGAAACGACCUAAAACAUGCUCAAAACGUGUCUAAGUUUCACUUGAACUUUCAAAACGACCUAAAACAGCUUACGUGUAGGUUCGUAACUCAUAACCUACGAAAAAAGUUCAAAUAUUGUGAAAAAAGCACUACAAGACCCAAAAUGGCAACCGAGUGUGUAAGUGCAACAAACUUAAUUCAAACCAACCUAAAAUGUGCUCAAAACGUGUCUAGGUAUUACUUGAGUUUUCAAAACGACCUAGCAAAUCCUAAGUGUAAGUUCGUAACUCAUAAUCUACCAAAAAGGUUGAAAAAAGCAUUUCAAGACCAAAAAUGACAACCAAGUGCAACAAACUCAAUCUAACCUAAAAUGUAUUCAAAACGUGUGUAAGUAUCACUUGAAUUUUCAAAACGACCAAGCAAUGCUUAAGUGUAAGUUUGUAACUCACAACCUACCAAAAUUUCAAAAAGUAUGAAAAAAGUACUUCAAGACCCAACAUGUCAAUCAAAUGUGUGUAAAACUUAGUUUCAAACCAACCUAAAACGAGUUCAAAACGUGUCUAAGUUUCACUUGAACUUUCAAAACGACCUAACAAAUAUUCAAUACAAGUUCAUAAGUCAUAACCUAGCAAAAAGUUCAAAAUUUUUGAAAAAGACACUCCAAAACCCAAAAUGUCAAGUGUGUAAGUGCAACGAACUUAGUUCUAUACAAACCUAACAAGUAUUGAAAACACGUAUAAGUUUUCAAACACCCUAACAACGCUUAAGUGUAAGUUUAUAACUCAUAACUUACCAAAAAUUUCAAAAAGUGUGAAAAAAAAUCUUUCAAGACUCAAAAUGGCAACCAUGGCUGUAUGUAAAACUAACUUAGUUUGUAACAACCUAAAAGGUGUUCAAAAAAUGUUUAAGUAUCACUCGAACUUUAAAAACGACCUAAUAAUGCUUUAGUGUUACUUCAUAACUCAUAACCUACCAAAAAGUUCAAAAAAUGUAGAAAAAGCACUCCAAAAUCCAAAAUGGCAACCAAGUGUGUAAGUGCAACAAACUUAGUCUCAACUUUAAAAUUAGUGCGAGUUGGGAAAUGUAUUAACUCAAGCAUGAUGUAAAAACUUGAAACGACUUAAAUAUUUAUUCACCAUCACAUAAAAACAGUAAUUAAAUAUAGAUAACAUGUGUAAAUAAAGGGAGAAUCACCUUUCUAGCAGUAGCUUUAGAGUAAGACCAAACACCAUCCUCCUACUUGUAAAUCUGCUCGAUUGUCUACUUUGUUCUACACUCGUCAUUUCACCAUCUCAGGCCAUCCAUUGAAUUGGCCACCCAGCCUUGGCAUACAAGAGUAUGUCUCAGCCUGUUAACAAAUACCACUAAAACUAAGCAAGACGAAGAAAAAAGUUUUCAAAAAAUUACCUAACUUUUAGGUCUUCAUGUGACCUUUAAGUACUUCUGUUUUCUCCUUCAACUCUUUGACAGAUUGCUGAAAUUAUGUGUUUCUGCAAUGUUUACCAGAACAUGAAAGAUUCAUUACGAAAAUAAAUACCAUGAAUACAAACCAUGAAGAAAUAGUAAAACAGUCAAUACAAGAAGAAAAAAGUUCACUUGAAAACGACCUAAAACAGUAUCACUUGAACAAAAUGUGUCUAAGUAUCACUUGAACUUUCAAAACGACCUAAAACAGCUUACGUGUAGGUUCGUAACUCAUAACCUACGAAAAAAGUUCCAAUAGUGUGAAAAAAGCACUACAAGACCCAAAAUGGCUACCAAGUGUGUAAGUGUAACAAACUUAGUUCAAACCAACCUAAAACGUGCUCAAAACGUGUCUAGGUAUUACUUGAGUUUUCAAAACGACCUAGCAAAUCCUAAAUGUAGGUUCGUAACUCAUAUAAUCUACCAAAAAGGUUGAAAAAAGCAUUUCAAGACCAAAAAUGACAACCAAGUGCAACAAACUCAAUCUAACCUAAAAUGUAUUCAAAACAUGUUGAGCCAACAAAGAUACACACCAGCAAACUUUUGAACAUAGGACCCUCCUAAACUACUCACUUUUGAACAUAGGACUUCCUCAACUAUCUACUCACUUCUGAACAUACAACCUUGAUAGAACACUUAUGUACUGUUUCUAUUAUAUUGAUAUUUGAGACUUAAAGUUGCAAUAGAAAGAAAAUUACAGAGAAAUUACAAACAACAAGCAAAGAAACCCUCCUAAUCCAAAACAGAAAUAAACACAAUUCAAAAUACUACAAUUAAAACCAGAACAAUUCUGGCAGGCCCUUCCUUUUACUAAAAACUGCCUGCCCUUUCCCAUCUCCCUCUCAUCCAUUUAACUUCCUGUUUUAGAUAACUGUCAUCCUUUUGAAUAAGUAACUGUGUUGAUUACUAACGUGCCUUACUUUCCUUUCUUCUAUUAUAAGUAAAAUAACAAUGGUGGUCUAACAGACCUCCUAAACUAUCCACUCUAGAGCAUGUUAAAUCACCAAUUCAUCCAAAAACUAAUGACGUAAAUGUAAUAUUAUAUCUUCAACGUAAAUGUAAAUGUAAACUAAUGACACUACAAGUGAUUUUGAAACUAAGACAUUGAAGCAGUCUGUUAGGAAGGGUGAUGGAACCAGCAAGAGUGGGGGGAGUUCUUUAAAACAAUCAGAGGUCAAGAGAAAGAAGGGAUCAGCUAAAUCUAUUUCUGGAAAAAACGUGAAAAGAUUGUCAGGUGAUGAUGAUAAAAAGGAAACCACACCUGUGCUGAAACCAGCCUCCAAAAAUUGGAAGUAAAUCAAAGGAUCAAGGCACUCUUGAAAUUGGAAGUAAACGUGGUAGCACAGGUCCAAAAAUCGCUGGCAAGUCGAAGAAUGAUGAUGCCGAAUCCAACAAGACUAGCAAAUCUAAGGACGAUGAGACAUCCACACCUGCCGCUGUUGCAAAGUCCAACAAGCAAGAUGUAUCGAAGACGGGGAAGUCCAAACAAGAAACCCCAAAAACUCCCGUUUCAAAAGGCAAGUCUACCAAAACAGGCGAUAAGUCUAAUAAUACCAAUCUCUCCACCAAGGUUAAGUUCACAUCUUCAAAAGCAAAAGAAAAAGAAAGUGGAGAUGUGAAGCAUUCAUCAACUUCUGGGAAAACAAUGGAGAACUCAAAGGGAAAGUCACUAAAUUCAUCCAAUGAUCAGGGCAGUGAAUCCAAGUCAGGAAAGAAAAGAAGAAGAGAGUCAAAAGGUUGAUAACCACGUCUAUUCCAAAAAGGUUGGAGUUGUCUAUUCUUGGCUCAGUUUGCACCACAUAUUUGCAAAUUCUACUAUGAGUAGUUCUUGGCAAACUUGAUCUCUGGAUCUGAUGAUGUCUCUCAUUGGCACAUUUUCGAGAUUGUCGUAUAUUCUUAGUUAGGUAGGUUAGCAGCAAUUAUAGGAGUAUGGCAGUUCUCUUUGUAGUUGUUUGGCGCUAUUCAUGUCAUCUGUGGGAGGUAAAUGACCAAUAAAAAAUAAUACGCAAUAAAAAAGAAUCAGAAAGAAAACAAUAUGCAUUUUUGUUUUCAAAUUCUUGGUGAAAUCACAAUUCAGAAAUGAAAUUUGGUUCAUUCUCCACGAUAAUAUGGUGACCUAAAUAACAUAAGUUUCAGAGUCAUGGGAGAUUAAAAGCCUUGCUAAUUGCUCAAACUCUGAAUGCAAAGGCUUUUCCCAUGUGAAGGAACCCAGAGAACCAGCCAAAGCAGCAUGCUUCUUCCCAAUGCAAGAACAUUCAGUGUAUCUUCUGAUUAUGUACUGAAUGCAGUAGGAAAAAUGAUAUGAAGUUGUAAUUCAAGCUAAGGUUUUGUUGCAUAAACCAAAAACUUAAAUGGAUAAAACACAAAAUGCAUCCUAUUCCCACCUUAUGCCUACUACAUCGCUAACAAUACACUUACUGCAGCACCAAGAUACAGCUUGUAGCCAAAUUUCAGAAGGAAAAAAUAUAUUCAGAUUUCUGCAUAUCGAGAAUUCGGUGAAACGCACCUGAGUUUAUUUACUCAACUAAUCCACAACAAUUUGUGAUAUGAACACUCUUGGCAGAGGUCCAUUGACCCCAUCACCAUCGGCAGCAGCAUUAGAAAUGAGCUGUUUCCACCAACAUAUUACUACAUUGAACCAAGCAAGGAAGGACCAAAAACAGUGUAAAUGGGACGUAUGGUUACUCCAUUUUCCCUGUUGUUGGGUCCAAAACUACCCAUCGCUCAUUCCAUUUCCUCAACUGCAAACAUUGUAAUAGAGAAAAUCAGAUUUGCUACAAUGAAGGCUCAUUGCCAUAAAAAAUGCUGUCUAAGAACAGAAACGCAGAAAAUAGAAGGCUGAUCAAACGUGACCACAAUUCUGCAUAUGCGCACUACAAAACAGUCUGAGAAUACUAUCACAUCGACGGCCAUAUUCAUAAACACAAAUAUGCCGACAGUUAGAUCACGAACAUGGGCAUUUCUCACAUUUCUAAUCUCCUUGAAAUCACAAAUCCCGACGUCCUAAUCUUAAUAAGUACUUCUAGGUGAUUUAAUUAAGUCUUCAAAUAUCACUAAAACAGUCGGAACGAUUUAAAUGGAAGACCUAAAGGCAGCGCAAUUAAGCAGUAACCAUCAAUUCAAAACAAAAGGAAAGACAGAAAGAGUUGCAAUGCGUUAGUUUACUGUUUCAGAUCGCUUUAGAAGGGGACCCUGCAACAAAUUCCGACCAGACCCAGAGGCCAGCUGCCGCUUGAUCUUCUCCAAACUGUCCCCGGCAUCUUCCGCUCUCUCCACCAACAACAAUCAUAAAUUAAAAACAUGUCGAGCCAACAAAGAUACACACCAGCAAACUUUUGAACAUAGGACCCUCCUAAACCUUAAACAGAUUUUGCAGUGGGCUUCCGACUCAAAUAAACAGCCUCCAUGCUCCCCAAAACGUUCCUAAGAAAGGAUUCAUCUCCCUACCAACCAACAUGCAUCACAUCCCAUAACUUUCAUUUCUUCAUAAAAAAUGUAACUAACUCAAGGUAAAAAAAAAAAAAAAACAGAACAAGAACACUAACCAACUUCUAAGGAAUCAGCUCCCUGCCAACAUGCACCACAUCCCAUAACUUUAAUUUCUUCAAAUACAAAGGAUUUAACUCAAAGUAAAAAAAAAAAAACAGAACACGAACUCUAACCAACAAAAAUAGAAAAACCAACCUUAACCCUUGAUCCUUGCAGUCCAUCGAGAGGUUCAGCACUGGACAUGAUCGAGAACAUUCGGUUCCCAGCCACAGGUUUGGCCAUCGACGAAGAUUUUCAGAGGGAAAUGAAAUUUUUGGAAAUGGGUAGUGAACAAAAGUAAGGCUGAAAUGAUUUUGUUUGGAGAGUGGGCAAAAUUCUGGCGAGUGAGGAGAAAAGGGAAUACAUGGGGUUCGGUUUACAGGGAUUUUUCUUAAUGAUUGUUGGAAGAACAAAGAGAUUGUGAGGAGAUUUAAGGGUAACGACACAAAUGCAGAAUGUUAAAUCCAAAAAGGCGAAAUGGCCAAUUGAAUAUUUAAGGAAGUUUGAUCUGCCUGCUAGCUGUUUUCUUGCUUCUUUAUGGAAAUGUUGCAGAAAGAGUAGAACGAUGACAUAGUGCAUAAUGUGUUUCUCUUUACAAAGUAACCAAUGACUUACAAGAAAGACACCACACAACAAAUGACCAUUGGAAAACAAUAUACAUAUGAAAAGCUAAAAAAAUUUGCAGAAAUUGAAAAUGAAAUUUAAAGUAGAAAAGAAAUGAAAGAAAAAUACCCUAAAAGUUGCAAGUGCAAUAUGAUCAUAACCAAUUAGUAUCACCAUCAAAAGAUCGAACAAGCUCCAAAGUGGAUUUUACAGUGUGAUUCUGACUCACAUAAGCAGUCUCCAGGACUGCAAAACCAUUUCUAAGAAAGGAUCAUCACAACCCAUAACUUUAAAUUCUUCAAAAACAAUGCAAUGAAAUCAAAUCAGAAAAAAACAGAACAACAAUAACUAAAAAAUAAACCUUAACCCUUGAUCCUUGCAGUCCAUUGGAAGGUUCGGCACUCGACAAGAUCGAGAACAAUCGAUUCCUAGCAGCAGGUUUCGACAUCGACAAAGAAUUUCCGAGGGAAAUGAAAAUUUUGGAAAUGAGUAGUGAAGAAAAAUAAGGUUGAAACGAUUUUGUUUGGGGAGUGGGAAAAAUUAUGGCCGAUGGGGAGAAAAGGGAAGACAUGGGGUUCGGUUUACAGGGAUUUAACAAAGACAUUGUGAGGAGAUUUAAGGGCAACGACAAGAAUGGCAGAAUGUUAAAACCCAAAAGACUAAAUGGCCAAUUGAAUGUUUAAGCAGAUUGAUCUGCCUAUUAGUUGUUUUCUUGCUUCUUUACGGAAAUGGGGUAGAAAGAGUAGAACGAUAACAUAGUUCACUUUGUUCUUCUCUUUAUAAAGUAGCCAAAGACUUAAAAGAAAGACAUUGCACAACAAGUGACCAUUAAAAAAUAAUAUACAUACGAAAGAAUAAAAAAUAAGCAGAAAUUGGAAGUAGAAAAGAACCAAAGAAAAAUACCCAAAACUUCAAAAUGCAAUAUGAUCAUAACAGAUUGGUAUCAUCACGAACAGAUCGAACAAACUCCAAAACAGAUUUUGCAUUGGGCGUCCAACUAAAAUAAACAGCAUCCAUGCUCGCCAAAACGUUCCUAAGAAGUGACACCAUUUCACAACAAGUAGCCAAUGACUUAAAAGAAAGAUAUUGCACAACAAGUGACCAUUAGAAAAUAAUAAACAGAAGAAAGAAUAAAAAGAUAAGCAGAAAUUGGAAGAAGAAAAGAAAUGGAAGAAAAAUACCCCAAAACUUCAAAAUGCAGUAUGAUCAUAACAAAUUUGUAUCAUCAUGGACAGAUCGAACAAACUCCAAAACAGAUUUUGCAGCGGGCUUCCGACUCAGAUAAACAGCCUCCAUGCUCCCCAAAACGUUCCCAAGAAAGGAUUAAGCUCCCUACAAAAAACAAUGUAACUAACUCAAGGUAAAAAAAAAAAACAGAACAAGAACACUAACCAACUUUUAAGGAAUCAGCUCCCUGCCAACAUGCAUCACAUCCCAUAACUUUAAUUUCUUCAAAUACAAAGGAUUUAACUCAAAGUAAAAAAAAAAACAGAACACGAACUCUAACCAACAAAAAUAGAAAAACCAACCUUAACCCUUGAUCCUUGCAGUCCAUCGGGAGGUUCGGCACUGGACAUGAUCGAGAACGUUCGGUUCCCAGCCACAGGUUUGGCCAUCGACAAAGAUUUUCAGAGGGAAAUGAAAUUUUUGGAAAUGGGUAGUGAACAAAAAUAAGGCUGAAUGAUUUUGUUUGGAGAGUGGGCAAAAUUCUGGCGAGUGAGGAGAAAAGGGAAUACAUGGGGUUCGGUUUACAGGGAUUUUUCUUAAUGAUUGUUGGAAGAACAAAGAGAUGUGACGAGGUAAAUGUAAUAUUAUAUCUUCUAACCAUUGUCAACUUAAAUAUGUUUUUUACUAUAACCAGUGGGUUUGCUGAAAUUGAAUGAUCAAUCCAUAAAAUAAAAAUUAAGUUGGAAGUAGAAGAAAUGGGAGGAAGAAAAAUACCCCAGAAGUUCUAAAAGCGAUAUGAUCUCAAUAAAUUGUAUCAUGAUGAACAGAUCGAACAAGCCCCAAAACAGAUUUUGCAGUGGGAUUCCGACUCGGAUAAACUGACUCCAUGCUCAACAAAACAUUCCUAAUAAAGGAUUCAGCUUGCUAUCAACAUGCAUCACAACCCAUGACGUUAAAUUCUUCAAAACCAAUGCAAUUAAAUCAAAGCAGAAAAAAACAGAACAAGAACUCAAACCAACGAUAACAAAAGAAUAAACCUUAACCCUUGAUCCUUGCAGUCCAUUGGGAGGUUCAGCACCGGACAUGAUUGACAACAAUCGAUUCCCAGCUGCAGGUUUCGGUAUCGACAAAGAAUUUCCAAGGAAAUGAAAAUUUUGGAAAUGGGUAGUCAAGAAAAUUAAGGUUGAGAGGAUUUUGUGUGGAGAGUGGGAAAAAUUCCGGCCGGGGGGAGAAAAGGGAAGACAUGGGGUUCGGUUUACAGGGGUUUUUCUUAAUGAUUGUUGGAAGAACAAAGAGGUUGUGAGGAGAUUUAAGGGCAACCAAAAGAAUGGCAGAAUGUUUGAUCUGGCUUGCUUCUUUAUGGAAAUGUCGUAGAAACAGUAGAACGAUGACAUAGUUCCCUUUGUUUUUCUAUUCACCAAAAAACCAAUGACUUAAAAGAAAGACAUUGCACCACAUAUGAGCAUUAGAAAACAAUAUACAUAAGAAAGAAUAAAUAAUAUGAAUAUGCAGAUAUUGAAAAUGAAAUUGGAAGUAGAAAAAAAAAUGGAACGAAGAACAAUACCCCAAAAUUUCCAAAUGCAUUAUGAUCAUAAAAAUUUUGUAUCAACACGAACUGAUCGAAUAAGCUCCAAAAUGGAUAUUGCAGUGGGAUUCCGACUCAGAUAGGCAGUGUACAGUCUUGCCAAAACGUUCCUAAGAAAGGAUCAUCAAAACCCAUAACUUUAAAUUCUUCAAAAAUAAUGGAAUUAAGUCAAGGCAGUACAAUACGAAACAAAAACUCUAACCAACGAUAAGAAAGAAAUAAACCUUCACCCGUGAUCCUUGCAGUCCAUUCGGGGGUUCAGCACUGGACUUGAUCGAGAACAAUCAGUUCCAAGAUGCAGGUUUCGGCAUAGACGAUGAUUUUCCAAAAAGUGAAAUGAAUUUUUUGGAAAUGGGUUGUAAAGAAUUUGUUUCGAGAGUGGGCAAAAUUCUGGCCGGCGUGGAGAAAAGGAAAGACAUGGGGCUCCAAUUCUAGGGAUCUUUCUCAAUGAUUGUUGGGAGAACAAAGAGUUUGUGAGGACAUUUAAGGGCAACGACAAGAAUGGCACAAUGUUAAAUCCCAAAAGACUAAAUGGCCAAUUGAAUGUUUAAGCAAAUUGAUAUGCCUGUUAGGUGUUUUCUUGCUUCUUUACAUAAAUGGGGUAGAAAGAGUAGAACGAUAACAUAGUUCACUUUGUUCUUCUCUUUACAAAGUAGCCAACGACUUAAAAGAAAGACAUUGCACAAAUAGAUACAUAUAAGUCUUAACUAGUCUAAUAGCACCCUCCAUUCAUCUUCCCCUACACUGGCUAUGGUAUCAAAAUUUUCAAUUAAGUAAUACGUCUACUAACGAACUUGAAAACAAAACACAUCACACUAAAAAACACAAACAUCACUUUAACCCAACAGAAGCAACUCUUUUUACCCUUGCACUCACUAUCACAUUACUAUCAUAUUUGUCAACUGUCAAACUAACUCUUUUAAGUUAUUUAGUGUGACUACAAAGUUAUGAACACCAUAAUCUUAAUUAAAACCUUUUAAUAAAUAAAUGCCAAGUUACUACUCAAGAAUGGCAAGGAAUUCAAAAAACAUGACAGCUAUCCUAAUUGGUUGAAAAUGAGAAAAAGAAGACAACCUGUUUGGACUACAAAGCCAGCAGAUAUGAUUCCUCAAAUUUGACCAUUCACUCUCCAUACUCUACAAGUCUUCAAGCACAUGAUGCUGCCUACUUUCAGAUGAGCAACAUCAUUCCGAUCUUAACAGUCAGAAGAGCAAAUCAAAUCAAUCCUAGCAUAUUCACAAAUCACAACUAAAAAGUACAAACAUUACAAAAUAAAACAUGCAGCGAUAUCAACAAGCAUUCUGAUAAAUAAUUAGCCAAUUAAUUGACAUUACAAAAUAAAUAAAGAAAAAAAUCAUUGGAAAGAUCACUGCUUAAAUGAAAUUUGAAAUAUCUCCCAAUAGUUUUGAUCGGUUGCCCGAGUUGUGAGAGUGAUCGGUUGAUAUUGCGUGCUUCCUUCAAGCGCUCCCCAGCUGCACCUGUUAGCUUCUGCCUCCGGAACCAGGUAAAUCAAUAAGAUUUAUUCUACUUGUUUUAAAGCUACUUAAACCAUCUGCCAGUCUCUGCACAAUAAAGUACUAGUCAGAAAUGUACCUUGUCUCAUACUGAGUUACUUUUUCACAUGAUUUUUGCUAGCAGGAUAAAUUAGUUUAAGCUCUAGAAGGGAGUUACUUUUUCACAUGAUUUUUGCUAGCAGGAUAAAUUAGUUUAAGCUCUAGAAGGAACCAACUUAUCCCCUUAAGGGAAACCAAAACAAAUAAUUAAGAAUAAUGAGGAUACGAAGUGGUCCUCGAGAGUAACCAGUUACAAACCUAAUGAAAAAAGCAAGAUACAAUUGUUAUAUUUCUGAAGUUCAGUUUUUCUUUAAGCCAACUUGAGACAAGAAGUAACCAACUGAUGUGUAAUGAAAAUACUCACUUCAGAAAUUUAUUUUGGUUUUCCACUGAGAAACUUUUGAUAACUUCCCAAAACAUCUAAAAAUUCAAAUUCUGAAGUUCCCACAUUUGGUUUUUCAAUCCAGCAGAAGCAUAAAAGAACAUCAUUAAAAAAGUGAAGAUAUUUCUCCGUUUCCUAUCACAAAUUUCUUGAUCAUGGUUGUGCCUGACCAAACAGAGCAUUACAAACAAUACAAGUCCAAAGUUUGUUUUCAUAGUCAUAGAAACAUAAGAGAGGACUAGAAGUCUGAAUAAUGGUAAUCAAUUUAUCACCCAGUUUCAAACACUAAUACAGGCAUAUACAUUGUAUGAAUUCGAAAUUAAUUGAAAAAUAUUAAAAAGAAUCUAAACGAUGACCAACUCCCUAAACUCCAAAGACUUCAAAAACCAUCUCCCAAUUACCCGGGUGAGAUCUUCCAACAUCAUCUACAAUUAUGAAAUUCCGAUUGCACUACAAUAAAUCUAGUAUUCGAUAUCCUAAACCAAGAAUUGUUCAACCUCCAAAGGAAGAUUAAUUGUAACUAAUCUUCUUGCAAGAUUUCAAAUUUUCAAAAUUUUGUCGAACACAAUAUGCAAAACAAUUACGCAAAACAAUUACGCAGAAAAGAAAAGAAACAAAAAUACAUAUAUAGAAAAAAGGGUUUAAUAGAACUUACCCUAUGAUAACCACUUGAAUAAGUAGUAUGUGUCCGUAGCUCAUCAACAUCCAAGCUGUCCAGUGAACCUGAUAUUGAAAGCUGAAAUGAAAUAGACCAGUCAAAGACAGCAACUCGAUUGUCUUACUGACCAAACCAAGUUGGCUCUUUGCUUUUUUAUGGGAUUUUUCUGAUGUAUAUUGCAUGUGUUGUUUGUUUUUUUAUAGCUCUUGAUUGUCUAACCUUUUUACGUUUUGCAUUGCAAGUCUCUCUUUUGUUUCUUUGGUAUGCAAUGUGGUAACAAGGUCUUGCUAGAACCGGUGGGCUAACCUUUCUAUGGUUCUAAACUUAGUUUCUAAGUUUGACUGCUCCCUUCGGAGUGACAACAAGCCUCGUUUUCCCCCUACUAUGGAACGGGGAGGAUUCCUCCUCUUUUCAAAGCCCUCGUCAAACUCAAUGCUAAGUUUGACUGCUCCCUUCGGAGUGACAACAAGCCUUGUUUUCCCCCUAAUGUGGAUCGGGGAGGAUUCCUCCUCUUUUCAAAGCCCUCAUCAAACUCGAUGCUAUGUUUAGAACGCUAAGAGUAGGUGGUCUGGUUUUGGUUAGGCCAAAAGUGAAGUUUUCCCCCAUUUUUUAUGGGCUUUUUCUAAUGUAUAUUGGAUAUGUUGUUUGAUUUUUUUUAUAGCUCUUGAUUGUCUUACUGUUUUAUGUUUUGCAUUGUCAAGUCUCUCUUUUUUUCUUUGGUAUGCAAUGUGGUAACUAGGCCUUGCUAGAACCGGUGGGCUAACCUUUCUAUGGUUCUACAUUUAGUUACUAAUUAAGUUUGAUUGCUCCCUUCGAAGUGACAAUAAGUUUUGUUAAUGUCGACCCUUUUCUAAAGGGAUUUAGUUCAUUGUGGCUAGACAAGAGGCUUCUAACUCAUGUUUGACAAGACAAAUUUGUUAAAACCAUCCCAGUUUCUAAAGAGUGCCUCCUAUCCUUUUUUACUCUAUCUAGGCUAGGUUUGGACUAAGUGCAUCAUAGGUAAGUCACGACAAAGCAACAAAGGAAGACAAAGCUAGAAAAGUAUCCAUGCACUUAUUUAUUAUACAUGCAAUCAAGCAUUCACAACACACAUACCAUUUUCUCAAUCAUGCAUUCACAUCUCAAUAAGAAAUAGCUAAAAGGAGCUUAAAACAAAAAAGACAGCAGCUUAUGCUCAAAUUUCAGCACAUAUACUCAUCAAAAUUCAGAAUUUCACAUCAUAAAACCCGAGCUCAGUGCUCAAGGGUUGCCAAUCAUGCUUUUUAUGCAAGAUCUAAUUAAGCUAAGAAGGUAUAAUGCUCAUUAUUGUAUGGAAAGAAUUCUGAAAAUUUUUGAAAUUUGGGCAAAAUUUGAACCCCCAAGUUUACACUAAACAUGCAAGCUAAGCAAGCCAUUACCCACAACCUACUCAAAAAAAUUGCUUUUUUUGUCCUAAAAGCUUUUGAAAAUCAAAGUAAAUGGAGAAAAAAUAAGGGGGGAACUAUGGACUCCCCUGGAAGGAUCGACAUCCUUGACUUUGGUUUGAAGCUUGCAUGGAUAAACCUUUUCAUUCCUUUUUCUUUGAUUAUUCAUCCUUGUUCCUGAAAAUCAAAGGAAAUUCUCUCAAUUUUAUAUAUUUACUAAAAAUUAGGAUACAUAUAAGUCUUAACUAGUCUAAUAGCACCCUCCAUUCAUCUUCCCCUACACUGGCUAUGUAUCAAAAUUUUCAAAUUAAGUAAUACGUCUACUAACGAACUUGAAAACAAAACACAUCACACUAAAAAACACAAACAUCACUUUAACCCAACAGAAGCAACUCUUUUUACCCUUGCACUCACUAUCACAUUACUAUCAUGUUUGUCAACUGUCAAACUAACUCUUUUAAGUUAUUUAGUGUGACUACAAAGUUAUGAACACCAUAAUCUUAAUUAAAACCUUUUAAUAAACAAAUGCGAAGUUACUACUCAAGAAUGGCAAGGAAUUCAAAAAAACAUGACAGCUAUCCUAAUUGGUUGAAAAUGAGAAAAAGAAAGUUAGCCAGACAACCUGUUUGGACUACAAAGCUAGCAGAUACGAUUCCUCAAAUUUGACCAUUCACUCUCCAUACUCUACAAGUCUUCAAGCACAUGAUGCUGCCUUCUUUCAGAUGAGCAACAUCAUUCCGAUCUUAACAGUCAGAAGAGCAAAUCAAAUCAAUCCUAGCAUAUUCACAAAUCACAACUAAAAAGUACAAACAUUACAAAAUAAAACAUGCAGCGAUAUCAACAAGCAUUCUGAUAAAUAAUUAGCCAACUAAUUGACAUUACAAAAUAAAUAAAGAAAAAAAUCAUUGGAAAGAUCACUGCUUAAAUGAAAUUUGAAAUAUCUCCCAAUAGUUUUGAUCGGUUACCCGAGUUGUGAGAGUGAUCGGUUGAUAUUGCGUGCUUCCUUCAAGCGCUCCCCAGCUGCACCUGUUAGCUUCUGCCUCCGGAACCAGCUACUUAAACCAUCUGCCAGUCUCUGCAUAAUAAAAUGAUUAUGAGCCUAAAUUUUACAAGUACCAGUCCGUUGAAUAUAGAAACGUGAUACUCAUGCUUUUCCAUCCUAAACAACAGAACUAUCUGCACUUCGAUUUACAAAUUCAUUGCCUUUUUCCGACAGUGCUCACAACUGUUAGUUGUUACAGGUAUACUUCUUUUAUUUAUUUAUUUUACUAAAUUCAGUAAUACCAUAUUCCAGAUAUUAGCAACAUUAUUUUAGCAUUACCUUGGAUCGGGAUUCAACAACACAGGUAAAAAAAGCAGUAUGUGAUAGCGAACUCUCAGGAACGGUCGGGUUAGAAGAGGGAGGCCUAGGUGGAAGCGGGCUCUUCAGGAUUUGGAAUCGAAAACCGAUCUGAGGGUGGAGAAUUUUCUUUGGAAGACUUGGGUUUCCGAGUGGGUCUGCGGCCCUUGAUUUCGGCACCGUUAAGGCUAGAAGAAGAAGAAAGUGGUGGAUCGACGAGAUGGGUAUGUCGCAAGAUAGAGUUUCUUGGCUGCUUCACGUUAGAGAGGAAGAGCGAAAUUUUGGAGGUAUAGGAAGAGCGAAACGGAAUUUGAGAGAUAGGAAAUCGCAGGGUUUGAGGAAGACGAAGAAGAGAAGGGGAGAUGAGAGGCAGAGUAAACCGAUGGAGAAGAAAAAGGGGAAAGAAAUUUGAAAUAAAAGAGACCGUUGAGGUUGAAGAAGAGGGAAAAGAAAAUUGACCGUUGAGGUUAUUUAAUUUUUGGAUUAAAUAUUUUCUAUGAAAAUUAAAAAAGAAAAAGUUAAAAGGCAAAUAUUUUUUACUUUUUUUUAUUAUUUAUUCUAUGAAAAUUCAAUAAUAAAAAAGCAUCUAUAUUUGCUUUUAGUAUGGUUCACAUUUUUAUUUAUUUGACAAAAAUCUAACUAAAUUAUCAUUCAUUUUGACCUAAUAUUGCAAAUAUAAAUUUAUAUUUUGCAUCUUAACUACUCUUUGGCAUUUAUAAUAUCAUUGUUCCGCACCUCAAUUUUUUUAUUGUUGUCAAAAAUAAACCUAAUCCAAAAUGAAUUUUGGGAGUUUGAGUUCGACCGUGAUUAUUGUUGAAUAAUUUUAUUUGGGAUGCAAGUUUUUCACUUAGACAUGGACAUUUUGCUAUUUUAGCAAUUUAAAUUUAAAAUUUUCUUUUAUCAAAAGUAAACCUCUUGUUUUAAUGUUUUUCUGGUCAUCCCUUUUAAAUACAACUAAUGACAAAUGAAUAUAACAAUUAAGAAAUUCGUAGAUAUAUAACAACAUUUUAAACUAAUUGCUGCAGUUAUUUUAAAUCACAUAUGUCAUUCGCUUAUAAGCCAUAAGAGUCUAUUAACGAUAUAAAUCUAUCACAAAUAUAUUUUGCUACAUUUACAAUUUUUAAAAGAUAUUGUUAUAUACUUAAUUAUUAUUCAUAAAAUCUGCUAAUCCAUUAUACUUACCCUAAGUUAAAUGAAUAAUGUCAAAAGUAAGUUUACUACGAAGGUAAUUUGUGUGACCCUUUUAUCCUAACGUAGGAAGUUUGUUCCACUCCAUACCAUUAUUGAACUAAGAAGAUUAAGUGUGUAUUAGUAUGUUUAAACAAGUAUAAUUAUAGCAAAAUCUAUGAGUGAUAUAUUUAUAUUAGCAAUACAAUAUGUGUUACAUAUGCAAAUAUUUUGUAUCUAAUCGUUGUAUUUGCAAUUAACUCCAUUCAAAUAUACAAAUAUAAACAUAACUCUUUAACCUGAGUUUAGCUAGGAUCACAAACUACAAAAAGAAAGUAUGGAAUAUAUUUAAUUUGUUUUUUUUUUCUUUGAAGAAAAUUUGGUGUGUAGCACAUUAUAUAUUUUUCUUUCCUUUAAAAAACAGUAUUGAUCUUAUAAUAUACGGCCUUGCACAAUGUAUUCACCAUAAAGAUCAUAUAAUUGUAGAGAUGUAUAGAAGGUCUGAUAAACAACAUAAACGAAAAGUUCUAAUCCUUGAAAUUGUAAACAUUACCCAUAUCCUACAAUAAAAGUCACAUCAACUUGAUAUUUGUUGAAAUUUAACAAAAAUGAAAAGAAAGCAACGAUAAACCAAUGACGAUGGAAGAAGAUACAGUUUUCAAACACAACCAGCUAUCCAAAUUAUUCAUAAUAUGGUAUUAGAAAAUAUAUUGCAAUUUGUAACCUCAUAAGUUUAUAAACAGAGUCAAAAAUUAAAGGAAAUUUUUUUAUCAAGCUUAUAUUAGGACUUUAUACUACUUAUAUGUAAUUCUUAAGUUUUCUUCUUUUAGCUAUAAAAGACACAAAUUAAGAAAAAAAAAUGACUUGAUUGUCCAUGUAAAGUUAUGCCCCAACUUUUUUUCUUCUAACUUAAGAAAAGGAACACCAACAAAUAUCUAUCCCCAUAAACUAAAAAGCAUAGGAAAAUGAUAGUAAAAGUAAAAUCAACUUUUUCUGUUAUCUUUUUCCUUCAUUCAUUUACUUCUAAUUGAAAAUAAACCAAAAGUCUAAAACCGAUCAAAUUAUUGAAAACGAAAAAACAAGAAACAUAACAGUGUGGAGAGGUAGUUAUUAUCAAGUAUUUGAUUUUGUUUAAUAGAUUCCAGUUGUGACAACCACAACAAUUGUAUGCAUGAAGUUCAUCAUUCAAACAGAUUCUGACAACAAAUUUCAACACAUCUGCAAGGCGAAAGAAGAUAGGAAUUAGGAUAACAAGGUAAUUAGAACACUGAAAUAAAUUUUAAAAAUAAUUUUAUUGCCGAUUGCUACUAUAAGCAUAAUUAUCUGCUUGUAUAAUUGUCUUGCAUGAUCUGACAAAUACAUUAUGGUAUUUGAUAUUCCAUUCAGGUUGUAUCUUGCAUGUUACCAACAAAAUCAUGUGCUUAGUGAUAAAUUACUCUUAGACUGAGAAAUACUCGAAAAAAAAUCAAGAGUAACAACUCUUAGUUUCCCAGAAAAAUUGAAACAAAAUCAUGACAAACCAACAACAAGAACUUCAUAAACUUGUCUGAUGAAAGCAACUCAAGAACAGUCUCAAUGCAGAUCAUACAUGAGUUCUUUGCUAAAUAUUUCCAAAGGCUAAAAAGAGUUAAGGAAAAAAAGAAAAACAAUAAUUACCUGUAAUUUUCGUUGGUUCAUGAUCUUCUCUUGUCAUUCCCUCACUUUAAUCUCAUAACUGAAAAGGAAAAGAGGAGGGAGGGGUGAUUAAACUCAUGCAUGUACAUAAUGUCGAAACCAGCAAAAUUACCACCCUAUUAACUAUGAAAGUCUGGUUGUGGUCGAAGUAGGGUGAAAGUCAGUGUAGAUUAGGAUAGAUGUCACCGUGAAGCUCACUGUCGGUUGGGGGAGAACAUAAAAAUUGACUUUUUUCUUUUAUAACAGGCUGACUGACCUACAGGCUGGGGUGAACUGGCUGGCAAGGAGGAAGUGACAUGCUACCACUAGGUUGUGUUAGGUGUGAACAAUGGACAAUGGUGGCUAGAAGUGAGGGAAGGGCUUUGUCAAAGGGUCGUGCAGGGCUGAACUCCAACUGUCCAAUAUUAGUUUGUUCGCUUACUUUCUUUGUUUCACCCAUAUCAAUGUCUGCAAAAAUUCCCACAAUAUAUAGAAAUGGAAAUAAAGAUCCUUAAGUUCUUUGAGAAAAAUCAUAAAUAUAGCCACAAAAUUUCUCCAAUUAUUUGUUACUUAAAAAAGUAUAGAAAUUGUCAACCAAGCUCAACUAACGCCUGUAUGUAUGUACUUAGAACCAAGAGGUCUCGGGUUUAAAUCCCUCUACCCCGAAUUUGUACUCAUAAAAAGAAAAAUACAGAAAUUGUAUGAAUGAGGUGCACAUUCACGUAAUUUAUACGAUGAUGUGAGAAAUGCUAUGAUUGUAAUGGAUGCUCAUAGUUUGGCUCGUAGCAAUAGAAAAGCCCGAAUCUUAUUCUCAAAGUUGAGUCCUUUCUUCAGUGCAAAAAAUGUGGUUUCCUGUCGGCUUGGGGAAAGAUCAAUUGCUGUCUCCACCUUGUUGACAUUUCGCCCUGCAUAAUUAUUGACAACGAGAAAUAAAUAGAAAGGUUAUUCUACCAUUUUUUUGGUUUUAUGAGAACAAAUUCAGAGAGCUAAUUGCAAGCAAUAUUUGAAGUAAAGUUACACCUCCUGCCCCCCAGAUCUUGCAGUAGUCAGUUCAAUGUCCUUCGGAUCAAUCACUACUUCAACUUCAUCUGCCUAGAUGCAAUAAUAACAUAAGCUCAACAAAUCAAGAUAAACAUAGCUGAUCAAGAUGCAAAUGCAACGGAGAACAAAGUCAAAUAAGAGAAAUUAUCAUAUCCAAAUUGUUAACACUCCUACAGAGAAACAGUACGAACACUAUGAAUAUCAACUAUAUAUAAGGAUAACUGUAUAGUAAUGCACUUGGAUUUUCAUGUUAAGGCACUAGUGUGAUAUGACAGAACAUUUUAAUCGGCCACUCCACAUUAAUCCAUCAUCUAGGUAUUUUUAACAGAGAGAUAGCUUUUCACAUUAUAAUUGUUAAUGGCAAAAAUGGAGCACAAUAGCAUAUCAGGGACCUAUAAAGGAAAUGGGGAAAGAAUUAACAUUAGACAACUGUCCAGGACAAACUUAGCAAAUUCAGGUAAUAUUCUACCACACAUUAGUCUGAUUAACGCAUGCAAUUCUUAUUUGACAAGUAUCAGACAGUUCUUAUUUCACAAUUUAUAGUGAACUUAUGGAAUAGUUUACCUCUAGCAUGAUGACUACUGUAGUCGUAGAAGUAUGCAUACGGCCCUGUGUUUCUGUUUGAGGAACACGUUGAACUCAAUGAAAACCAGACUCUUAUUUCGAUUUACUGUAGACACGUUAUCCUUUGAUUUCUGUCACAUAAGUUUCGUGUCCCCCCUUUUCAGCCAGAAAAGUAAACAACGAAAAUUCUUCAAUAUAUAUACAGAAAGCACUAGGAUAUUGACUUCUGGGAUGUCUGGAGGCACAUACCUUAGAACUUGAAACAGGGAAAAACUUCCAUGAAUUCCGCUCACUGUAUUUCUGGUACAUACGGACAUGUUAUAUAAUUGGAAAAAAUGAGUUAGAGAAGAAGAAACGACAAUGUAGAAAAAUGUAUUUGAGAAAAGAAGGGGGUAAAAUCAAAGCAGGACAGGAACGGAAGAGACAUCAGAGUUUGGACUAUGUAACUUGUAAGUUUUACAAAGCCUAACUAUCCUAUUCACUGUUCAAUUUUCUAUACACUUAUAAGGCCUAAAUUGUUGGUAAGAAAAAGAUUGGAGCAUAGGUCACCUCUAAUGGAUUGAUGAGAAAAUUCAAAAUUUAACAUCUUAGUCGUAUCUUUUGAAUAAAAAUAAAAAUAAAGCCCAUCUUAGUUGUAAUUAUGUAAAAAAAAAAAAAAGACAAUUAAUGUGAUUAUUCAUGAAUUGAUUUGGGUGGGCUAUUUCAAGAUAAAAGUACCAAACAAAAGACUAGAAUGGGUUAUUUAGUUAUGUAAUCACAACUGCCAUUUCUCCUCCAUAAGAAAAACAAACAAUUUCUCUAAAUUUCAUCUAUAUAUAUAUAUGUAUUUAUCAAAUGAAUCAUAUCAAUAAGGACGGGAAACAACAAAGAAAAAUUAAAAUGGCCAAUAACUCUUGUCUCAUUAUUAUCUCUCUCGUUGGAGUUCUUUCGUUCACCAUCAUUUCAAAUGUGGCAUCAUCUAAUGACGUCGUUUCCACCAUCUGUCCAAAAACCUCAAAUCCACAAUUUUGUUCAAGUGUGUUGAAAUCUGCAGGCACUACAAAUCUAAAAGGCUUGGCUGUAUACACCUUAAACCUUGCUCAUACAAAUGCUGAAAAAUCUUUGACUCUAGCCAACUCACUGGCAAAAACCGCCACCAAUCCUCAACUUAAGCAACGAUAUUCGUCUUGUGCUGAGAGCUAUGAUGAAGCUAUUGGUGACAUUGAAAAUGCCCAAAAGGACUUGGCACUUGGGGACUUUAAUGGUGUCAAUAUUGUAACUUCUGGUGCCAUGACUAAUAUUGGUGACUGUCAGGAUAAGUUCGCACAGCCGCCUAAGGAUACAUCGUUGCUUUUGAAGAAUGGCAAGACUCUAAAUGAUAUAUGCAGCAUUAUUUUGGUUAUAUCCAAUCUUCUUUGAAGGCUAUGUACUUGAAGAUUUUAAUCAAUAAAUAAAAUGAAGUUUAAUUUUUAAAAUAAUAACAUUACAGUGGGAUGGUGAUCGGAAUUGAUUACUUUGGUUAAAAUUUAAAAUUAGAUAAAAAAAAUCAAUUAAUAGAUAAUUCCAACUAAUCAAAAUAACUAAAUAAAAGACGAGAUUUGAAAAUAUAAUAUCCUAAUAGACACUAAUAGACUUAUAUUAAUAGAUAAUUUCCUGCCGAUGAAAAAUUACUAAAGUUGUACUAUAUUUUAUAAAUAUUUUAAAACAUUACAUAAACACUAAUUAAAGUUGGGUUUAGUAGCAAAAAGUUACAAAUUUAUGGACACCUUCUUUUAGGGAAAAAAAUACAGAGUAAUAUUACCUUGACAUGAUGUAAACUAAAUUUGUAAUCAGCGUUGAAAUCUCUACUAUAUUAAAUGCGCUCGUGGAGAAAAAAAAUUAUAUACAUCUAUUUUAUUCUUAAAUUGUCGAAAAAAAUUUAUAUUACUUUUUGUGAUCUAACGUAGUUGUGACUUUUCUAUUGUAAGUGUCCAUUUUAAUGUUUGGAAAGAAGAUUUUUCCAAUUUUUUAGUUUACAAAAUAAAGUUCUAUAUUUUAAAAAAUAAAACCUUAUGUCGAAUAUGUGUAACUAAUAUUGAUAGGAUGUGACUAGUUGAUCUUCGAGAUACGAUGCAUUCUGUUUAGAGUGGAGAUGGUUGCACACACAUCAAAUUGGUGCAUUGAUUCCUCCAAACUUACAUGUAAAAUGUACGUGUAAAAGAAAAACAAAAUAAACUCUUGCAGUUACACAUUAGAAAAAAAAAACGUCACGAAAUCCCAAAGUUCAAAAGAAAACAAACACACACAAAAGGGGAUUUAAUUGAUUCAAAGUAGUAACGAAUGGUGAAAAAUUGCAUCAUUUCUUGUGAUUUCACAUUGACAUAUUAGAAUAAAAAAUUAUCGUAUUCUAUAUAUUACAAUAUUGGAUCAAAUAUUAAUACAUUAAUUCAAUUAUUUAAUUACUACAACAAUGAAUUUCUUUUUCUUUUUUAAAUAAUAAUUUUACCAUUAAUAUUGUAUAAUAUUUGUUUAUUAUAUGCUAAAGCAUAUUUAAAAAUUAAAUAGAAUUAAGAUAUUUCACGUGAAUAUGUGCACGUGUUUCAAUUGAAAAGAUUGAAACAAUAGUCACAAAUGAUUUUUUCAUAAAACAAAACAUUCGUAACCAAAUCUAAAUAUGCACUUUCAUAAUAAAGGACCAAAACUCAUAUUGCGUAGAAUUGAGCAUGGUUUAAAUGAAAUUAUUAAGAAAAUACUUACACUUUACACCAGGUUUUUUGGCAACAUAUAUAGUGAGAAAACUCAAAAUUUACCCUCUUACUUGUAUCUUUUCAAUAAAAAAGUGCAUCUUAGUUGUAAUUAUGUCAAAAUAAAAUAAAAAAAAAGAACCAGUCAAUUAACAUGGUUAUUCAUUCAUUGAUUUGGGUGAACUUUUUGAAGAUAAAAAUUCCCUAUUCUGGUGGUUGAGGAGCUUUUCGAUGAAUUAAAUGGAGCAAACUGGUUUUCAAAGAUUGAUUUAAAGGCGGGGUUCCAUCAGAUCAAAAUGUGUGGAGAAGACAUCGAAAAAACAGCAUUUCGAACACAUGAUGGACACUAUGAAUUUAUGGUUAUGGCAUUCGGCUUAACUAAUGCCACAUCCACUUUCCAAGCUCUAAUGAACUCAAUAUUUAAACCAUUUUUGCAGAAGUUCAUAUUAGUAUUUUUCGACGACAUACUAAUCUACAGUGAGAACUUGGAAAAUCAUCUGAAGCACAUUGGGUUAGCAUUGGAAAUCCUGAGAAAGAAUGAGUUAUAUGCAAACCAGAAGAAGUGCAGCUUCGCGCAAGAACGUAUUGAUUAUUUGGGUCAUAUCAUUUCAGGACAAGAAGUUGAAGUGAACCCCGAGAAAAUCAGAGCAAUCAGGGAAUGGCCUAUACCCAGUAAUAUAAGAGAGGUACGAGGAUUACUGGCCUCACCUGUUACUAAAGAAAGUUCGUUCAGCACUAUGGCUUCAUUGUCGCACCAUUGACUCAACUACUUAGGAAAGGGGGAUUCCAGUGGACUGAGGAGUCUAAGGAGGCAUUCCAACAACUACAAAAUGCCAUGAUGACCCUGCCCGUUUUGGUGUUGCCUGAUUUCAAUGCCACCUUUGAAAUGGAAACAGAUGCAUCGAGAUAUAGGGUAGGAGUCGUACUCGUCCAAGCCAAGCGCCCCAUAGCAUACUUUAGCCAUACGUUAGCCUUAAGAGAUAGGGCCAAGCCUGUAUAUGAAAGGGAAUUAAUGGCAGUAAUCUUGCCUGUGCAACGAUGGCGACCAUAUCUGUUGGAAAGAAAAUUUAUUGUGAAGACCGAUCAGAAAUCCUUGAAGUUCUUAUUACAACAAAGAGUGAUACAGCUUCAGUAUCAGAAAUGGGUAGCGAAGCUAACGGGAUACUCAUUUGAGGUGGUCUACAAACCCGGCUUGGAGAAUAAAGCAGCAGACGCCUUGUCUUGGAUGCCUCCUACAGUUAACCUCGGUAGCAUAACAGCUCCUACAUUGGUUGACAUUCUGGUGAUUAAAAAGGAAGUCGAAGCGGAUGAAAAGUUGAGCAAAAUAAUGGAAGAACUACAAGCAAUGGAAGAAGGAACAGAGGGUAAAUUCUCCAUCCGACAAGGUAUGUUAAGAUAUAAGGAUAAGUUUGUGCUGUCCAAAACAUCUACAUUGAUACCCACAAUCCUACAUACUUACCAUGAUUCGGUACUUGGAGACCAUUCUGGAUUUUUAUGCACAUACAAACGACCAACUGGUGAGCUAUAUUGGGAAGGAAUGAAGGCGGAUGUUAAGAAGUAUUGUGAGGAAUGUGUAAUAUGUCAGAAGAACAACUCCCUAGCACUAUCCCCCACCGGACUGCUGCUGUCCCUGGACAGUCCAAACAAUAUUUGGAGCGAUAUAUCUAUGGACUUUAUCGAGGGCUUACCAAGAUCGAAUGGUUUCGAAGUCAUCUUUGUAGUGGUGGACAGAUUCAGCAAAUAUAUUUGUUAAGGAGAUUGUCCGACUUCAUGGCUUUCCCAAAUCGAUAGUGUCCGACCGAGAUAAGGUAUUCUUGAGCAACUUUUGGCAAGAAAUGUUCAAAAUGGCAGGCACCCGAUUAAAUCGAAGCACCGCUUAUCACCCUCAGUCGGAUGGGAAAACUGAGGUGGUUAAUAGGGGAGUGGAGACGUAUCUGCGAUGUUUUUGUGGAGAACGGCCUAAGGAAUGGUCAAAAUGGAUACAUUGGGCUGAAUAUUGGUACAACACUACUUUUUAGAGAUCCGUAGGGGUCACUCCAUUUCAGGCUAUCUAUGGACGUAUGCCACCACCAUUGAUGUUUUAUGGUGACCGGGACACUCCAAACACUACCUUAAACGAAUAGCUCAAGGCAUGAGUUGAAAUUCUGGGAGUCCUAAAAGAACACUAAUUCGUCGCACAGACAAGAUGAAAAAUAACGUAGACUUGAAGCGUCAUGAUGUGGAGUAUGCAGUUGGCGAUAUGGUCUUCCUGAAGAUUAGGCCCUAUAGACAGAUCUCAUUACGACAAAAGAAAAAUGAGAAACUAUCCCCCAAGUUCUUUGGGCCUUAUACGAUUGUGGAACGCAUCAUACUGGUUGCGUAUAAGCUAGAGUUGCCAGCAUCAUGUCACGUCCCGCGAAACGACCCCACUUUUUGCGCCAAAAAGUGCUAUAAGACUCCCAAAAGAAUGCCAAAGGGAAGCCAAGCACACUCAAGCAACAACCCGAUCCGGCCAUGUGACAGCCCACAUGUGCCCACGACACAUGCCCAUGACAUUGGCAUGUGCCCACAGAAGGCAGCCCACGAGCCCCGCAUGCAUGUCGUGACACGUGCCCACGACAACCCCAUGUGCGUGUACGGACGCACACCUCAUAGGCGCGGACACCAGACAAGGCGUCAGGCACCAACGCCACCCAGACAACCCAUGUGCACCGACAGCUGCACAUGGCACGGCGGCCAACCCACCAGGCGCGCACACAGGCGCCCACGCCCAUCAGACGGCCGCCCAUGCCAGACACGGCAUGGCGCGCGCGGCCCCAUGCGCGCGUGCCCAGCAUGCGCACGACCAUGCGCGUGCGACCCUGCAUCCGCACGCCCCACGCCCCGAAGCGCCGAGAAGCUUCCAGAAGAAUGGGGAAGGCGCGCGACACUUCGCGAGGCGCGCGCCCAGCGCCGCGAAGAAGGACACCGCGCGCGCGCGCAGAAGGCCCCAGACACGCCCCUGUGCGUGCUGCUCCGCCCAUGCUCGGUCUAGACAGCCCCAGAAGCUUCUAGAACGCCCGAGACAGUACCAGAAUGUGCCAGAAUGGUCUGGACACGCCCGAGAAGGCCCUGGAACAUGCUGGAACGUGCUGGACAAAGCUAGAACGUGCUAGAAGGCUACAAUGACGGUCUGGAAGUGUCAUGAAAGGUCUAGUCCUCUCUAGAAUGUUCUAGGCUUCCUUGUAAUGUACUAAACCCUCUUGUAUCAUCUAGAAUAUUCCUUGGCCGACCUUAUGAGGCCUAGGUCGGUUUGGCAAGGUUAUAAAUACUUGUAAGGGCCCUCAUUUGUAAAGAAGAAGGAAACCAAUAAGAGAAAGGGUUCUCUUAAGCUCUCUCAACUUCUCACUCACUCUCUUGCCAACCCAUUGUGAUUUCUAAGUGCCUUAGGUGCACUAAUCAUCUUCCGCUGCAUUAUCAUUGAGGUUAUUCAUAGUGCUUGGUGCACUAACCUCUUGUUAAGGCUUACUUGGCUAACGGGGACGACAUAGUCAAGCCAAGUGCCGCACGGUUGGUUAGCUUCAGAUCCUAACCACGUGACAGGUGGUAUCAGAGCGUGUUCGUUCGGAGGGACAUACUCUUAAUCGUUGGUAUCAAGUACACGAUACCGAGGGACCGGGAUUCAAGACCCCUAGUUCUUGAAACGUUGUCGAGGUGUAUCGGAACAACGGUGUGAGGACCUAGGUACGCCUUAUCGCUUUACCCUAUUUAUUGACUCGAAUGGGAUCCAGGGAAGGAUACGAGUCACCGAUUGAGCAAGUCGUUGAAGGGCCAACGACACGUGGACGUGCUGCACAACGUUCCCCAUCCCGACAGAACAAGGCAACAACAUCGACAACUCGGGAUGUUGUCGAAGAACGAUUUGCGACCUUGGAGGGAAAAUUGGAGGAAGUGCAGGAGAAAUUAGGCGAGACGAGCGAGUUGAUGGAGGAGCUACUUGUGGAUCAUGCCGAGGUCUCAAAAAUCACUAAGGCUAUGAUUGAAGAACUUAGAGGCUCUCAUGGCAAGGACAUCCACGACCUCAUUGUGGAGGUAACCAACAUGCGCAAGUUCAUGGAAGAGGAGCUCCAUGCAUUGCGUAAGGACGUCGACGAGGUACGUGCCGAAUGUCUAUCUAGACAUAAUACUAAAUGAAAAGUGGUUCUACAGAUUCAAAGAAGGCAAUAGAAAUCACUCAUUUUAAUAUCAUUUAAUAUUUCAUCAACAACCUAUAGAGUUUAUUAAUCUUUUUCUUUCCUACUAAAGAAGCUCUAAUUUAUUACUCUAGGAAUGGUCCUUUCUAACUUAUAUACAGGUAACAAAAAAUAAAUUGAAGAAAUACUCUGAGCUUUUCCAUUUAGAAAUCCCAAUGAGCAAAGACUAAAGUCUUCCCGGGAUUCUUAGGAUGCCAAACUCCUCUCAUUGGAUAGACAUCAAUAUAUCUUAGAUGAGAAGCUACCUUGAAUAGCCUUGCUUCCUCAGCAUAUAAACAUAAAUAUAUUUGUUGUAUUCAAUCAAAAAUAAAAGAUAAGCUUGUUCUGAAACCAAUUCCAAAAAUCUCUUCGAAAAUAUGCUGGGAGAGUUGUUGUUGUUUAAAUACUUGGUCCUUCGAAGGUUGGAAUUACAAUGUAACUUUUCACAUAUUCAUGAAAAGUUAUGAUUCUUAUUAUGAAAGAAUGAAACUUCGAACUAGUUCCUAAAGGUAGUACUUUUAGCUGAUGUGGCAAUUUGGAUCAGCCAUGUACGGUUGCAUUCCUCAAUGUGAGUGAUAAUCAAACCCAAACUACCUCAAAGGAAUUAUUUUGUACAGUAACUCCAUCUUUACCAACUUGCGACAUAAAACUAUCUAGGGUUCAUGGGUUGGGGUAAGAAAACUUUUGGACCCAACCCACCAAGUCUUUUUAUCAUUAAGUUUUCUUCAUUUUUAUGUCAAUUGGCAUGUAUUUUAUAAGCUUUGAGAGAAGAAACUUAAUAUAAAUGUAUACUUGGUCAGAACCCCGUCAUUUAGCCUCAAUUUUCACAAUGUAGAGGUAUAGAAUUCAGAGAGGUUAUUUUAUUUUCUUAAAAUUACUCCCCAACUGUUAAUCUAUGAUUAACUUUUGCUAUAAAAAAUUAGUCCUUAUAUCCCUCUUCUAGAAAUUUGACAAACAUAUUAAUCAGGCGCCUUUUUCUGAAAAAUAAUUGUUCAUAUAUUUUUUUUUGAAACAGAGACAACCCUUUUUAUUAAAGAUGUAAGUAAAAAAGAGACUAAUGCUCAAACUAUAGGAGAAUUAUACUAAGAGCGAAAAGAAUGACCAAAACAAAAGUACAGACAAAUUGAACAAAACAAUCAAAAUCCUGAGAAAACAAUAGAAAACUGAGAACAAAGCGAACUUAAAACCUUUCAACAAGAAGCCCAAAAUCAGCUGAAAAUUGCAGACUAAAAACUUCAAACUAGAUGGAAGGAAACACCAAGGGAGAGCUAACAACAAUGCAGCUUUGUUGAAAAAAAUAUCCCUCCCAAGUCAUCCUUCGAUCUUGAGUGAGUGACUAGAACCAGAAUAUUUCAUAAGAACUUUAGAGGGCCAAAAUAAUAAAAGCAUUCGUCGAACCUCAUGUGAUCCACUAAAACAAACCUAAAAGAUAAUUGGCUGAAAAACCAAGAUCAAGUUAUUCUAUACUCAAACCAAAGUAGUUCCACAUUGCUCAACAAUUGACUUCAAGCGAUCUGGAACUUCACAUUGUCGAGCUUGUGAGGGAAAUAAAGAGACUUGUUUCUCAGUAAUUAAAUCCUCCCUUGUCUGAAAGCGGUAUUAAGAUCAGAUUCUAGAGGAUCCUUAAUCGACUGAUCAAUGUUUACAAUGAGUAGUGGAGGCACUUUUGAUUCAGAUUUUACCGAAGGAGCUCAAGGUAUCGUGCAAUGUGAUCGAUUUUCUUGGGACACAUAAAUAAAUCUAACGCCAAUUGAAACAUAAGGACUAGUAUUUGGAGCAUGAUAUUUCUUCCUAUCUCUACAUGUAAAGAUCACAAGAAAAAUAAGAAUUUCACAAAAUAACAGAAAACAAAAUUAGACAAAAUCAGGGCAUGGCCGAGGAUGAGAUUAGAGAUGAAGCGAUGAUUAGUAUUUAUUGAAAAUGGGAGAAAAGUAGAAUGUCAAACCAAUCCAAGAACAUACCUCACAAAUCUUCGGAUAGACGAUCGUGGUCAAAGCAGUGGUUAUGGUCGAGGAUGAGAUUAGGGAUGAAAGGAUGUUACGAAAGGUAUAUCAACAAGAAGAAUAAACAAAUUUAAAAGGUAAAAUAUGUGAACUUAAAUUGAAAGUUAUAUUGAAAGGUUUGUAGUUUAGAUACCUCUUUUCACGUUUGGUUCAUGCACCUCUUCCUCCUUUUCCCCAUACCUAAAUUGAAUGGUUUGUAUCUUAGAGACCUUUCAUCUUACUUCUUCUAAUUUUAACCAAUUUCGAUCAUUAUAUAUUUUGAAGUUCUUAUAAAUGGUCUCAUGUAUUGAUUAAGGAGAGAAGAGAUUGGUAUGGUAGAUAUAUAAUAACACUUAUCUUCUUUCAUAUAAAAUUUUUAAGUGCAUUCUUAAAGACAAAACUACAUGUUAGAAAGUCUUCAAUUAUUAUGCCUUAGCAUUUUUUACUCGUUUAUAAAUAGAAGAAAACCAAUGUUAUAUGGAAGUCCAGUUUGCAUAUCAACUAAAAGUUAAGGAAGGGUUGUAUGUUUUUAGUGUUAUUUGAUCCAAAGAACCCCAAAAUAUACAUUCAAAUGAGAGCAAAGUAAUAAAUAUUAUAUAGUUGUGUGUGAGAUAAGAGAAGAGCAACAAAAAAGAGUAAAACAUAGAAAGCAUUGGGAGUUGAAAUAAAAUAUUUGAUAAAACUACAAAGUAAGCAGAUUGAACUGAUACAAGAACCGACAUGUCGUUCCAAAAGGAUUACAAAAAACACAUCAUAAUCAUAUCGCAAGAUGCAAAGCAUUUAUUCAAUCUCCAUAAUAAUAUCUACAAAGGGCUACGCCAAAACACUUCAAAGCUCAAACAAAAAAACCAUUUUAAAAUAUUACACACACCAAUAACCAACAUGUCGAACAGAACACUUUACGUUACGUUCAUACCAUCUGACUGAACUUCUGCUCAUUCAACGACAUGUCGUCCAUCAUCCAAACAUCCAAAUCAACUCGUUCGAACUCCCCAUUUCCACCGAGUUCACUCGCUUGUUGCUCCUCGCUAUCCAGACCCAAGAACGAUCUCAAACUCGCCAACUCCUCGCCGUAGUACAACUCCUCGCUGUCACACGAACUAUCCGCACGUGUACACGGAGGCGAACCGGUGGUGUUCAAGCCACUCGGAGUAAACUCGGGGACGACGCACUGCAUUUUUACCGGAGUUUGACGCUGAGCCGCGAGCGACGGCGGCGCUGGAGCAAAGUUGAGCUUCGCCUUUUCUCCUCGGAUCCGCUUGGCAGCUUCAUCGUAUGCUCUGGCCGCUUCCUCCGCGGUGUUGAAAGUGCCGAGCCAAACUCGAACUCCUUUUCGUGGGUCCCGAAUCUCCGCCGCCCAUUUUCCCCACGGCCGUUGCCGGAUUCCUCUGUAUAUAUUCUUCCGAGCUUUUCGAGUCUUCUCCACCGCCACCGCCUCCGCCGCCGUAGAUCGGUUUCUUUUCUUAGGCGUCUCAGUUUUCACUACAAAUCAGUCACACUUCAUAUACCCAUGACCAUUGAAAUUUUCAUUCCCUUCUCUAAUAUUUUAUUUUAAAAGACUAUAGCUAAACUAGAAGCAAUAAAUGAAUAGAAGUAGCGAGACUAAGAAUCGUAUUACUUUUAAAGUUAAUUGAAUAAAAUAUAAACAAAUCGAUCUUCAUCGUUAUUCCUUCCUUGCAAAUACGUAGAAUAAUAUAAUAUAGAGAGAACUUUUAGGAAUCAAACGAAAUGAAAACAAUUAUAAAAAAUGGAGAAUGGGAAGAACAUGAACGUACCAGAGGAAUAAUUGAGGCCGAGGAGAUCGGAGAAAGGGUCGAUAUGGGACCAAAGAGAUUCAUUUGUUAAGCUUACAAUAACGAGUUCGGCUUUUUCUCUAUAAAAUCAGAGAUAAUGGCACCACCGCACAUUUUUCUCUCUAAUAUAAUUCCUCCAACGUAAUAAAGAGGUUUUGGAGAACCCUUCAUACAAUGUUAUUUAUAGACGAUCUUAAUGGGCCUUCAUUUUGGGCCCUACAAUGGUGCCUGCUUAUUGGGCUUACUACCAGGUCCACUACACAUAAUCACACUUUAACGGGUAAUGAUGAGAGAAAUAAUAAUUAAAGAUAUAGCAAGUUUUAAAAAAAUUGCAAAUAUAGUACGGCUAUCGUUGAUAGAUUUGUAUGACUGAUAGACUCAUAUGAUUUAUCGGUGAUAGACCAAUUUUUAUAACAUGGUCUAUCAAUGAUAGAGUCUAUCAUCCAUAGAAUUUGACAAAUUUUGCUUUAUUUAUAAAUUUUUAAAAAAGUUGCUAUAUAGUUAAUUAUUUUAAAUUUAAUUACUAAAUUUGCAACUAUCUCUUUUAUUUUUCCUCUCUUUUUAUAGGUUCAAAUAGUGUUUUUUAUGUUUUUUAUGUUUUUUUUGUUUUACUUUUACAAAUUCACAACAUACCUACCAAAUCAAACUUCAUAGAAUAAAUAAACGAAUACGUAAACUUAUCUGUCUUUUUUUCCUCACAUAUUUUUAAAAGACUACGUAAAACUUGUCGAUCUUCACUGACAAAUUUAAAAGGUAAAAUAUGUGAACUUAUCGAUUCUACUAUCAUAUUUACGUAAGAGCCAUUAGGACUAAUAGAGGCACGUGCUCUCUUCACACUAUAGAUUUUUGUAUUUUAAUAUUAAUUUGGAAAUAUUAGACUUGAAGUCACGACUUGAUGGUUAUGCCCAGUCUCACAAUUACGAGGAGGUGACUUCAAGUUCACAUUUUUUAUCUUUUAUUUUUGUUAAGAAUGAAAACCUAAUAAAUAUACAAAUCAAACCCUUCAUUUUUUUUGAAUGAGUUAUAAAUUAAAGAAUAUAUAUAUUAAAAGAUAAAUAUGAAAAACUAAAUGCUCAAACAUCACCGUGAACAUUUUGAAAGUUGCAAGAAAAAGAUAGUGAAUAUCUCACUAAAAUGAAAAUUACUAAAUUUAAAUUUUAAAAUAACAAAAUUUAUUUGAAUAACUUAAGAUUUUUUUUAUAAUAAUACUCUGCUAAAUCAACAAUAUACAUAUAUAUUUGUAUAACUAAAAAUAAAUACUUAACAGUUUAAACUUUAUAAUAAUUUAGUUUUCAAUCAUAAAAGUACUCCAAUAAAGAAGGAUCAACACGGCAUUACAAGAAAUGUGUUUUUAGGAGAAUAGGCAAAUAGAUUAGAGCAUUCCAACAUGUUGAAGGAACCAAUAAUAUGGUUGGGUGUAGCCUUCACUUUACUACUAUAUUUAAUAACUCUCCUUCCAUUGGUAACUUCAACAACAUUGAAGUUAACAUCUUCUUGCACUUUCUCUUUGAAACCCAACAAAAUUCCUAAAACAUGAGUGUAUAUGACAAAAACUAAUUAGGGUGCAGAUUAAACUAUCAAAAUUGAUUUAUUAUCUCUUUUCAUAAUACAUACUUUCUUCGAAAAAGUAAUUAAAUAGGGUUGAUUUGAAGAAUGCUAUUAAUCACAAUUGUUGUAAAUAAAAACGGUAAUUAUGAAAGAAAAGGAAGCAUCAUGAAUAGAUUCUUUACUUUAUGACGGUGGCCGUACAGUCUGGCGGUUUUGAAAGGCGUGAAAAGGCUGUUUCUUUCUUACAAAAGCGGGGGACGUAUCUUUACACGUGGCACCAUUUAAAUGGUUUUAUGGGAUGAACGUACGUCGGUAUAAUUAUUUUAAUAUUUCUUUUAAACAGUUCGUGGGAGGAAGCAAAAUGGUAUUUUAUUUAUUUAUUUUUGCAUAUUUUAACCUUUUUUUCUUUUAGUUAAUAAUAAUUAUUAAUUAACUAAUUAAAGCAUAUGCAUAUGUAGUCUUAUGAAAUCAGACAUCUCGUCUACAAAAUAUAAAUUGAACAUGAACACGUUAAUAAUAGUAAGAGAUAAAAGUUUGUAUCGAGUUUGAUGUUAUAAUUAAAAUAACACAAUUGCUAAAAUAUAAAAUAGGCAUCAGAUAUAAUUGAGUAAGAAGAGGUUGAAGGAAGAUGAGAAAAGUGUGGCAGUGGACAACUUGAUGAACUCAUGACAUAAUCAUAUCCUUUGAAACUGUGAAACCAAGAAAAUAAGAUGAUGAGUUGCAUUAGCAACAGCUGCCUUUAAGUUUUAUUUGUUUGUUUGUUUACUAUUAUUAUUAUUUGGGAGUAUACGAAAGAAAGACAAAAAAGUCACCAAUAGAACACUUCGACUAUGCUUUCAGAAAGAAUGUGUUUGAUGUUAAUCCAUUUAUUUUUUAUAUCUUUACAUUAUGUUUCAUUUUCAUAUUCUAUUAUUAAGAACAAUUAAAUUUUCAAUGGGUUAAUUUUUAAAGUUUUAUAAACUUAAACUUAAAAAAUUGUCAAACCUGUUGGGCUUAUUUCACCCUUGAAGUCCAGCCCAUUAGGUCAACUUUACUAUGAAAUUAACUAAUGUACAAUGCAAUUAAAAAGAAAAGUAGUAAAGUAGUGACGGUAAGACAGUGAAAAAAGAAAGAAAAAUAAAAUAAAUGUGAUUCGUAUUUCAGUCUUUUGGGGAUCGAUUGGUGGUCCAAUCAAGCUGAAAUUUUGACUGGUGUAUUCUUGGCACGAGGUUCUUCAUUCUGGAUAGUGGAGAUUUUGUUUGGAGCUAUCUACAAUUAGAUUCUAGUUGAUAGUUGACUACCACAUAUUGUGAGAUUUUUCCUUUUUUCUUUCAUUGUCAUUUUGUUUGUUGUCGGGAUUGUUAUUCUCGAGAUACUUGCCUCUAGUUGUGACUAGGGAGAACUUUGUUGUACCCAUUAAAGAUUAUAGUGAAGAUUUUGACUUCGGUCCGUGGUUUUUUACUCCUCACGUUAUACUUUGAUUAUUAUUAUUAUUAUUGAGUAGUGUUCUAUGAGGUUCACACAAGAGUGUGAUAAUUGAUCCAAGGCGAAGGUGUUUAUCCCAACAAAGUGAUUAAUUGGGAUUUAAUUGGAAUUGCCUUGUGUUGAAUAUUGAUACUAGCUCAGCUAAGAUGGUUACCCUUAAUGGGUCAAAUUAUCAAGUAUCGAAAAGAAAAAUGGAAGACAUUGUUUGUAAAUGACUUGCACCUUCCUGUUUUUUCUGAUGAGAAGCCUGACGACAAAACUGAUAAAGAAUGGGAAUUAUGUCAUAGGAAAGUGUGUGGGUUUAUGAGGCUAUGGGUAGAAGAUAACUUUCUAAACCAUAUUUGUGAAGAAACUCAUGCGCGAACUAUGUGGAAUAAACUUGAAUCGCUAUGUGCCCCUAAAACUCGUAAUAAUAAAAUGUUUUUUAUUAAACAGAUGAUGGAGUUAAAGUAUCAAGAUGGAGCGCCUAUGUUAGAUCACUUGAAUACAUUUCAAGGUAUUUUGAAUCAACUAUCUAGAAUGAAUAUCAAGUUUGAGGAUGAGAUACAUGGGUUAUGGGUGCUUGGUACAUUGUCGGACUCGUGGAAAAUAUUUAGAACUUUCUUAUCGAACUCAGCCUCAAAUGGUGUACUAAGUAUGGACCUAGUAAAAAGUAACGUGUUGAACAAGGAGAUGAGAAGAAAGUCUCAAAGUUCUUCUUCACAAUCAGAUGUUAUGGUUACUGAAAAGAGGGGGAGGAGUAAAAGUAAGAGUCCGAGAGGUAAUAACAGAAGCAAAAGCAGGAGUGACCAGUUUGCAAAUGUUGAGUGUCACUAUUGCCAUGAAGAAGGCAUAUAAAGAAGUAUUGUCGAAAAUUGAAAAGAGACAGUAAAAAUCAUAAGGGCAAGGAAAAGAAUAAUGAUGAUGAUAGUGAUGCUGAUACAAUCACUGUAGCCACUGAAGAUUUUUACAUCUUGUUUGAUGGUGAUGUUGUAAAUUUGCGACACAACAUAGCAGUUGGGUGAUUGAUAGUGGUGCAUCAGUUUGUGCUACUUCGAAAAGGGAAUUUUUUGCAUCCUAUACUCCUGGUGAUUUUGGCAGUGUUAGGAUGGGUAAUGACGGAUCAACAAAUAUAGUUGGCAUCGAAGAUGUACACUUGAAGAACAGAAAUGGUUCUAGGCUGAUUUUGAAAAAUGUGAAACAUAUUCCUGAUAUUCGCAUGAACUUGAUUUCUACAGGUAAGCUUGAUGAUGAAGGUUUCUGCAAUACCUUCGACAAUGACAUAUGGAAGCACUAAAGGUUCAAUGGUUAUACCAAAGGGACAAAAAUUUUCUUCACUGUACUACAUGGAUGCAAAAAUCAUGGAGUCUGAUAUAAAUACAGUGAAUGAUGAAGCAAAUGUUGAGCUUUGGCAUAAGAGACUUAGCCAUAUAAGUGAGAAGGGUUUAAAGAUUUUAACCAAGAAAAAUCAUCUUCCUGAUUUAAAGAGUACGCCUCUAAAACGAUGUCUUCAUUGUUUGGCAGGAAAGCAUACGAGAGUUACCUUUAAAUCAUCUCAACAUUUAAGGAAGCCAAAUUUACUAAAGUUAGUACAUUCUGAUGUGUGUGGUCCCAUGAAAACAAAGUCUCUUGGGGUUGCUUUGUAUUUUGUGACAUUUACUGAUGAUCAUUCAAGGAAAAUAUGGGUUUACACCUUGAAGACUAAAGAUCAAGUGUUGCAAGCGUUUAAACAGUUUCAUGCUUUUGUUGAGAGAAAAACUGGUGAAAAGCUCAAGUGUGUUAGAACUGAUAGUGGAUGUGAGUAUUGUGGACCUUUUGAUGAAUAUUGUAGAAAUCAUGACAUUCGACAUCAAAAGGCACCUCCUAAGACCCCGCAGUUAAAUGGAAUUGCUGAAAGAUUGAACAAAACAUUGGUUGAGAGAGUGAGAUGCUUAUUAUCUAAAUCACAGUUGCCACAAUCAUUUUGGGGUGAAGCUUUAAAUACAGUUGUAUAUGUUUUCAAUCUCACACCAUGUGUUCCUUUGGGAUCAGAAGUUCCAAAAAUAAUAUGGUCAGGUAAGGAUAUAUCUUACAGUCACCUACGUGUCUUUGGCUGUAAAGCUUUUGUUCAUGUACCUAAAGAUGAGAGAUCAAAGCUUGAUGCAAAAACCAAAGCAUGUGUGUUUCUUGGUUAUGGCCAAGAUGAGUUUGGUUAUAGAUUAUAUGAUCCAACUAAGAAAAAGCUUAUAAGAAGUCGAGAUGUUGUAUUUGUUGAAGACUAAACAAUAGCAGACAUUGAGAAAAUAGAUGAACCAAAGUCUAAGCAUAGUGAUAAUCUAAUUGAUUUGAGUUCAACCUCUUUGACACAACAUUCUACACAGAUAGAAGAUGAGGUUCAAAAUGAACAGUUUUCUGAUACAUAUGAGAGUUUAAGCAGGUUGGGACAGAGGAUAGUGUUCAAGAACAGUUAGCUGAAACAGUUGUUCCUACAGAUGUUUCGCUCAGGAGAUCUAUCAGAGAUCGACGUCCGUCAACAAGAUAUUCACCUAAUGAAUCUUUGCUAUUGACUGACGGGUGAGAACCUGAGAGUUAUGAAGAGGCUAUAGAGGAUGAGCACAAAAAUGAGUGGAACGAUGCAAUGAAAGAUGAGAUGGAAUCUUUACAUGCAAACCACACCUUUGAGCUUGUUAAGUUGCCUAAAGAAAAAACUGCACUAAAAAAUAAGUGGAUUUACAAAAUUAAACAUGAAGAACAUACCUCAAAGCCACGUUACAAAGCAAGAUUGGUUGUCAAAGGGUUCAGUCAAAAGAAAGGUAUCGACUUUGAUGAAAUUUUUGCUCCAGUUGUCAAGAUGUCCUCCAUACGUGUUGUUCUGGGUUUGGCAGCCAGUCUUGACUUAGAGGUUGAGCAGAUGGAUGUUAAAACUGCUUUUCUUCAUGGGGAUUUAGACAAAGAAAUCUAUAUGGAACAACCAAAGGGUUUUGAGUAGAAAGGAAAAGGGCAUCUGAUGUGUAAAUUGAAGAAAAGUCUCUAUGGAUUGAAACAGGCACCGAGACAGUGGUACAAGAAGUUUAAGUCAGUUAUGGGAGAGAAGGCUAUAGAAAAACUACUUCUGCUCACUGUGUUUUUGUCCAGAAAUUUUAUAAUGAUGAUUUUGUUAUAUUAUUAAUCUACGUUUAUGACAUUUUGAUUGUUGGUAGGAAUGUUUCGAGAAUGGAUAACUUGAAGAAACAAUUGAGCAAAUCAUUUGCCAUGAAGGUUUUGGGACCAGCAAAGAAAGUUCUUGGAAUUCGAAUAGUUUGAGAUAAAGCAUCCAAGAAGUUAUACAUGUCACAGGAGCAAUACAUAGAGAAAGUACUUGAACGUUUCAAGAUGAGUCAAUCAAAAUUAGUUAGUUCUCCUUUACCCAGUCACUUCAAACUGAUCAGUAAACAAAGCCCUUCUACAGAUAAAGUUUAGGGUUUAGGGUUUAGAAAAGGAGGAUAUGAGUAAGGUCCCGUAUGCUUCAGCAGUUGGAAGCCUAAUGUAUGUCAUGGUAUGUACUAGACCUGAUAUUGCUCAUGCUGUUGGAGUUGUUAGUCGUUUUAUGUUCAAUCUAGGAAAACAACGUUGGGAGGCAGUCAAGUGCAUCAUGAGAUAUUUGAGAGGUACUUCCAUUUUGAAGCUCACAUUUGAGGAUGGAAAGCCAGUACUUGCUGGGUAUACUGAUUCAGAUAUGGCAGGGGACUUAGACAGCAGAAAGUCUACUUUUGGUUACUUGAUGACAUUUGCAGGUGGUGCAGUGUCCUGGCAGUCAAGGUUGCAGAAAUGUGUUGCCCUUUCUACAAAGAGAUGUUGUGGAUGAAGUGCUUUGUACAAGAGUUUGACUUCAAGCAACAACACUGUGACAAUCAGAGUGUUAUUCACCUUGGUAAGAAUGCUUCAUUUCAUUCCAGAACAAAGCAUAUUGAUGUGAGAUAUCACUAGCUUAGAGAUGCUUUAAAUGAUGAAUUGUUUGAGCUUGAGAAGAUACACACGGAUCAUAAUGGAUCUAAUAUGUUGACAAAGAAUCUACCAAGUCGAAGCUUGAGUUUUGUCGUUUCACGGUGGGAAUGACAAAUUCAUUCUCAAAGUGAAAUAGGAGGAGAUUUGUUGGGCUUAUUUCACUUGAAGCUCAGCCCAUUAGGUUAAUUUUAUUAUGAAAUUAACUAAUGAACAAUACAAUGAAAAAGAAAAGUAGUGAUGGCAAGAUGGCAAGAUGGUGGGAAAAGAAAGAAACAUAAAAUAAAUGUGGUUCGUAUUUCAGCCUUUUAGAGAUCGAUUCUUGGUCCAAUCAAGCUGAAAUUUUGACCGUGUAUUCUUGGCACGAGGUUCUUCAUUCUGGACGGUGGAGACUUUGUUUGGAGCUAUCUACGGUUAGAUUCUGGUUGAUAGUUGGCUACCACAUAUUGUGAGAUUUUUCAUUUUUUCUUUCAUUGUCAUUGUUGUUUGUUGCCGGGAUUGUUAUUCUCGAGAUACUUGCCUCUAGUUGUGACUAUGGAGAACUUUGUUGUACCCAUUAAAGAUUAUAGUGAAGAUUUUGACUUCGGUCCGUGGUUUUUCACUCCUCACGUUGAGGGGAUUUUUCCACGUGUCCAUAUACUUUUAUUAUUAUUAUUAUUAUUAAUAAUUGAUCCAAGGUGAAGGUGUUUAUCCCAACAAAACGACACAAAAAUAGCUAUAAAACAAAACAAUGAGAGAGUGAAGAUAUAGCAAUAAAAGGACAGUGAUAAAAAAACAACAAAAAUGAUGUAGAUUAAAAAAUGAACCAUACUCUUUUCAAAUUUAAUUUGAACUCUUCAAAAAUUAAGAUAUGGACAUAAUAUCAAAAUCCUAAUUGUUCAUAGAUCAUUCAAAUACAAAACUAAAUGAUUGAAUUAUUAGUUAAAUUUCAUCAUAUCAAUUGGUAAUUAAUGAGAGUUCACAUCCAAGGAACAGUUCAAUCAUUCCCUAUGGCUUCUUUUUAAUCUCUGGACCUAUUGCUAAUGAAAUAAAGAAAAUCCAGAUACAACUUACUAAAUAUUUCUAUUCAAUUCAUUUAGAUGCUACAUUUAUAUAUAUAUAUAUAUAUGAUUCCUUGAUCUAAAUGCAUUGAGGACUGACAUAAAACUCAUACUUGAUGAAUAUUUGGAAUGUUGAUAAGUAAAGAUUCUAAACUCUCCUAGAUUCGUCAUGCAUUAAGGAGUCGAUAAACCUUCACAUUUUAAAGCAUCCAUCAACCAAUGUUGCUCUGAUUAAACUGGACUGGAUUUGUCAAGAGAUCUCCAACACCACUUUGAGCUCUAUUUUGACAAUCUAUGGAGGGUGGUGGAUGCAUUGGAUCACUCUACUCUUGACUCCAGUUCUAUGUCUAAAUCAGCUCCCACAUCAACUUGCCCAGUUUCUCAGUGUCUACCAUACCGUGAAGGACUACGAUUGUUUUGUUGUGUAACAUUAUGCCUAAACUGUGGUCUUGGGAUGACCUUUCCAUCAAUAAACAAAUCACCUGAAAUUAACAUGAAUGAUUCAUACAAGCAAAACGAGCAUUUGACUUGAGAUAACAACUGAUUUCAAUUUAUAUCAAUUUGAUCAAGUUGAAAUGGGAUCACCUCCGUAAUCUUUGUUCGGAACAUCUUGAUAUGAAUCUGGAAAAACCCAUCGAACACCUGGCAAUUCUGUUUCAUACGGAAUGAAAAAGCUCAAAUCAGUUGCCAAUUCUAUAUUUUACAUAAGCUAAAGCGAAAUUAUCAAUAACUAACGAAAAUCACAAAUGUGAAACCUUCACAGUUGUAACACAAGAACAUUCAAACUAAAACCAGGUCAAUUCUGAAGCAAACUUGGAAAUAGAAAGAAAAAGAUCACAAGCCAUUCAAAUAUUAUCUAGGAAGUUGCAUCAAACGAAUUGCGUGGUUGAGCUAAAAAAGUACUCUUUCUAUCUUUAAAUUUAAUCCAAACACUAGCUAGUAGACACAUUUCCAAUAUCUAUAAGAUGAAAAAAAAAUUGAUUCACAUCACAAGACUCAUUAGUGUUGUCAAACAUUCAUGGUGGUAACACACAUAUUAUCAAACAAAAACUCAAGUCCAUUCUACAGCAAACUUCAAAAUAAUUGGGAAAAUUUCUUAGCGCUGUAUUGGGUUUUGAAAACUAAGUUUAUAAACGGUAUCAUUCUUUGUUUGCUAUCUACUUUUAAUAGUGUUUUCAAAAUGCAUAGUUUUGGCAACUAAUUAAAGUAGUUUCUUAAAAUACUUGUUCUACGUUUUAGAAUUUGGCUGAAAAUUCAAAUUCAAAUGGUAACCAUGGUAGUAAAAACAAACAUAACUUCAAAAAACAAAAUGGUUACGAAAUGGAUGCUUUUAUCUUGUUUUGUGAGAACUUUCAUCAAACACACUGCACGCUUGAGCUCAAAAGUACACUUUGAAUGUUCACAUUUAAUCCAAAUAAUCAACACAAUGCAAUAGAUACAUGAUGAAUCAAGGUUACUUAUUCUAAUCACAACACGAAUAAGCAAAAAAACAAUGAAGUAUUACCUUUCAUUUUCCGAGAAAGCUCUUCCGAAAUCAAUGCACCAAAUCCAGUAUACGUGGUAGUACAAACUGAGUAUAUUUUCUCCUUCGCCUCUUCCUCACUGAAAAAUCAGAAGAAAGCAAAAAUCCUAAAAUAACUAAAGAAUAAAAUCCGUGUUAAAACGAUUUGUCUUCAAUCCGAUACCUUCCGACAACAGCGGCCAGAGUUUUGACAUAAGAAUUAACCAUCUCUUCCUCCGAUGGUUUCGGGUCAUUAGGAAAAUCCAGCACUAUCAGCCAGUGCUCGUAAUCGCAGCCAUCGUAGGGUAUUGAAUCUUUUGGAGGUCGCUUGCUCGAAUUAGGAGAAGGAUCGUUGAGUAGAGAGGAUUCGGAUUCCGAAGCCUUGCAUCGAAUAGGAAGAUUAAAUGAAUUAGGGGUUAUUUGAACCUGUCUGUUGAGGAGAGGAAAAGCGAAACGCAGGCGAGAAGAAAUAGGAGAUGGAAGUAAGAAGGAAGAAGAAGAUGAUGAAGAUGAAGAGAGGCUUCGGCUAAGAACAGUGAAUAAUGUGCGCCGAGUGGCUGAGGACGCCAUUGUUGAAAGCAGUAGGGUCUCUGAUGAGUUGGGAUUUAAGAGAGGUCUGGGAAAAUGAAGGAAAGUACACUAUACGUCGUCGUUUUCGACAUAUAAAACUGUUCUUCUCUUACAAAAUCUCUCUCAAUUUUCAAAAUAAAAACGUUCAUAUUCGUUAAUUCAAGAUAUUUACACAAAUUUAAAGUUACAAAAAUAUUUUUAAAAUGUAAAAAGGGAAUUUAGAAUUAAUUUUGGAUCUACUAAAUCAUGAAAUUAUUCAUUUUGAAAAAUGGUAAUAUAAAAAAAUGUAUAGAGAGUAAAAAGUUAUUCUACUAUAAAGCAAAUUAUUGAGAUAAAAGUUUGCUAACCAUUAAAAUUCCAAGGGAUAAAUGCUUCUUUGUUUUGUUCAGUAAAACACUACUUUCCUUUAAAAGCUUUUAAAUUCUAUCAUCUGAAGCCAUGGUCCAAAAAUUUGACAAGUCAAAAAUAAAUUAUAAAGUUUAUCACUAAUAAAUUUUUAGCAAAAAGUCCGCCCAAUUUCUUAAGUUCCUGCUUUCAGAACAACCCGAAAGUGAAGAUGGCGAAGAUUCAGAAUCGAACCAUAAUUUUUUCAAAUUUAUAGUUUGAAUCAUUAAAAAAUUCAGAUAUUGUCACAACAUCACUAACUUAGAAUCUUUAAAAUCAAAGUCCCCAGAAUUCAUAGAUCAUAUAAACUAAAAAAUAUAUAUACACAUUUUUUAAAAAGCAUCCAUCAAUCAGUGUUGCUCCGAUUAAACUCGCCUGGAUUUGUCGAGAAAUCUCCAAUACCACUUUGAACUCUAUUUUGACCAUCCAUGGAGGGUGGUGGCUGCAUUGGAUCACUCUGAUUUUGACCCCAGUUCUGUCUCUGAAUCGGUUGUCUCCGAUCAACUUGCAUAGUUUCUCGCCGUCUAUCAUACCGUGGACGAGGCCUGUUUCUACCAGGUUGUUGUGGCCUAUCAUGGUACCUAUAUUGCGGUCUUGGGAUGACCUUUCCAUCAAUAAACAAGUCACCUGAAAUUAACACAAAUGAUUCAUAAAAGCAAAAUAAGCAUCUGACUUCAGAUAUCAAGGCGUUUCAAUGUAUAUCAAUUCAAUCGAGUUAAAGGCGCAAUCACCUCCGUAAUCUUUGUUCGGAACGUCAAGAUAUGAAUCUGGUAAAACCCAUAGAACACCUGGCAAUUCUGUUUCAUCCAGAAUGAAAAGCUUAGAUCAGAUGCCAAUUCUAUAUACAAAGGCUAAAGCAAAAGUAUCAAUCAAUAACACAAAUCAUAAAUGACAAACCUUCACAGUUGUAAAACAAAAAUGACCAAACUAAAAUCGGGUUGAUUCUGAAGAAAACUUGAAAAUAGAAAGGAAAAAUCCUAAGCAAUUCAAAUAUUAUCUAGGAAGCUUCAUAAAAAGCAUCACGUUCUUGAGCUAAAUAAGCACUCUUUCACUCUUCAAUUUUAAUCCAAAAAACUAAACACAGAUUUGAUUCAUAUCACAAGACUCGUUAAUUUUGUUGUUUACAAAAGGCUGCUUUAUACAACAAAGUACAAAGGAUCACAACAUAAUACAAAUGCCAAGCCUUCAUGGUGGUAAUACAGAUAUUAUCAAACUAAAACUCGAGUCAAUAUACAGCAAACUUCAAAAUAGAUGGGAAAAUUUCUUAGGCCUCCAUUUGGGUUUUGAAAUUAAGCUUAUAAACACUACUUCUACUUAUUGUUGUCUUUUUUGCUAUCUAAUUCUUAGUGGUGUUUUCAAAAUACGUAGUUUUGGUGACUAAUUGGAGUAGUUUCUUAAAAGACUUGCACUUCAUUUUAGACUUUGGCUGAGAAUUCAAACUCAAAUGGUAACCAUGGUAAAGAAAUGGUAGGAAGAGAAUGAUAAUCUAAGAAAUGCAGACAUGACACUUAGACACUCCCAUAUCGAACACUUGUUAGUGAGCCAAAAUGUGUUAGACAUGCAUAAAAUACAUAUGGAGCAGAGUAAAAGAACACAGAUUUAUGACAAUAAUACUAAAAACACACACACAUGUAUGCAUAAAACACUCGUUGAGCAUACAUAGAACUAAUUUCUAUCUUUUAAGCAUGUAAUGCAUUAACCUUGUUAUGGCAUGCCCUAGACUUUUAAGAAAUGACUUAUUGCCAUGUAUCCAUGUCUUGUAUCCCUAUUAGUGCUUUUCGAAACAUAAUUUUCAAAAACUAAAUGAAUGAAUUCGUUUUAUCUAAUUUUUUAGAACUUUGAUCAAACACAUUGAGUGCUUGAGCUGCUCAAAACUACACUUUCAAUCUUCAAUUGUAGUCCAAAUACUCAACACAAUUCCAAUAUCUACAACGAGAAUAAAUCAGAUUCCCAAGGCUCCUCAAUCUAAUCAUAACACGAAUAAGCCAUGAAACUAUUACCUUUCACUUUGUAAGAAAGCUCUUCCGAAAUCAAUGCACCAAACCCAGUAUACGUAGUUGUACUAACCGAGUAUAUUUUCUUCUUCGCCUCUUCCUCACUGAAAAUCAGAAAAAAAACGAAAACCCUAAAAUAACUAAAGAACAAAAGCCGUUUUAUAAUAAUUUGUUUUCAAUCCGAUACCUUCCAACAACAGCAGCUAGAGUUUUGACAUAAGUAUUAACCAUCUCUUCCUCCGAUGGUUUCGGGUCAUUAGGAAACUCCAGCACUAUCAGCCAGUGCUCGUAAUCGCAGCCAUCGAGAAGUAUCGUCUCUUUCGGAGGUCGAUUGCUCCAAUUAGGAGACGGGUCGUUGAGUGGAGAGUAGCCGGAUCCGGAAGCCUUGAAUCGAAUUGGAAGAUUGAAUGAUGCAGGGAUUAUUUGAUCCUGUCUGUUGAGGAGAGGAAAAGCAAAUCGCAGGCGAGAAGAAAUAGGAGGAGAUGGAAGUAAAAAGGAAGAAGAAGAUGAUGAAGAUGAAGAAAUGCUUCGGCUAAGAACAGUGAAUAACGUGCGCCGAGUAGCUGAGGACGCCAUUGUUGAGAGCUUGACGGUAGCUGAAUGAGACAGUAGGGUUUUUGGUCGAUGAGAUUUUAGAGAGGUUUGGGGAAAUGAAGGACGGUACAGUAUACGGCGACGUUUUAGGAAUAUAAACAAAAAAAAAUAUAGAUUUAGACCAUCAAUAGUCUAUUAACUACGUGAUUAUAUCAACUUAAAUUGUAAAUUUAGCAAUUAGAUUUAAAAUAAUUAAAGAUAUAGCAACAUUUUAAAAAAUUUGCAAACAUAGCAAAAUUUGACAAAUUCUGUCAAUGAUAUGAGUCUAUCAACGAUAGACCAUGUUGCAAAUAUUGGUCUAUCACUGAUAGAUUAUAGGAAGUGUAUCAGCGAUGUUAUAUUUGUAAUUUUUUUAAAAUUUUGCUAUAUCCUUAAUUAAAAUGAUUAUUCAUUCCAAUUUUGUAUUAUUUUUUAGUAAAAUAAUUUUUUUAAAAAAAUUAUAUAAGAGUGAGUGAGAUUAUAGGAAUUGUUUAAUUAUAUUUAUAGACACUGAACUUGUUACAUAUAUUAUAUAUUAUUAGAUGAAAAUUGCAUACGAGGACAAAAACAUUUAUAAAAAUAUAUAGUCUAUAACACCUAUUUUUAUCAUAUUAGGAAUAUGAAAAAAUUAGUGAUAUUAAAUAGUUAUAGAGUUAUCCAUUUUUAAAUUUACAAUUUAAAAAAUGCAUGACAUGAGUUUAUUAUCAUAAUUUUUUGUUGCUACUUUUUCAAGUGUCCCCUUUUCAAAUAUUCGAUUUGUCUUGCAAACUAAAUCGUCUUCAACCUCGAACCAACAUUGGUUUCUUAAAAAAUGGACUAUUUUGAUGCUUUAAUGUUCAUUUACACUUGUUAACUUUUACGACUUCUCUUUUAAACAAAACCUCGAAGAGCUCAACUUUUAUAAUUGCAAACCGUAAUUAUAGCACCAAAUUUGAAGAAUGUUACUGCAAUUUGCUUUUAAAAAUUGAAGUAAAAAAAAAACUGAUUUGCUUUAUAACUCUGUAGAGAGAGGAUUUCAUAACGAGUAGUUCAAAACAUGCAUAAUUUUUUAUAAUACUGAAGAGCCCAAGAAACAACAUAACCAAAGCUAUAGUUAAGUACUCAUACAUAUACUUUAUACAUACAUACAUACAUAUAUAUAUAGUGCAGUUAAAUAUAUACUCAACUGCAGGCUCGUAGUUACCUAAAUUUGUUUAUUUAUGUAUUACAAGCAUCCAUCCCUUUACUUUUAGAUCAGAAAAGCAAAGCUAUUUCCGUUUUGCAUACGAACGCCAAGUUGUUAUCACGAUCCCGCCGCGGGUUUUGGCCAAAUGAUCAGAAGUCACCACUGCCCCCUGUUUCUCUUUCGUCUUCGAAGGUGGUUGCUCGGCCACCUUACGCGGUGGCUGCAUCUGAGCUGGCCUCAUCUCCGUUGCCGCCACUACCCUUCUACCGCCCGUUGUCGAGGCUCGACCGAAGAAUUUGUCAAUCAGUUUGAAUCCUUCAAUCCCAAUCCGCGCCAGGUUAGCAUCAGUAUCUAUAAUUUCUCUCUCUCUCCUACCCAUAAUUCCCGAAGAUUAAGAAAAAAAAAGGAAUUUGUUUUGGAAUGGGUUGUGAAGCUUCGUUUGGUUUUUGGUGCAUUAUAUAGUAGUUUUGGUGGCCCCCAUAGCAGUAAUUUAAAAAUGGUAAUAAAAGAAUUAGGCCGAGGAAUGAACUCUUGAUGGGAAUUUGAUUGAAUUUCUUUAUAAUAACAAUGUUUCUUUUUUCUCUUUUUCAAAAGUGAUUUAGGGUUGGAAGAAAUCAAUUAAAUGUUUUAAGCUUUCAUAACCUAUUAAUUUAUCCAUUUAUUAGACUUCGUUAAAAAUUGUAUAUUAAUUUAGACAUUUCAAUUAAUUGAUAAAAUUGUAAGUUUUUUAAAGUAAAAUACAGAGAGUUUGAAAUGAUUAAAAUUAUAAUGCGAUAUUUAUAUUUAAGCAUGGUGAUUGAAAUGAAUAUUAUGUUAGGCAUUAUAAAAUUAGUCAUAUAUAUGGGGAAAGGGAUUGGGAAUAUUUAGGGGUAACUUUUAGCUGUUUUUAAAGAUUAAUUAAGUUAUUAAAAACUGAUUUUUAGAGGAAUGAUUAAUAAUUUAUUACAACAACGUAACAUAGCAUUAAACUUGUUUUAUAAUAAACACUAAAAAGGGUGUUCAAAAGGAAUUUUGCAAAUUGUUCUAAAGGAAGAUAAAGAUACUUUUAGAUUGUAAAAAAAAAUGAUUAAAGAAACAAUUAGGAUUAAGAUUAGGAAGAUAUUUGGUUUGUUAGAGAGUAAAAUAAUGGAUUUUAAUUUCGUUAAAGGGAUUAGGAAUAUUUGGGGGUGACUUUCUAGGGAUGUUAUUUGUUUUAUUUUUUUAUAAUAUAAAAUAUAGUUUUGGAGCACUUAAGAUAUAUAUAUACACAGAGGAGUAUUUUAAAAAAUAGAAGCAACAUAUUUAGAAAAUGAAAAAAGUCACAUGUCCAAAAAAAUUCUCAAAAUGCUUAAAUUUAGUUUUUUUUUUUCUUUAUUAGAUUAUUAGAUGAUCAUUUAAAUUUUGUUGUCAUGUAGAGAGAGAAUUUCAGGGCGAGAGUAGUUCAAAACAAACAUAAGAUUUUUGUCACGAUAUUUUAUAUUUGUCACACAAUUUAAACAACCACAUAACAUUUUUUUAAAAAAAUAGAUAUUGUAUAUUUGGUACACAAUUUUUAACCAAAUAAUUGUUUGAAAAAAAUUAAUUACAGAAAAAUAGAAAAUGACCAUUGAAAGAAGAAGAAAAAAGACUGCAGAGGAGAAGAAAGACGAUGAAAAGUAAAAAUAUUGUCGAAGAUCAUAAGGAAUAGAGAAUAGAUGAAAAAUAUAUAAAACAUGACAUGAAUAAAUCGAAAAGAAGAUGAAAAAAUCGGAAAGAAGAGAAAAAUCAAAAUUGAAAAAUCGUUAUAAACUAGUAAGGGCAAAUGUGAAAUUUUGAAAAAGAAAAAUUAGCAUUAAUAGGUUUUUCUUAAAUUGUUAUAUAAGAUAUAAAUAUUUGGUCGUUUUAUUCUAUUUAUGAAAAUUAACUAUAUAUAUAUAUAUACAUUUUGCUAAAUUAUAUAUGUUUUAAACAUAUAAGUCGAAAUAAACAUAACUCAAUUAUUUGAUUUAUAACCUAAGUUAAUCUUGAUUGUGGAGCUUUAUCGGCCCGAUAAACUCAAGUUGUAGACUUCCACCUAUAGACAGAAAAACCCAACUUUUAUAAAUGUAAGUUUUUGUGCCAAUGAUUGAUUAGAUUAUCAAAUAAUUAUAAAAUAGAACGGGAAAAAAUCUUGAUAAACCUUUUCUAUAAAUACAUCAUUAUAACCUAAAUCUUAGCUUUAACGUACUCUCACUUUUCAACUUAAGCAUUGGAAUAUGUAUGACAAUUACUGUAUGUGCAUUUCAAUUUAAUUAGUACUUCAUUAAUAAAUGUCACAAUUUUUCGAUUAAGACAACAAAUUUUAUUUAAAUUUAAUUUUUAAGAUUCACGAUAUUUUGUUUUUCUUUUAUUAAAUACUCAGGUGUUUAAGACUUAUUAAUUAAAUUAAAAUGAUUAUGAAAUUUGGAAUUGUAAACUUCAAUUAUAAUAGUACGAUAAAUCAUAAAAUUCAAUGUUAUAAGUUCCAUUAAUUUUUAAAACAUUUUGAUAUAUGUAUAAAAACUAAAUUGAAAUUAUUAUCAAACAGAUUCUAAAUUAAUAAUUUUUUAAGGGGUUUAUAGAAAAAGAAAAAAAGCAGUGUGGAAUUGAAGUUUCGUAGUGAGUAGAAAAAAAAGGUGAGUCUUCCAUUCAAUGUUCAAAUUGGGUCGGCAAAGGUUCGUUCUUUUUGUCUCUUUUUUCUCAAAGGAAUAAUAAUCCUUUUGGUGUUUAAAGACGUCAUAGUGGUGACGACCACACUCAUUUUGCUCUCUAUUUUCUAGAUUUUCCACCAUAUAUUUAGUUAUAUCAUUUUAUUUUUUAUUAUCUCUCACUUACUUUCAACUCAUUUCUAUAGAUCUACUGUCUGUCAUCUUUAAUGAUAUAUGUCGUUCGCUAUGUAUGUUCAUCGCGAUCUUUGUUCAGAUCCACGAUCCAACGUUCCGUCCAUAAUAUGAAUAUGUUAGAAUUGCACAAGAAGUUUUGUUUAAAGAAAAGCACCUUGACAUCCAAUCUUGCUAAACAAUUUGACGUUGUUCUUGUGAGCAUUGAUCCACCCAAUAGAGCAUCAAACACUUUUUGUAAGAAUUGUAAGCUCCCUGGUCAUAAAUUUAUUGAUUGUCCUAAAAUAAAGAUUCCUUCAUAUAUGAAAACUAAAAAAAAUACAGUUAAGAAAAGAAUAUACAGAAUAAUAUCGAUUAAAGAUACUCUAAAUGUCCAAUAAUAUAUUUGGUUAAUUUUUCAAAAGUUUUGAUUUGGUUCACAUAAUCAUUCCUCACAAUAGUUUGUUAUUAUUGAUUGAUUUUUUAAAAGUGUGUAUGCUUUAAUUUGUUUUUUUAAAUUCAUUUGUGAUUGUCUUCAUCUAGUUGCCCAUUGGUAAGAGGUAUUAGAAAUUUGAAUCAUUCGCUUCCACGUCUUGUAUUAAACUAAAAGAAAAAAUUAUUUGUAACAAAAAGACAAUAUGUAAUACUUCGAAGAUUUAUAUAUGUCAUUGAAUAAAAACUCGUAGAUUAGUAUGAAUGCAAUAAAAUCACGUAUGGAUUAUUUGACAUAUAUAUGGAUACGUACUCACGUGCCUAGCUAGGAUGAUUUUUUUUCUUUGUUUACUUUUUCACAUGUACGGAAAGGGAGAUGGAUGGUAUCCAAAAAGAGUAUAAAUAUAUACAUAGAUAAUUUAUGUAUGGGAAUAGCUUUAUUCGUAUUUAUCCAUGGGGUGUUAGACAAUGAAAUAGGUAUUUUUUUUAUAUAUAUACACAUUAGACAAGAAGAAAAUGAAUCAAUUAUAUUUAAUUUCAAAGUAAUUUAGAACAAUUUACUACGAAAAUACUCUUCAAAUUCAUUAUCUCAAUUUUAUAAUAAUAAUAAUAAUUAUUGAUGAUUGCUUGAUAAAAAAAAAUAGUCAAAACGAGACUAUCUAAAUUAGCUUUAUCGCUGAGUUGUUUGUGUUUUUUCGAAUUUUUCAAAUAUUGUAAUUCAUGUUUAAUUAAUUAAUUAAUUAAAGCAUUUAAAUGAGAUCGUUCAUUUUACUUUAUAAAGUAUUUGAAGCGACUAAAAUGUAGAUCUAACAAUUGAGUGUAAAAGGAAAUAUUAUCCAAUAAUAAAUUCUUAAAAUAUAUAAUGAAAAAUAUUUGAUCCAAUAAUGGAAUUUUAGAGUAAAACAAUAGGGUAAAUCAGUAUUUUCAUGAACAUAUUCGUUCAAGAAAAUGAAUUUUAUUGUGUGGGUUUUAGAUAUGUGAAUAAUUUUGUUGACUAAUUAGGAUUAAUUCCAGUAUUUUCUUGGCUUGUCAAAACUAUUUAUUUUCUUUUUAUUUAGAGCAGCAAAAUAAAUGAAAGAUUCUUCCAAUUAAUUUGUGAUAUAUAUGGGAUUGUUGAUGAGUUGAAAUUCACACCCAAAAUUCUCUUGACCAACAAAAAAAACCCAUCUCAAGUUUAAAAGCUUUCAUAUUCUCACUAAGUUAAUUAAAACUUUUAAAUGUCAAGAAUUAGGAAAAGUUUUUAUUCCUUGUAGAGAAUAAAAAGAAAUCAAUUGUUGUUGGUUUACAAGCAACACUAAACUAAUAAACAUUGAAUUACAUGUAUGUUAAAAAUGUUGUAAUUAAAAUUUUAAUUUAUGAAUUUUGUGCUAUUAGAAUAUUGAAGUUUGAAAAAACUUUCGAUUUUAGGUGGGAGGUAUGUUAUUGAUAUAUAUAAGUUUUCUCGUAAGAAAAAGAAUAAUUAAUUUAUUAGAUGUAAAAUUAAAUUUCCCUUUAAUGAAAUCAAAUAUUGAAUAGGUUAAUUAUUUAUUAUUCUAUUAAACAUAACCUUUAAAAUUAAAGAAUUUGUUGACAUGAAAUUGAAUAUUUAAAAUAUAAUAAACAUAAAUUAAAAAGUUAAAUUUACACUUUUUUUUUACCGACCAUGUAUAUAGUCAACAUAAUUGAUAGAGUAAUAAGUAAGUAUAUAACCAACAUGAAUUCAUGUCACACUUACAUGAACCGGAGACUGUAGGUCUCAAAUUCAAUUUCUUCUUAUACCCUAGUUAUAUUAUAAUAUUUUUUUAAAAAAAUCAAAUAUAUAUAAUCAUUGAAUAAGAAAUUUCGAGAGCAAUCACAAGUUGCCACAUCAUUUAUUAAAUUAAUGGUGAAAAGUGCAAAUAAUUGAAUUUGGAACUAAUUAAAAAAUUGAUAUGUAUCCCAAAUUCAAAUUGAAAAUAUAAAUUGGUUAAUUUCGAUAAUGACCCAUGUUUUCAUCAUAACCGUUAGAUCAAAUUAAUUACUUUGGUUCAAUUAAAUAUUAUUUACUUGGACUAUGUUCAGUUAAUUCUGAUUGAAGCUCCUUUGAAAAUACAAGUUUUCUUCCAAUACUUUAACUUCAAGAACAUCACAUGCUCCGCUUCAUACAAAUCAAGCGUAAGCAAAAUCAAAUUCUAGAAAUCGAACCGUAUCGCAUCAAAUUAACGAAAAUACAACAUCAACUCUAGUUCAACUCCACUAAUCAAAUUUCUCAUGAAAUUUCGUGCGAACAAUAACUAUUCAAAAAUUGUAAAUAUAUCAAAGUUUAUUACGAUGGAUUAAACGAUACGCGUUUAGACUUUAAUUGAAUUUGAAUUUGAGAUUAGGUUAUAAUAUUUAAAUUCUUAAACUUUCCUCCAAUUAUGAACUUUUAGAAACGAAUAGUUCAACAAUUUAACUACAUUUCAACCUUAGAUAAUAUUACAAAAAUACUUUAAAGUCUAUGCAUCCAAUAGCUCCAUAUCAUAAUUCAAAACUUCUAAAAAAUUAAUGUAUAUAAAUUCAAAAUUUUGUAUCUUAUAAAACUUUUGACUGAAUUAAAACACACAAUAAAAUUUUCAAAAUCUUGAAACAACUGGAUUUGUAAUUUAACAGAAAUAAUAUUAUAACACAAAGCUAUUGUCUAAUUGAUGUGUUUCUUUCUUUGUAGAGGAAGAGAAGAGAUAUACUGUUAGAGAUUUCAUAAGUAGUAAAUCAAAUAUAUUUCUUAACUUAUUGAUAUACUACAUAGCAAACCAAGAAAGCAAACUAGAGCUGUACUUUAUGAUAUAUAUAUACUAUGACCACCAAGUAGUUCUAGUUUCUAGAGGUUGUACAAAGCUAAAAUUCAUUUUGCAUACGGACGCCAAGUUGUUAUCACGGUUCCGCCGCCAUGUUUAGCCACUUGAUCGGAGGUCACGGCGGCCACGGGUUUUUCCUUCCUUAUCCUUGGAGGCUGCUCCGCCUUACGUGGUGGUUGCGGCAAAGCUGGCCUUGCCGUCUUCGCCGCCACCCGUCUCGCCCCUGUGGACGAUGCUCGACCAAAGUAUUCAUCAAUUAUUUGGAACCCCUCUCUCCCAAUCUUCGCCAGGUCACCACGAGAACCCCUAAUUUCUCUUUCUCUCAGAAAUCCCAUGAUUUUGGUAGGAAAAAAAGAGAGAGAUAUGUUAUUCUUUAUUGCUUGGUUGGGUUUGUGAAGCUUUCAUCUUUGGUUUGCCUUGUUAUAUAGAGAAUUAGGGAACUGAAGAAAGCUUUAAAUUUUGGGCUAACUUGGGGCCCCUCCAUAUGGAAGAAUAAUAUUAUAAUGAGAUUUUCUUUGCCCUUUUUUAUUUUUUGGGAAUAAAUAAUGGAAUGAGAUUUUGUAAGAAAGUGAUAUAGUGGGUUUUAAUAAAUAAUUGGAAUAAGAUUUGGAAUGAUAUUUUGUUACAAAGUAGAAUUAUGGGCUUUUAAUUAUUUAAAGUAAUAUUUGGGUGCAACUUUAUAUUUAUUAUGUGCUUUGUUUAUAAUUGUUAAAUUUAGAGAUUUUUAAGAUUAAAAUGAUGGAUUUUUUUUAAUUGAAUUGAAAUUAAAUUGGUAUAUAAGAUGAUCAAUCAUUUGAAUGUUGUAUUUAAAAGUGGCCAAUAUUUUGGGAUAUGAUUAAUUUGUCUUUUAACAUGAUCUUUUAUGUUUAAUAUUUUUAGAUGGAAUUAGAUAUUGCUUUAUGUAAAAGCACUAAUAAAAAAAACAGAGAGAGAAAAAGGUAUUUUUGUGUGUGCUUUAAAUCUUUUUCUUUAGUAAUAUCAUUCAUCAUAUAGCUAAAUAAGAUUUUAAAAAUUAUUCUUCAAUUGUUUUUAGGAAAUAAAUAAAUAAAUAUUUUGUUUGAUCUUUUAUUUAAAUAUGUUUUUAUAUAACUAAAAAAUACCUGCGUUUCAUGUGUAGAAAUUAUAUUGUUUUUCUUUUUAUAUUUAAAUACUACUAAUUAAACAAAGUAAUAUGUUGAGUAACUUUUUUUUGUAGUUUAACUUAGUAUGAAGAUUCAACAAACUAUAAACUUCGUGUGUAUAUACGAAUAUAAUUUGAUGACAAAUGAGUUGUGUUCUUUUAAACAAUAAGAAUAAUUUAAAAUGAAACUAAACAAAAUACUGAAGUUUUAAUUUAUAAGUAAACACCCCUAAUGUUUAGAGAGGGAUAGAUUAUCUUUUCAACUAUAACAACGUGGGUCUCAAAACAUUACUUUUUAUUCAAUUUUUAUAUAUUGUAACAUUUUCUGUGAAUGUUGCUUGAAAAAAAAAUAUCUAAAAUUACAUAUUCACAUUAAUUGUGCACAACAAAAUAUAAUUCUAAAUGUAAUCUAAAAAUAAAUUUAAUGAGUAUAAUAAUUUAAAUAUUAAAAUAAAAUGUAACAGAAAUUAAAAGAGAAAUAAGAAAAUUCACGCAUAUUCAGCUUGAACGUGAAUCAUCCCAAAAAAUGAAAAAUAAGAAGGAAAGAAAAACAGUUAGUUUCUUUUGAACUACGUAGAAAAACAAAACUAUAUUAUAAUGAAUGACAGACAUUAUAUCAUUUUUCUACUCUCCUUCUCUAAAUUCAUAUAUUUCUUCGUUUUUUUAAAAUUAUAUUAAAGCAAAUUAAUGUCCUAUAUAAACUAUAUCUUUCUUCAACUCUUUCUCUAAAAUCAUAAAGUAUUAAUAUGUUGUAACACCAAAAAUAUAUUUCAACUUAAAAGCAAAGCGAAAGAUGAACGAUGAGAGUUGGAUCAAUCAAUAUUAUAUGUUAUUAUAUAAUAUAAAUUAUUAUAAGAAAAAAAUACAUAUAUUUUUGCCAUAGAAAAAACACAUAUAGUUUGUAAAAAAAUUCAAAUGUUCGUAUGAAAAUGAUGUCUUUAUAUACUUGAAGAAAAUAAAUGGUUACCGGUCUUUUAAAAUCUCAUAAUUAAAUAUAAAUUUAUGCAUUUUAGAAAUUGACUUAUUAAAAUAAAUAGAUAAAAACUUUUCAUAUUCCACAGUGAAGUUAAGAAUUUGAAAAGAUAAUACUCUAUUGAUUUUAUUAUUUAUAUUAAAUAAAAACAAAUGAUAUAACUAAUUAUAAAAUAAAAUAAUUCAUAAACUUAUUUUUUUAAAUUUAAAGAAUAACUAAUAUUUAUUUUAAAGUAUAGGAUAAUGUUGUAAAUUUAAAAUUUGACAAAAGAUACAAUUGAUUAAAAAAUAAUUAUCCUUUUAAGCUACAUUUUAAUACAGUAAGAAUUAACGGAUUGAAAAGAGGUGGAAGUGAUUUAGAGAUUAUCAUUUUUUUUCUUUCCAAAAUUGUUGAAUUUUUUAGAGAUAAUGUACUUAUAGUUUUUUUUCUUUCCAAGAUUAUCAUUUAGAGAUAAUGUUUUGUUUGCUAAACGCCAAAGUUUAUAGUUUAUUAUUCUUAAGGCUCCUAAACUUAUAUAGACGAGUUAUUUUUUGAAGUUUUAUCUGAGCAUGAAAUUAAAUCCUUUUAUUAAAUUAUGAUAAAAUCUACUUAUAAUUUUAAAUACAAAAUCAUUUUAACACGACAAAACUAUUAAAACUAUUUAUAAUUAUAAUAAAAUUUCAAAAUUUUUCACUAAAAUAUAUAGAAGUUAAGUUUACAAUUUGACUGCCAUCAUUAAAAUUAAAAGAGGGUAGGGAAUUGAAUUCGUUCAGUAUGAUGUUUCCUUUCGUGAUAUCAAGAUUCCCACCAAAAUUGGGUAUGCUUCAAUUGUUUACACUUGUACCUUAUGAAUGCAACAUUUAAAUUCAAUAGUGGAAUCAAAUUCUAACAUCCCCUACCCAUCCCUAUCCAAUCUUUUCUUUUUUUACCAAAUUUUAAAAUGAAAUUUAAAACAAAAGCCAAGUGUUAUUCCAAUUUAUGAAAAUGUACUUUCAACUUUUGAAUUCAUUCCUUUUAAAGAGAAUAUAAUUGUUCCAUUUUCACUUUAAAUAUUUUGAAUUGGAUGACUAUUAUUCUAUAUAUUCUUUACCAUUCACAAAUUUCAAUCAUUAAUUCACCAAGAUUCGUAUUAGUUUUAAAUUAAGUACCCUUCACUACCUUAAUCAAUCAUUAUAUCUUUGUUACAUGAUCGUUAUUUGGAAUAUUUCAAAUUUGGUUUAUAUCGCCUCUUUUUCUUUUUCGUCGGUUGGUUUUUAAAACAUAUAUGAUUCUUAAUACUUUAAUGAUGGUUUAUUGUUCCAUUUUUUUAACUUUUUGUAUCUUUAAGUUUUAAGUUUGGAAUUUCAUUUCAAUUUAGUUUUUAGGUUUUAAAUUAUUGCAAUUUCAAUAUUUAAAUUAAAAUUAAUUUGUUGUCGGAAGAGUUUAAUAUAGUGAAUGUGAGGGGAUCUCAUUCUUAGGGGUAGUCUAAACAUAUUGUAUUGAAGAGAUCUCAUACAAAACUUGAGUAAACAUUAUUAUGCAAGUGAAGGGAGUUCAAACUUAAGAGGAUUAUUGGUUGAAAAGCAAGUUAUACGAGAGUCAUUGAAAAAUGAGUCUAUCAAACAAGUACUUUCGUUAAAAUUGUUAAACUCUUUAUAAGUAAAGUUUUGUUUCACCAGACACAUUGCAUCCUAGACGUAGGUGAUUUUGCACUGAACUAGAUUAUAUAUCUUUGUGUCGUAUUUUCUGUUUACUUCUAUGACGACUCUCUUGUCAUAUAUAUUGUAUGUGACAUCGUGCUAUUGUUUUUUUUCACCUAGAAAUCAUAAUAUUUAACCGAUUUGAUGACAUUGAAAAUGUAGAGAAUGCAAUUAAUUUGAAAUUAUCCGUCAUCUUUGAUCGGUGUGUAAAAAUUUGGAAGAGUAAAAUGUGGAAAAUGAUUAAUUGUUACUAAGCAAAUUUGUUUAUAAAUGGGCCGCAGUUUCGUCAGAUCCAACUGGGUUGGGCCGAGUAAAGAAUUGAAACACAGCUGCCAUCACCCCCGAAUUACGAGCCCAUUUUCAAUAUUUAAGGCCCAAUUGUAAAUUUCAUUGAAGAAGAAGUUGUUUUCUUUUUCCUUUUUUCUCUUUUAAAAUAAAAGAAUAUGAAUUUAAAUGAGUUUAAUUAGUUGAGUUUUAGCCGAUGAAUCAAAACAAAUCAGAAGGAAAAACCCAAAACCGUAUUGAAAAUUGCAUUGGUCAUCAGCCAUCAAUCUUGAACUGUCUUAUUAAUUGGGUUCGAAAAAUAAAAGAAAGGGCAAAAAUGAAAAAAAUUACGAACCACAAAUCGAACAACAUUCUCGGUAAAAGAAAUAACUAACAUUCUACUUUUAACCUUCAUUUACCCUUUAUAAAUUCACCCCAAUUCCACUCUCAUUCCAAUCCAGAGCCCAAGGGGCAAUCCAUCUAUUGUCUUUCAGAAAAGCCCCUACAGCUCUGAGGGAAAAAAAAUAGAAAAAAAAAUCCCAAAAAAUCCCCCAAAAAAAUAAUCUUUUUGUUUUCAAUCUUUCAAAAUGUCAAACGGAUUUGCCAAUGCCGAAGGUGAUAAAAAGAAGAAGAAGAUAGCCAUCAUUAGUGUGUCUUCUUUAAUCCUGGUAGCAAUGGUUGUUGCCGUUACCGUUGGCGUCAACAAUGCACCCCAUGGAGAGGAGCACGGUGAUGACAAUCAUGGCAGCGAAACCACUCCUGAAAUCACAUCAUCCACCAAAGCUAUCCAAGCCAUUUGUCAACCAACGGAUUACAAAGAAACCUGUGAGAAGAGUCUAGAGGCAGAAGCCGGUAACACAACAGACCCAAAAGAGCUAGUGAAAGUGGGCUUUAAAAUCGCAACAAGGAGUCUGAACGAGGCUAUUAAGAAUUCAACCACACUUAAAGAAUUAGCCAAAGACCCCAGAACCAACCAAGCCCUUCAAAAUUGUCGUGAGCUACUAGAAUAUGCCAUUGAUGAUUUGAACCAGUCGUUCGAAAGAAUCGGCACCUUCCAAAUGUCCAAACUCGAUGAUUUCGUCGCGGAUUUAAAGAUUUGGCUCAGUGGUGCACUCACGUACGAACAAACUUGCUUGGAUGGUUUUGAAAAUACUACAGGUGAUGCUGGUGUCAGAAUGCAAGAGUUUCUGAAGUCAGCUCAGCAAAUGACAACCAAUGGCCUUGGCAUUGUUAAUGAAUUGUCUACCAUUCUGGGUUCACUUCAGCUUCCUGGAAUGAGUGGACGACGACUUUUGGAAGAUGAUGAUCGUGAAAUGCCAUCAUGGGUUAGCGACGGAAAGAGACGAUUGAUGCAGGCGGGAGCCGCUGCGAUGAAACCUGAUUUGGUUGUAGCUCAAGAUGGGAGUGGGAAAUACAAAACCAUAAAUGCAGCUUUAGCUGAUGUGCCUUUGAAGAGUAAUAAAACGUUUGUGAUUCAUGUGAAGGCUGGAAUUUACAAAGAAAUUGUUGUCAUCCCCAAACAUAUGACUCAUCUUACAAUGUACGGUGAUGGUCCAACCAAAACUGUCGUCACUGGUAGCUUAAACUUCAUCGAUGGCAUUCAAACAUUCAAGACUGCUACCUUCUGUAAGUACAGUAGCAUUUGAUUUGAUUUGAUUUGAUUAGUUUUGGUCUAAUUAAUUGAUAUGGUUCAAUUCGAUUCAGCUGCAAUUGGAGCUAACUUCUACGCUAGAGAUAUGGGAUUCGAGAACACAGCUGGAGCAGCAAAGCACCAGGCCGUGGCCCUACGAGUCCAAUCCGAUAGAUCAAUCUUCUUCAACUGCCAAAUCGACGGAUACCAAGACACACUCUACGCACACGCUCAUCGUCAGUUCUAUAGAGAUUGCACAAUCAGUGGCACCAUCGACUUCGUCUUCGGAAACGCUGCUACAAAUUUCCAGAACUGCAAGCUAGUGGUGCGAAAGCCAUUGGAUAACCAACAAUGCAUCGUAACUGCUCACGGGCGUUUGAACAGAAAGGAACCAACGGCAUUGAUCUUCCAGAGCUGCCAUUUCAUGGGUGAUCCAGCUUACUUGCCAUUCAAGGCCAUCAACAAGGCUUAUUUGGGACGUCCAUGGAAGGAAUAUUCAAGAACCAUUAUAAUCGGAUCAACAAUAGACGAUAUAAUUCAGCCAGAAGGAUGGUUGCCAUGGAUGGGAGAUUUUGGAUUGAACACAUUGUUCUACGCGGAGGUACAAAACAAAGGAGCAGGGGCUGAUGAAAGUAAGAGAGUGAAGUGGAGAGGAAUUAAACAUAUUACGCCACAACAUGCUGCGGACUUCACUCCAAGACGAUUUAUUGAUGGCGAUGCAUGGAUUCCUGCCAAGGGAAUUCCUUACUCUUCUGGGAUGAUGUAAUGAACAAAAGGGUUUUAGUAAAACCAAACCGAACCGAACCCUUUUUUCUCUUUUUCUCUUUUUCUCUUUUUCUUUUGGCGUUCGUUUAAUGGAAAUCCUAUGGGAAAUAAUUUCACUUAUAUUACCUAUAUUUAUAUUAUGAUCUGAAUCUUCUUUCUUUCGUCUAAUUUUUGUUUGAUGCAAUUAUUAUAAAUCAUGGUAUAUAAAUAAAGAAAAAUAAUGUGUUUGAACUUUUUGGUAAAUAUUAGAGAUUGAUACAAACAAGAAAAUGAAAGGAAAUAAGAGUCUUAAGUUAAUAGAUUUUGAAUGGAAGAAAAAAAUGUUUACUUGAGGAAUUAGAACUCUUCAAACUGAACAUCAUUUGGUACAAAACUGAUCAUAACUAUAUUCAAAUAAGAAAAAAAAAAAUUAAUUACAAGUUUAAUCUUAUAAUUAGAGAGAGAGAAAAAAGAUUCAUAAAACAUUCUUUCUUAAAACUAAAUUAUAAGAACCACAUUUGCAAUUAAAAAAAAAGUUCGUAUUUGUAUUUUUGGUUCACAAAACAAAUAUUUACAAUUCUAGCCACGUUCCGUUCCAUCACAAAACCGUUAUCUUUCUGAACCGACUGCUUCUAUUUCCUCCUUAACGGACAACGACUUCACAAAAUUCACCGUUGCCCUCGACGUCCCAUCAUCCGACAUGUCGUUCACAUGCCUCGACUCAUCAUCCACCACCUCCACCGACGCCGCCAUCUCAACCGGACACCGAUGAUCCGUUUCUUCCUCACCAGAUCUCGAACCCAGUUCACAGACAUCAAUGGCAAUCUCCCCCGGGUCAUCAUGCGGGCCGGACUCACAUUCGGGUUCGGGUUUCACCUCAGAUCUACAAAGCGGGCAAGUCGCGUGGGAAUAAAACCACAUAUCAAUACACCCCACGUGGAAGCUAUGGUUGCAUUUCGGAAUACUCCGUCCGAUUUCGUUCUCUUCAAAUUCCGAUAAACAAACCGCACAGUAAAUCGGAUCCGGGUCGGUUUUCUCCGAGUGAACGAAAACGGGUAGGGACUUGAGAAUCGACUGCGGCAAACCACGCGACGGAACACCAGCGGCGGCGAUUCGAGGCUCGGCAGUGAAAACAAAGUGUUGACGGCGGCGACGGCGGCGGAUACGAGAUGGGCGGGGGGUGGAGGAGAGUAGGAACAAUCGAACGUAGAGAUGAAGACAAAUCAUGAGGAUGACGACAAAUAAUAAUAAAAUGAUUGCGCCGAGCAUGAUUUUGCCGCUGAGAGCGUAACGUGUGUAGGAGGGCGGAUAUAAGAGGGAGGCAUCGUCGUCGUCGUCGGCCAUUGGCGGCGAGGAAAUAGGGAGAGAAAAAAGGGAAAUUGAAUAAUGAUAAUUGGGAAGAAAGGAAAGAAGGGGAUAAGGAAAUUUAAAGGAAAAAGGAAGGAAACUUCGUGAGGGUUUCUGGUUGGAGGAAGGCUUGUUCUUUAGAGUCUAUGAAGGUCAACAAUAUUUUAAAUCAUUUGUUAAAAUCAUAUAUAUUAUAAUUGAAUUCACUAGUGAAGUGGAUUUGGCAGUAGUGGUGUAGGCGAAACAAAUUACAUUGACUAAUUACUUUAAAUAAUAUCAAUAUAAAUUUCUAAAUUCAAAUACAAUUUCAACAAAUAUUUCUAAAUCUACAUCUAAAUCCAUUCAAAAUUAUAUAUUUUAUACCAACAAAAUGUGUUUCUACUUACAAGGGUAUCACAGUUUUCUCUCUCUCUCUCUCUUUUUUUUUAGUUUCUCUUGCCAUUUUGGUAACAUAUUGGCAUGAAAAUAAUUAUAUCUAACUUAUUUUAGAUGAAAACAUAUGAGAAAUAGGUUAUAAAUUUAAAUGGACUCAGUAGUAAAAGUUUAAAUUGAACUUAACAAUGAUUUUCUUUUUCUAUAAAUGUCUUGUGUUUAUUAUAUUUUAGUUUAUUUUGGUAUGUUUUAAAACGUUUAUUGUUAUUAUAACUAUUUUUAUUUUAGAGAUAAUUGUGGUUUGUUGAAGUGUUUUCAGUGUAUUUGCAAACAACAAAUAGUUUUAAAAAAUAUUAACUAAUUUGGAUUAACAAUAUUUUGCUUAUAUUCCCUAAAUAUAUGCCCAUAUCCUUAUAUCCCCUGUAUGCAUAUAAUUCUUUAAAUCAAAUUAAUUAACAUUUAUUUAUUUAAUUUAAGUUUAAUAAAAAUUUCUACCACAAAAUUGCUAAAAGAAUUUAAACUGUUACUCCUUCUUUAGAUUUCAUAAUAUUUGAAUUCCCUAAAACAUUGACAAUCACUGCUACAUUAUUUUCAUAUGAUAAUACAUAUUACCUAUGGUUAAUAAAGAAAUGGUUAUGAGAAUUUUAACCAUUCCCAAAUCAUUAGAUUUUAUAAUAUUUUGAUUUCAAAUAUUACAUCAUAUUCUUAAUGACAAACAUAAAUUAAGCAUUUUGUAUUAUUUAUAUUUCAAGUUAUUUAAAGAAAAUUAUCAGAUAAUACAUAGUACGAAUGGUUAAUAAUAAUUUAAAAACAAAGUUUUAUCAUCACUACAAUCGUGCUAAUUAUGAUUAUACACUUAUUUUGAUUGAUUUUUAUUAAAAAAAUAAUUUAUUGUGCCUCUUGUAUCAUAUAAUUAUUUUUCACGUUGUGUUUUUUAAUUACGUUAAUAUUCAUAUUUAUUUUAACUAUAUACUUUUUUAUUUUGUAUGUGAUGUUUUAUUUCCAAUCAUCAUUGUUAUGCAUGUGUAAUCAAAAAAUAUAAUCCGUGUUUUACUUGUAUAAUUCAUAACAAAUUUUUGGAUUUUUAACAUUCAAAUCAAAUUAAUUAACAUUUAUUUAUUUAAUUCAUAAAACUUAUGUUUAAUAAAAAAAAUAUAAUAAAUUGUUAAAAGAUUUUCAACUAUUCCUCUUUUGUUAAAUUUCAUAUUAUUUUGAAUUCAGAUAUUAUAAUAUGACACACUUAUCCACUACUUUUAAACGAUUUAUAUUUCAAAUUGUUUAAAAAUAUUUAUUAGAUAAUACAUAGUUAUUUUAAUUUAUAUUUUAAAUUGUACACUUGUUUUGAUUGAUUUUUAUUAUAAAAAUUAAUUUAUUGUGUCUCUUUUAUUAAAGAAGUGUAUUUUGCAAACAACAUCCAAAUUUGGUAAAUGUUAACUAAAUUUGCUAUUUUGUUGUUUGAUUUAUGCUAAUGUCUAUUUUCAAAUUUGUUAUAUUUUAAACAAUUUAUUAAAUAACAAAUAAUAUAUAGCUUUUAAUAUAAAAAAUUGAAUAUAAAUUUUAAUAUUUAUUUCUAAUAAAAAUUUGAAUUUAAAUUUGAAUGUAUUUUUUAAUAACAAUUUGAAUUUAAAUUUUGGAAUUUAAUUAUGUCUUAUUGACAUUUUUGAAAUUAUUUGAAUCUUCUUCUUUCAAGUUUUAUUAGAGAAAAUAAAAUAAAGAGAUUGAAAGAGACAGCCGACAGAGAUAAACACAAUAUGAAAGAGAAUUUUUUUAUUGCAAACAAGAGAGAAAAGCUCAAAUGAAUCUCGAAUGUAUGAAAAACUCACCGAUUUGAGUGGAUGAACUCAUCGAUGCAUAUCUUGCAUAUAAGUUUUCAAUUUUAUGAUAUAAUUUCAUGAUUUCAUCAUUAUUAUAAUAUCAACAAUGCUCCCAUUUUCAACUUGAAGCUUUCGGCUAUGGUUGUUCGACAGGUCUAGAGUCAAACUUUUUGAUUGAAUGUGUCUCAAUUUUGCAAUUACCCAUUUGAAAUAGAUUGUAUCUUUUAGACAUUGAAAUAGAUUUUAAAUUUUGGAGUUGGAACUUUUCAUUAAUGACAAAUUAUUUUAUAAUUUUUAUGUUUUGUGAGAAAUUUUAAUUACAAUGUAUUUUGAGUUUAGUAAAUAAUUGUAUUUUUUUAUAUUGGAUAGUAGGAAUUGUUUUAUUUAUUUAUUUAUUUUAAUUUUUACGUUUUGGUAUCGUAACAAUUUAAAAUUAUUUCUCGUAAAACUCAUAAUUUGUUAAGGUUGAUGACAGCCAAAUCAUAAUAGAUAGUAAAGGGAAGUGAGGUAAAAAGGAUGGAAAAGCAUUUGGAAGUUGCCAAACUAUUUGGGCUGUGAGGUUUCACUUUCUGGGCCCAUUCAUUUGUCCAAAGUUUCUGAUUUCUUUGUCCAAUAACACGACGUUCCUUUUACGCUUAAAAUAGACUUUAAAUCAUUCAUCAAAUUCAAAAUGAAUAUCCUGAACACGAAAACAAAGAAAAAACCAUGCCUUCUGAUAUUGACACAAAUUAUCUGGAUUUACACACAAGCAUAUGUUCUUGAUUUGGACUCCAUCACAUAAUCAACUUUAAAUGACUACCUAAACUAUCACAAAACUCAAGAUGAAUACCACCCACGAGAAACUAAUUGCACUAGGAUGAAGAAAAAAGCUUGAGCCAAACAUCUAUUUACAAGAUCAGUUAUUGUUGUCAUAUGAAAGUUAACAGUGUUUUCUUUACUCGAAAUUUUAUGUCAUUAAGAUGUUUUGUGUUCGCGCGCACACAUAAUUUUAAGUACAAACUUCGGUUUUUUGGCUAAUGAGAUUGUGAGAGCUUUUAAUUAUGUCUAUUAGCUUCUUUAAUUUUAUAUAAUGGUGAGUAGUAUAGGUCAAUGAUCAUUGUACACCAUUCAAAAUUUAGAACAAAACACACGAAACAACACUUCCAAAAGUUCAACUUAUUAAAUAAACAAGUGUUUAGGACUAGCUUUGUAAUUUACUACACUUAUAUCUACGUCUCCACUCUAUUUUCAACCUUAUAAUUUGUUCUCCAAACACAUUUGAUAACUACUUUUAUGUCUAGCUCUUUUUCUUUUCUUCUGGUUGUGUACGUAUAUAUUUAAACAAAUUUUAAAAAAUAAUUGAUAAUAUAUGUUUUUAUUCCGCUUAGACCUAUUCUUUUCUUUAUGAUAUUUCAUUGACAAUGUUGUUGUUGCAUGAAUUCUCAGUUUUAGCUUCCACUAACUAAAGUAUUGUUUGUCAAGAUUCUUCCUGGAAUCCUCAAACCACAAAUGUGAUAUCUCUUGAUACAGCUUAAGUCUUAGUUAUCAUUGGAAGGUGUUCGAUCGACAACUAUGGUCGACUUUUGUUAAGUUAAAGUUGAAUUGAACGGUUCAAUAACGAUUAUUCUCAUAAACAAAAAGGAUAGCUCGUAUAUGUGGUUGACAAGUUUAUUAAUCAUGAUUAGUUCAUAAAACACUAAAAUGAGAAGAAAACAAACAAGCAGAUUAUGGGAAGAUGAUGAAGAAGAAUAGUAAGAAUAGUAAAGACAUGUAUAGAUUGUCUAUAUUUUUAAUACAGUUAAAAGGUGGGAGGAUUUCAACUACAGAUUUUAAAGUUAUUUGGUAAUUGAACUUGAUUUUGAUAUACUUCUAUUUUUUAAAUAAAAGAAAUAUUUUCAAGUCCAUACCCAUCCCUAAAAAAAAAACAUUAUAAGAAAGUAAUGUUAGUAGGUGUGGAUGAAAAUUGGGAUAUUGGGUGAAAAGCGGAAAAUAUAUUGGACGCAAAUCCCUAGCCCACGCAACACUGGCCUUAGGGCUUAUACUUUAGUGAGUGGGCUUAUGACCAAUAAAGCCCAAUAAGUAAACAUGUAUUGUAUUGGUUUAUUUUUCUUUAAUUAAACCAAUAAACAAAAUGUUUUAACCUAAAAUGCUUAUUAUUUAAUAUUAGUACCAUCUUAGCUUGUUGAUCCUUUUCCUCAUCAUGAAACUUCUUAUGGAUGUAAAUCUGCAAACAAACAUGUGAAAAUAUGGGAAAAUGUGAAUAGAAACAUAUAAUAACAAUAGUGGAGAAUAGAAUAGAGGGGAUGGGAUGUGUAGAGGAAAGUUGUGUGAUAUUAAAUUAAUAUCUUAUAAAAAUAAACUAUAUGGGCAUUUAAUUGGAAAAGUUAAGAAGGGUCUCGAGGGAAGAAUGAUAAGUUUGAAUUUUAUUGCAAAUAUAUCACAUUUAUUAUUAGGGUUUCCUCAAUGCCCUUCCCAUCUCUCUUAUUCAGCUUCCCUUUUCCAUAUCCUUUGUCUUUAAUUUAAUACACAAUUACUAAUUUUCAAUUUUAAUUAAUACAAUAAUCAAGUAAAUAAAAUUAUUUACUUUUGAAUAUCAGGUGACUUCCCAAGUUCGAAGUUCAAACUACUAAUUUUUUUUACAUAUUUUCAACUUAUUAAAUUGUGAGUUCAAUAUGUAACUUAACUAUUUAUCCCAAAACAACGUUCAAAUAGUUGUAAAAGUUGAAGAAAUUAAUAGAAUUCACACGUAAAAGAAAAUUAAUAAGAUAUAAGUUUGAUGUUUUUAGGCUAAGUGAAGUUCACAAUUUUAGUCUCUAUCAAUUAUUUAUUGUAAGUCAAGUUAACUCACUCUUAGAAAUAUGGUGGAAGGGGAAUGGGUGUGUAGAACAUUAAAUGAUAGACAAAUUUAUGCAUAGAAGAUGUUGGUAACAAGUACUAAAAAAUUUAUGUUUGAAUUUCUUUAACCUACAAGAAGAACAAAAUCAUAUUUUAAAUUUUUAUAUCCCCUCAUCAUCCUCUUAUAAAAAAGAAAGAAAGAAAGAAAUAAUAGAACUAUAAAGCAAACCACCAUCUCUCACCUCUCUCCAUCUAACUUCUACCUUUUCAAAUUCCCUCUUGAAAAAGAAAAAAAAAUACCUUCCUCUGAUUUGAUCUCUUCACCUUCCUAACCCCCAUGUCCACCAAAUCCCCUGUUUUCCCCUUCCCUGAAGAACCUCAACAUUUCAGCGACUAUGGCUUCGACCCUCAAAUCGACUAUUUCCAGGUUCCCUUUCUUCCCCCUUUUUUUUUCAAAAAAAAAAAAAAAAGAGAGACUAAUAUCAUUCUUCAUUAAUUCAUUUGUAAUCAUUUUUUUUGUCCUUUUUAAAUUUAGGUUCUGGAAGAAGCAAGAAAACACAGACGAGAAUCAUCAAGAUCCAUAGACUCCCUUCAUUUCAAGCUCCAAAAACCCAUUUCCAAAGACGAUUCAAAGAACAUCACAAAGAAGAAGAAAAAGCGUUGGUGGAAAAACGCUUUCCUCUUCUUCAAAUGGAAAUGGAUCCACAUCCACCACCAAAACGACGCCGCUAAUUUUCUUCACGACGACGACGUUCAUCAAGCCAGAGCCCGUGCUUUCCGUGCUUCCAUUUCCGGUCCGGUUUAUGUAACGGAAAGUCGUAGCGGUUCCUCUACUCCUUGCCGCUCCACCACUCGACCCUCCUCCGGUCCACUCGCCGGAACUCUAACGCCCACUAGAAAAGGAGACGUUGAAAUCCCUUAUCUUAGCCUCCGAGAACUCAACAUGGAGCAACAACAAUAUAGAAUUUCCUCCUCCGCUCCCAUGCCUAUUUACUUAGUCACUUAAAAUUAAUUAACUAAAACAAAAACUUCAUCAACAACAGCAGCAGCAGCAACAACAAAUGCUUUCGUUUUCUUCUUUUUCUUCUCUCUGGUGGGUGUUAAAUGGGUUGUCGAUUGGGUGGGUUUCCCGGCGGGGCCUGCGACGGGAAGUUGUUUUUCUUUUCUUAAUUUUAUAAAUUGGGUGCAAAAAGGUGUGUUGAUCCAUCGGGAAAAGGAUGGGAUCUUUUCUUUUGAUCCGCCUUUAUUGAUUUACGCGUUCAACAGGUUUAUCGUCUUUUCAUCUGACCUUUUCUUUUCUAUUUAUUAUUAUUAUUAAUUAUUAUUAUAUUAUGUUUAAUGAUGUUUUUAAUUUCUCCAGAUUAUUAGGAGUUUAGCUUUAAAAAGGUUUGUAAUCUUCCAUCCUAUUAUUAACCCCAUAAUCAUCAUAUUAGAUUUCUUUUCUUUCUCCUAUUACUAGGUUCUCUUAAAUGUGUUUAUUUCCAUCUUUAACUUACCACAUACUCUCUAAAAUAGGGGUUUAAAAUACCAAACUAAUAUUUGAUUCUGUUCCAACUCGUAUUUGUUUUUUGUUUUUAAGAUUUAGGGUUUAGAGUUUAAUUCCUCAUUAUCAUUAUUAUAGUAAGUAAUGAUAAUAAAAUAGGUUUAUCACUUGUAAUGUAUAGCUCUUGUGUUUAAGUUUCCAAAUCUUAUUUGUAAUCCCAUCAAAAAAUUAUUUAUAGAUCUAACUGUGUUGAAAUGUUGAUUUCUUCUAGAAUGGUUUUUUAGUUUUUUUUUUCUUUUCUUUUUUGUUGGAUUUUGCAUAAACUCAUGAAAGUGGAAAUAUGAAACUUAAAGGUAGGUUAGAUGUAUUAAUUAUUUUAGAUCCUAAAUUGAGAGGAAAUAGCAAAAUGUUGAAAAUAUUAUUAAAAUAUAGUAAAAAAAAAAAAAUGAAAAUGAGCUAAAAAGUAUUUGAGAGUAUUUGAGAUUGUGAUAUAGUUUAUAAAUAGUUUCAAUUUAAAAAAUAGAUGUGUUGUUAAAAUUGGAUUUAUAUAUAAAUUUGAUAAAUGAAAAAUUUCAAUAGAAAGUUAGAGAGUAAUUAGAAGAAUGACAAUAUUUUAUUUGUGGUGGGAUAAAUAUUGUUUGAAUAAUGUAGAAAGUUUAUAUUUUAAAAUUAAAAAAAUAAAGGUAAUGAUUUGAAUAUUCCAUCUUAUAAUUAUGAAGUAAAUGCUUUAUGUUAGUUGUUAAUUGUACCACAGUUGUGUUGAAAAAGAACAUACUUUUGGAAGCUUAAAAGAUGUGUGUGCUUUUUAGUCACACUUCUGAAGCACAAACCCUUAAAAUAGGGAAUAUUUUGUUAUUUUAUAUGAAGGAAAAGUAGGAAUAAAUAAGGUCUUAUUGAAUUAAAAACAACAAACAAAAAAAUGUGGUUUAUUAACAUUGAAAUUGAAAAUCCUCUAAAGAACAAUCCAUUGAACAUCACAUUUCAAAUUAAAUCUACCAACUCUAACAACAACUUGGUUGGCUUAAACAACUUUUAGUUUAACGUUGCAUCCUAAUGAUAAGAUCAAGAAAGUAUUAUUAUUAUUUCUUUUUUCAAAGCUAAGCAGCUCAAUUAACUGUCGGUUCUUGAGAUCCGUUGGGUGGAAGAUUCUGGGUAUCUUCUCAUUUAAUUUUCCCUCCACCAUUUUUAAUCUAACGGUUGGCGGUGGAUCCAAAUCCAAACCUUACGUCAAAGGAGCCGCGUGUCGUGAUCUGAAUCUGUCUCAUGUGGGAUCGUGUAUUAGCUUGGAAAUGGGCCGUUGGGCCCGUAAAGAUCAAACAGUAGUAACGGCAAGUGUGAGGGAAUUUGGUAAAAAAAAAUGAAAAACGACAAAUCGGAAGAGAGACAGAAGGUGAUGGAUGGAGCGGAAAAAAGUGCGUAUUAAACGGCUCAAAUGAGAAACCGAUACGUCGUUUUCUCAAAACCAAGGCUUUGGUUGUACAAAAUAUGUAAAGCGGGUGACGUCAGGGCAUCAGUUUGUCACGUGGCCGCCGCUCCUAUUCCCUGCAAGCCACGUUCUCUCUUCUUUUAUAUUAUUAUCAUUAUUUUGUUAAAAUGGUAUAUUUCGAGAAUUGUUGGAUUUUAAAAUUAUGUAUUUUUAAUUAUUAAGUAGGGGUUUUUCAAGAAUAAUAAAAGUACAAAUUAUUUACCCACUGUAGAAAGAAAAUUACUAAAACAUAGAAUUGAUUAUACUUUGACAAUUAUUCUAAUUAAAAAGUAGGGAGAGGAUGGAAAUGGAUUGUUAAUGAACAUUUGAUGAGAUUUUCAAAAGGCUUGCAAUGGGGUGAAUGUUGAUAGACGUUGAAUGUUACCGUUGAGGACAUAUAUUUGUACAAUUAAUAAAGAUGGUAUGGAUUUAAUAGAGAAUAACUAAUGUUGUUGAAGACAUUUAAGUGCAUGAUUUGAGCCUUACUUUCUUUGUGAUAUUUUUGUUGCAAGUUUUUAAUAGGGGUUUGAAUGGUAUAAACUUUAGGGAGGUUCGACCUAUACUAAAUCUGUUGACGGUGUCUUUUUCCGGUGGAGUUAAAUGGGUUUUCUUUAGAUGAUUUUUUUUUUCUUCUCGAAUGAAGUGUUUUAUAUACGUCAUUUGUUUAGGAGAAGGACUUGAAUGUAUCACUAUCGCAUUUAAAAUGAGAAGGAUAUUAAGAGACAUGAAAAGUAUAUGGUUAACAAAUAGCUAAACAAUAAUUGAAAGUUACUAUUUAUAUCAAUAAUGUGCAUUAUAAAACACUUCUAAUUAAUAGGAAAAAACACUUCUAAUUGAUAGGAAAAAAAAGCAUAAUUGGAUGAUGUUUGAAAAAUAUAUAAUGAAAAGUUUGGUGUAUAACAAUUUUAUUUUGAAGAAAAGUUUGGUAGAAACUAAAAUGAAGGUAAGUUAUUAAUGAAACAGUAGCAUAAGUUUGAGAUUAAAAUUUGAAUUAAGAGGAGGUUGAAAAUAAGAAGCAUUAAGCUGUAAUGAACUCUAUCUUGAUAUGUUGAAGGCCUAGACCCAUUUGAGAAAAUAAAAUAAUAACGCCUUAAUUAUAAGUUAUAACAAUUUAAAAUGGUAAUUAAUUAUAAGCAAGAACCAAGGGAUUAAGAUUUGAAGUGUAAAAAAGGGAAGGAGUUGAGUUUAAAUAUAUUCGGGUUAAAAAGGAAGAACACGUGGAUUUGUCAGAAUAGGAGAUUCCAUUCCCUACCCAUUGCUAAUCUUUUUUUGUUAAUCUCAAAUUUACCGUAUGGUUAUUUCAUUUUUGUUUUUUCUUUCCCAAAUUUGCCCUGCCUACUCCCCUCUUCAUUAUGGGCCUUUUAUCACCUAUAGGCCCAUUAAUUAAAUUGAUUCUUCUGAAAUCAGAGUUUCAAAUAUUGAAUUCCUUCAGCUUAUUUACUUUAAUCAAAAGAUUCUUUUAUUGACUCUUAUGCAUUCAAAUUCAAAAUUUCAAGCAUCACAAGUUUAUUCUUUACUUUUUUUUUUUUUUUUUUUUGCUAUGGUCUUGUAUUGGCCAAUCCACUAUAUAUAUAUAUAUAUACACGUUUGGGGUUAUUUGAGAAGUCUAUAUUUGGAUUGAAUGUUUUAGAUCAAAUACAUGUAAAACUAAACUCAUUGAUUUUAUUGUUGUGUUUUUUGUUUGCUUCACUAUAGCAUAGUAGUUUUUAGGGUUUUGGUUGACUAGCUGAGAUGGUGAAUAUAUAUCAACAGGAAAAUAAUUAAGUUGAGAUCAAACUGGAACAUUGCAUUCUAAGACACCAUAAACAUCAUUGCCACAGCUGCUAUCACAAAUAACAAUAGAUGUGUGUCAAAUAAGAGGUUAUAAAUAGUCAUAUGAAACCACUCCUAAGGAGAGAGUAGGUAAUCAACAAAGGAGAAAUCAAACCUACUUCUUUUAUUGUGAUUAGUCAAAUUAGUCACUUUCUUACAUUAAUUUAAGUAUCAUAAUACAGUAGAUUCAAUACUAGGUCGUUGCAAGAAUCUCUUAUGUAUGUCAAUUUGAAGAAUGUCAUACAUAUCAAGAAGAAGUGAGUCAAAAUUGAAAUCAUCCCCAAGGAGCUGUAACGAAAUAAAAUGCAAACGAAAUUCAAAAUUUGAAAUCGAAAAAACAUAGAAUCAUUAGCAAGAAGGUGAGCAUGAUAAGAAGUAAAUUGUGUGAAAAUAUAUAAAGUGAAAAUAGGGAAAGCAAAGAGAAGAUGAAUUUGGGUGGAAGCGGGCACUUAAAUCUCAUUGGAACAAUAAUAAGGGAUGGCUCAAUAAUUAAACAAAUUAUUUGUCCUCUACAUAUAAUUUUCUCCAAAAACAAAAAUGAUUGAUGUUACGAGGAGAGAAAAGGAAAAUAAAAUAUGAUUGGAACCCACGUCUAAUAGAUAAUUCACCCUAAGUUUUGAAAUCUAAUUUCACUUAAUUGAAAAUUUAAAGAGAGAUUUUGAAUGGUUAUACGAACAUACUAUUGCGUGAUUUUUGGAAUUUGGGCACAAAUUAAUAAUUGAACUACACAAAUAGAGCACGUGUGACAAUUGUGUCAAUUUUAAGAGCAUGGGCCGUUGGGAGGGUUAUGGCCCAAAAUUAUUGGACCUUAAUAACUACAAGGCUCAUAGUAUUUAACGGGAACUACAAGAACCCUGGUGGAGAGAUCUGUUCCUUUCUUACAACUAUAACACUUUACGCUAAUUUCACUUUGGUCCCUCUCCAAAAAUAUUUUCCUUUUCAAUUAAUUACAGAAAUAAAUUUUUUUUUUUAAAUAUGUUUUUUAUUUAAUCUCUUUUUGAUAUAAUCGUAAAAAUAAAAAAUUUAAAAAUAUUUGAGAUAAUAGGUUUUAAAUUUAAAUAUAUUUUAAAAAUAUUAAUUUUUUUUAUGUAUAAUAGGUUUUCAAUAUUUUAAUGGCUAAGACACCAUAGUUUUACUCUUUUAUCCUUCAUUUUUCUCACAUAUAUAUAUGUACUUAAUUACUAUGUUCAUUUAUUUUUCGUUUAACCAAACUUUAUUUAAAUUAUUGUAACAUAUCAGUGAAAUCUAAAGCAAAAUUUUGCAUUUAAUUUACUUUUCAAAGAGGUGACCAUCUGAUAUUGAAAAGAUUGCCACAAAUGGAUAUAAUUUCUUUACAAAAUAUAUCUAUCUUGAUUUAUAAGGUAUAAAUACAAUCCACUAAAAUAAAUACUAUCAACUUUAUAAUUUUCUUUUCUGAAAAGGAAAAACUAUAUUAUUGUUAUCAAUUAAAGUCUUUCAAGUAUUAGUUCAAAUUAAAACUAAUGUUAAUAUUCUAUGAACAAUUAUUUUUAUAGAUAUAUACACAGCAUUGCCAAAAUAAAAUUGAUUAAUGAAAUAUGCAACACAUGAUUCUAUAAAAACUGAAAUUAUAUUAAACUAAUAUAUAAAUUAGCAGAAGAUCAUAAAUGGGUAUUGUUGGAAUAAUAAACAUUUUAAGAUAUUAUCACACAAAGAUCCUUCAAAACAAACACAAAUAUUCCAAAUAUUAUAAAACAUUCUAACUAAUUUUCUUUAGAAAAAUUAAAAUCAUGAUAGCAAAAUGAGUGCAUACUAGUUUAUUUUUAUCUUUUAUUUUAUUAUAUUUAUAAAUAUUUUCAAAAAAUUUAUCAUUUAAAACAACUUUUCUUAAUCGAAAUAUAUAUUAAAAUUCAUAAAUUUGAAUAGGUCUAAAAAUUGACACUUGAAAUCUUUUUUUCUUUUAUAUAUAUAUAUAUAUAUAUAUAUUGCCAUUUAUUUUGUCUUUUUGAGUUCAACCACUUGUGAGAAUGAUGAAUUCAAAUCCUAUAGCUUAGGCAAAUGCGUGUACUUUAAUCAUAUAUCAAUAGUAAGUCACAAUUGUAUACUUAUCUUAUCUUAGUUUGAAUAAUAUUGAGAAACUUAAAUGAAAUGAGUAGUAAAUGUAUUAUAUAUAUGGAAUAAACCCCCACGUCUAGGAUUAAUAUAACUUUUAGCAUAGAGAAUAUGAUAUACAUAAAUAUAUAGGGAAAUUUGGGACGUAAUGUAUGAAUGUGAAGGGAAGCAUAUUAAAAGUAGAAAAGAAAGAGACAGACUUUACAAAUUUAGGUCAAAACUAUCACAGAAAUAGGAAAGAAAAUAAACUAUUGCCAAACAAUGUCCCCAAAACUAAAAGUUAGGGUUUAUUCAAAACAGGUAUAUAUAAACAACCUAACUUUACAAGAAAAGAAAGUAUUCAAAUUUCAAAGCUAAAUCAAGAAAAAAGAUUCUUAUAAAUAUAGGAAACAACUUUAUAUCCUAAAUGACAAAAUCUCUAUACCAUCUCCAAAUUGUACUUAAAUUAGGCCAAGAUGUUGAUUAGAAGUUAUGGUGAAAAGUCGAGAAUAACCCUAAUUGGGUUCAACAAUUAUAUCAAUGUUAUGACAUUGAGGAUUCAAACGUUUGACUUCUUGACUGUGUUGUGAAAGAAAAAAGAAAUUUUAUAAAAAUAAAGAGAACUCGUGUAGCGAGAAGGUUUCUAUUUUUACUAGAAAAAGAAAUUAAUAAUUAACAUCGGUUCCAUUGUUGUUAACUUGAUGUAUAGUUACAUUAACUAAUUGAAAACCCCAUGAGCCAACCCAACUAUAUUUGUAAACAUGUUCUAAGGGCAUUUAAUGAAACUCAAUUCAAACACACACAGCUUGAAGUAUCAUUAAUUAAUGCUUUCAAUUGGUAAAGUUUGAGGGGAAUUGAAUAAUCUAAAUUCAUUUGAUAUAUAACUUGAGGUCUCAUAAAUGAAGUUUAUGAGUUGGCAUUUAAUGCAAAUUCAAGUACGAAACUCUUUAACAUAUAUAAAACUAGAAUGAAACUCAUAAACUCCGUUAUUCCGUUACUGUGAUUCUCGAUCAUAAUUGCUUUAUAAAAUUACUCAACUGAGGUACACGUUUGUUGAUCUUAACAGAAAAAAUCCUUCUAUAGUUAUAAGAUUUUGUACAUCACACUCUUAUUGAUUUAUAGGGUUAGAGAUUUAUUUCAAUUUUUUAGUACAAGGUAGUGUAGAAGAUUUAAACUUGAAAUUUCCUGGUUUUCAAUACACACAUUCAUGUAUGAAUUGAGCUAGGUUUUUGAUGGUUAGAUCUAUUUGAAAUUGGUAUCCCAACAAACUGACUAUGUAUUUUAAAGAUAAUUAUGUUGUUACGUAGGGCAACGAGCAUCCUUAUAAAAUUAUUGAACGAGACCCCUUUUGGAUAACUAUUUGAUGUUCAAAUGAAAUAAUUUAGUCAUUAUCACGUUGGAUCAUACAAAUGUUUUUAAUCCAAAACCAUACAUACCAGUACACAUUUACACAAACAUGCACGAAUAUUGUUGUUAACUCUAUUAUUUCUAAAUAUGAUAAAAAAAAAUUACAUAGUUUUUCAUUUAUUUUCGUUUACUAUAUCUAACAAACGGGCCUUAGCUUAUACAAACUUUGAAGACAUGGUUCUUAUGUACUUAAUUACCAUCGAAUUCUCAUGUCAAACCAUACCAUCGACCUUUGGAAAUAUAAUUAAUGUCAUCAUCUUUCAAGUUAUAUUAGAUGGAAUAUAAAAGGUACCAUUCAAGUAUUAUUGUUUGCAUGAAAAGCAUGUUGAAAUUAGUGGUUUGCAGAUGGGAACUCAAUAUAAGUUUGUGGAUCGGAGAGGAGAGAAAAGUUUGGAGGGAGAUUGAAUUUUAUACAAAAAUGGAAAGAAGAGUGAGUGAGCUAAGGUCUUCCUUUUAUGCUAAACACAAUAUAUAUACUUUGGGGCUCAUGAAAAAUGUGUAUUUUUGCUUUACAACUACAAAGUCAAGUUGAUAUAAAAUGAAAUAUAUAUAUAUCAAAGGAAAAUAAAUAAAUAAAUAAAAUAGUGGGUUUUUAUUUAGUUGGCAAUGCAAAAAGGAAAAAGGAAAAUAUAAAAUAUAAAAACAAAGAAAAGAAAAGGAAAAAGGAAAGAGUUUUUGUAAGAAAUAGGGUUUUGGUUGCUUUAAUGGGAAGGAAAGUGAAGGAAGAAGAGAGCUUAAAUUUAGGUUAAUGUCAAUUCAGUCACAUGCUUUUGUGCCCUCAAAAGAUCCUUUUUCCACAUGUUAAUCUGCCCCCCCCCCCCCCCCCCCCCCCCCUCCAUAUUUUUUUCUUUCAAAAAAUAAAUUCUUUUACGUUUUAAUUUAUUUGCUAGCACUCGUACUUUAAUCUCUCGUUUCACUUUUUCCUUCGUUUUCCUAUUUUAUUUGAAAAUAACUAUUCUUCAACAUCUAUUUUUGACAACUUAUUCAUGUACUCAUAAAUGACAUGGGUGUUUUUAUUUGGAAAAAAAUUUAACUAAUUUAGUUUCAAACUAUAGUUUUUUUUGGGUUGAAAUGAUAGGAUUUGGAAUAAUUAUUUAACUCAUUAAUUAUAAAAAGUACAAUUAAAACAAUUUUCAUGAUUUACAAAAUAGACAAUAUAUAAUGAAUAUAAAUAUAGUAAUUAAAAUAUAAUUGGAAUUAUUUCUAUAUUAUAAUAUAUGUCGGAAUAUAAUUAUAUAUAUAAUAUGAUUGUUAGUAAUAUAUAUAGACAAAUGAAGAAGUGGACCAAUGUUGUUGAAGCUUUUGUUGGGUACAAAAGCACUCUCGAAAUUUCAAUAUAUAGCAAAGCUAACUAAGAUUUUCACCCCUAAUAAUGUUCAUCCACUUUAGCUAAUUGACAUCAUUGAAAGCAAUGUUGUUAAUAGUUCAAUAAUGAAGAUUAAUUUGGAUAAGUGAUUUGACUUUGUAGGGAUUUGACACUUUCUUUAUGGACCCAUUUCAAAUUAACUUCAUACCUAACUAUUUUCUAAUCAUACUCAUAUAUACCAAAGUCCAAAACUACAUAGGCUUAUAAUAAUAAUAUAUAUACAUAAACAAUUCAUCAAAUAUAUUUUUGGUCACCAAAAUAAAUAAAUAAAUUAUAUAAUCCUCCUUUUACCAACAAAAACUUUAAUUAGGUCAUGUCAUGAUUAUCAAGAUAUUAGAUCGGAUACGUCGAUAUCUUUUCAUAUGAGUGAAUCCACAUUUUCAUUAUAUGGUAAAAAUAAUACUAAAACAUAAGAGAGAAAAAACCUACAUAUAUAUCGCUAACGUGGUUCUAUUCUUAGAAAUAAUAAACAUUUGUACGUAUUAAAAGUAUAAAAUGUUUCAUUUUUAAUUUAAAAUUUAAAAUAUCAUCAAAAGUUAGAUAUAUAUUUAUGGACGUUUUCAUCAAAUUAAAACUAUGCAUUUUCAUUGGAUUAUAGAGGAUAAUUUUAAAUUGAUUAAAAUAGUACGUUCGAUUCUUAAUUGCCUUAUUCAAUACGUGUACUUUCAAUUAUCCAAUUUUAGUUCCUAUACUUUCAAUAAAUCUUAAAUUUAGUCUUUAUUGUUAGUUUAAAUUUAGUUUAUUCUAUCAUUUCCGUUAUUUAACUAAUUUUUUUAAAAAAUCAAUAGAUUAAAUUUAAGACUUAAAGUAUAAUAACCAAAAUUAAACAAUUGAAAAUGUAUAUUACACAGCUCAUAUAACAGUUGAAAGUAAAGAAAAAAAGAGGAGGAAAAGUUAGUGUUUUUUCUUCCUCGUUUAUCGAGAUAUAGAAUUAAAGCAUGGAAUAGAAAAUAAUUAAACCUUUAAGCUCAAAGUUGAAUGUAGAAUUAGUGAGGAGGAAUAGGUUGUUUUAGGUAUAAAAGGGUAGUUAUUUGGAUGGUUAAAUAAUAAUAGGAUAGGUGAAAGGGUUUAAAUGAUAUGAAUCUUCAUUUUUUGACUAAAAAUGAAAAUUGUUUUAGUUAGGUGAGUGUGUCAUGCAAGAGGAGUACCAAGCAAUGUGGACAAUCUCUUUUGGAUUAUAUUUUUCUUUAGGGCUUCAAAUAGGAAUGAAUUGAAAAGGUUGACUAUAAAACACACUCAAUAACAAAAAUGGAUUCAAUAUUAAAAGGAAAAUGUGUGCAAUUCCAUGGCCCCCCAUUAAGGGGAUUAUUCAUUUACCCCUAAGAUCUACAAAAUCUCUUUGCUUUUGACUAAUGAAUUGUCUGUGGUUUCUUAGCUACCUAUUAAAACUUAAAUCCCUAUUCAUCUUCAUCUCUAUUUUAUUCAUUUUUAUAUCCUUAUAAUUUCUCAUGCAAAAAUAUUAUUUCAUGUGUCACUUCUUUAUGUUUGAUUAAUACCUAGCAAUAUAAGGUGGCAAGUGAAUGAUACUGCCUCUACCUAGAAAUAAGACUAUUAUUAUGUGAAGAACUAUUUAAAAAUAAAAUAAAAUGGUUAGGACUUUGAAAUAGUUAUUUAUGAUUUAGAUUACAAAAUCAUGUAAUAAUAAUGGAUUGUUUCAAUUAGAUAAGUUUCAAUAUCAUGGACUUUUGAAUGAUCUUAACUUGCACGUAUUAUUAUUUAAUCAUGAAUUUGUCUUUUUCAAAAUUAUUUUAUCAAUUCAAGUUAAAGAUCUCUUUUUGAUAAAUUCCAUAUACAUAUAUAUUGCUUUUCAAGACAAAAUUUGAACAUUUUCCUCAAAGGAUCUUUAGCAUUUCCUUGUUCCAUAUCUAAACUAAUUAAAGUUUUGUGUUUUUCUACUAAAGUUUUUUACCUCAAACUUUUUCUUUUUGUUUUCUUCCUUCAAUUUUCAGUGACAAAAAAAGUUUACAAAAACAAACUCAACAGUGGAAAAAAAAGAAAAAGAAAAGGAAAACCAACAAUCCGUUAAUUCCUUUCAAUAUAUCAAAACAUAUAGUUUGAAUGAUUUCAAGUACUUUACUACAACAAAUCUUAACGUCAACCAACCGUACCUAUAUUCAUACACACAACUCACAAAAUUCUCUCGCAAACAAAAAUAACAACAAACCCUUUUCCAAAAACCCAAUUAAAUUCUAAGUCCUUCUUAUGUAUACUCUAAUCCAUAAAAUAUAUAUAUAUACAUAUUAUUUAUUUGUUUCUCGUUUUUCAUUUCUUGUCACAAAAUAAACCCUAAUCCUUCAUCACUCUUCUUCUUCUUCAUCCUUUUCACCUUGAAUUUCAAAACCAAAAGGAGGGAAAGGAAAAAGUUAAUGAGAUCAAUAUAUAUAUAUAUAUAUUAUAUAUAUUAUAUAGUUUUAGAUGAAAAGAUUUGUAAUAUUGAAAAUGAAUGAAUGAAUUAAAAGAAAUGGAGUUUGUCACUGAUUUUGGGAGAAGGAAAAAAAGGUGUCGGUGGUUUGAGUUUCUUCGGUUUUCUCAUUCGGUGCUUCACACUUUGGGACCAAACAAAAUGCCAUUUUAACUUAUUAUUAAUUAAUAAUAUUUAUUCAAAAUUAUUUUUUUAAUUUUAUAAAAAAAAUCCAUUACAAUGAGAAAAUAGUUCAAUUUAAAAAAAGAAAAUAGGAAGAUUGUGACAGUUGGAUACGCUGUCGUUUCCACCAACUAAUAUAUAUAUAUAGAGAGAGAGAUAUAGAUAUAGAUAUAUAGUUUUGUAUAUCACUAAUUUUUUUUUUAUAUUUUUAAUUAACUAAGAAGUAAGGUAAGAAAUCCCAUCUCUUAAUGGAAAGACAUGUUAUGAAGAAGUGAUGGAAUGCAAUUUUUGAUAGACAAGAUUAUCCAAAGUGGGUGUAAUAAUUAUUGAUGUUUGUUUAACCUAGGUUUCAUGCACAUGGAUGGUCUUCUCUAUGUGUGACAUCCCAAAAAAUAAAAAAUAAAAUAGCGUUUCAAUAGUUUCAACAUUUUUUUGUACUUUAAUUUUUAUUAGAAGAGUUUUUUAAUGAGAAAAAAAAAAAACUUAAGGUUAUACUUGUUGUUUGAUUCAUCCAACUCCAGCAUAUAUAUUGUUAAUAUGGAAUGAGUUUUAUAAAAUUUGUCUUAUUGAUUUCAUAUGAAAUACUUCUAAAAGUAAUCAAUAAGAUUGCUGUAUAUGGGUAGUAGAGUAUAUUGUUUGUUUGUUUUUAUUUUAUUUUAUUUUAUUUUAGCAAUUGACAUGUCAAUAUAUAAAAUAAUGAAGAUAUCAAAUUCAAUUGUUAUAUAUAUUUGUGUGUCAAUUUAAAUGUAGUGUAUUGUUUUUUUUCUAAAGAGAGAGAAUAAUGUUUGUCCAAUGAGUAAUUAAUUAUGAUGCAUUAAUGAAAAGAAGAUAUUUAAGGAUCAUAGGAGAGUUGUUAAAUGAUUAAUUGGUGGAAAAAUAAUUAUUGUGGGAGCAUUUUUAAUUUGGUAUGAUAAUAAGAGGCAAUAUUUGAUUGCUCUAAAAGGACGUUAGUUUAAGUGAGAAACUUAAGCAAUCAAUAUCUAUAUAAUAUAUUAAAAAAAAAAAAGGCAUUUAAAUUAAGUAAAUCAACAUUCUUUUCUAUUUAAAUCAACUUUAGACUUCAAAUAUAUAUAUAACAAGUGGUAAUAGAAAAGCAAGGGAACCCUUUUCUUUUUUUUCUUUUGCAAAAACAAAAAAAGAAAUUGAAAAUGUAAACGAGGGAAGGGACUUUUUUUACCGUUUGAUUACGCCUAGAAGAAUUCCAAGGGCAACCCCUUUUGACCCUAACAAAAGAAAGCAAUUCCUAUUACUUAUCUCUCUACUUCUUCACCAGCCCCCCCUCCCACGCCCUGAAAUGUCAUAUUGUCGUGCCCGUGGAGUUUAAAUACGUCACCCUUGAUUGAAAAAGGACGAUUGUUUGAUGUCCCUACAACAAACAACUCGUGUGAUUAUUGUAUUCAAAUUAGCAGUUGAUAUAUAGAGAGAGUUAGAGAACUCAUAACUUUAUACACAACGACUCAAUUAGUAUUUGUCAAAACGAUCACAAUUAAAUCAAAGGACAUUUGUAUAUGGUGAGGAAAAUGAAGUUUGUGGUCCAUAUAUAUAUAUAUAUCCUUUGCGUCCGGUGACAAGAAAGUUAAGUAUGAAAGUAUGAUAUUGGUAACAUUAAAUUGGUUUGAUAAAAGUGGAAAACUAGUGAAAGAGAUAGAGAUGAUAAAGAAAGGUAUAUGAAUGGAAAAUACAAUGACAUCCACAGAAUUGGGUGUUGAAAAUUACCUUAGAAUGGCUGUACAUAAAGCACUAACUUUGUAAGGUUUAAACAGCAUGUGGUAAUGUAAUGUAUUGUAUUGUGACAAAGUUUAUAAAUUGACUGUUGAUUAAUAUGUAUAACCAAACUUUUGGCUGCCCCUUCUAAAAUUAAUAAAAAUGAUAAAAAUACCAAACAUUUGGCAAGAAAUUAAAUUGCAUAAGAGCAAUCAAUUGCCCAUUUCUAGAGCUUUAGUAGUAGUGGUGGUAGUAGGCAGCUGCUUCAUUUACAAUAUGCUGUUUUCUUUUGAAAGUUGCAACUCAAGACUUCAUAUUUAAAAGCUCUCCACUUUCUAUUAUUAUUAUUGUUUGUUUUUUCUUUUUUGCUUUCUUUCUCCUUUUAGUGUGUGAGUGAGAUGUUUUCACCCAUAAAAUGAAAAUAUCUAUGUUUGUUUAAAUUAUUAUAACUUUAAAAGCUAUCACUAUUCUUUUAAUCAACAAAAUCAUGCAUCCAUCCAACCAAAUAUCAUAUAAUACGACCUUAUAUAGUCUCUUAAUAACCACUACAUUUCUUUUAGCAUUAUAUGUGUAAACUAAACUUAUAAUUAAGUACUAUCAAAUCAAAUAAUGUUUACAUAUAUCAUUUAUUUAUAAUAGAUGUCUCAACUAUUUUAUAACAUUUGGGUGUCAAAGAAAUUCGUAUUUCCUUAAUAGGUGGUAAUCAUAAAUUGAACACAUGAUCUCUUAAUUAAUUUUUUUCACCUUUGAGCCAGCAUAUAAAUGAGUAAAUUGUUCGUCACAUUUCUAAAAUCGACUGACAAUAAAAAAAUAACUUACUCAUAUUUUAAAAGACGUGAGAUACCUUCUUUCGAUGUACUUUCCUUAAUAUGUCCCAUCAGGAAGCUAUAUAUCAAUCUAUAGGUUUACCAUUUUUAGGUUGGAAUUAAACUAACUUUUACUUUUCCUUUCAUCCACUACCAUAUCAAUAAUGUAUUUUUUUUUUUCCAACUAAUCCUAGAAAUCAACGGUUGGCUCAAAUGAACCUAUUUUUAUAGAACAAAUGAAACUUUUUUCAUCUCACUAUAUUACGAUAAUAAUAAAUAAAUAUAUAUCUAUAUCUAUAUAUAUAUAUAUAUAAGCCUAUGGAAAGAUAACCCUUUUAACAGUAUAAUUCACAAAAACCACCAAUCCUUUGAACCGUAUAAACAUAUAAUAUAUAUAUAUAUAUUAGAAAAUGAUAAUAUUGCGUGAGACAAAGUAAGAGAAAUUAUGGGAUAAUUAUGAAACAAAAAAUCUAUGAAACUAUGAAAAAUCAAUUUGUUUUCCCACGUGAUCAAAGAGAAAUCAAGAUAUUUAAAGGGAAAAAAAAAAGAAGUUAUAAUAUAAGCAUGAUCCUUUUAACAAAGAGUGGAGUGGAUAUGUUUCGUUUAAUUUUGGAAAAUGCCAAAGUUCUAUAUAAAUAAAAAGGUAAAAUUUUAUGCUAUUUUCAACUUUAUCACAUGGUUUAAACAAGAAAUACAUGUUCUAUACGAAACAAGCAAAUUACACCCCACAUUAAACUUAGUGCAAACUUUGUCCAUAAAAGGAGAGCCUCUAUGGAAUAUUUUUUGUUGGCAAUUUUAGUUAUUACUAGUUUCAUUUUAUGGACUUCUAUUUUUUCUUUCUUUUCUUCAAUGCCACCAUCUAUAUAAUACCUACGUUCAUCGGUAAACAUACAAAGUUUCUUUCUUUCUUUCUUUUCUUUUUAUAUGGGUGGCUCAUUCAAUCCAAGACACAUUUAUGAUUAAUGACAUGUCUCUCACAAAUGUAUGAAAUUCCACCUUCUACCUGCACAAAAGCGCACUACCGCACUAGAGAUGGUCAUGACUCAUGUCUGUUGUAGCUCUCAUCUGUUGUCCAUCCAUAUUGCAAUAAAAAAAAUUCUAUUGUGUUUUCCCUAUUUUUCUCAUGGUUAGUCUCUUUUUCUUUUCUUUGGUGAAAAAUAAAAAUUGUAAUAGAAAACCAUCAUGUUAGGGUUACACAUGGUCAUCAUCAUUUUUCUCAUAGUUUGUUGUGUUUUUCUUAAUCACGAUAGAGCGUUUAUAGCAGUGCUAUAAUAGAUAUAGUCAUCCCUAGUGUGAUACAUUGUAAAAUGCAGUCUUCACGUAAGCAAUUUCAUAUGUUUGUAAGCUGCAAAUCAUUAAUCACGAAGACACCUCUAAAUAUGUCGUCAUGUGUACCAAAAGGAAAGGGAAAAAGUAAAAACAACAACAAUAACAAAGUUUGAUGAAUUAGCAAACCUACAGCCUAAAUUUGUAACUAAAAAAAUAAAAAAAAAAACCACCUACAAAAUAUACAAUCAACUUAUGGACCUUAUACAAAUGACUUUAUACAUGAGUUGGACAUCUUCUAAAAAUUUCAUGACAUGAUAUACAUCUACAACAUGUUAACGCAAUUUUAUCAUUUAGAAUAACAAGAUACACAAUUAAAAAUUUAAGUUAGUAUUUAGUUUUAAAUUCUUGCAUUAGCUUAGAAACAACAAUACCACUAAUAUCACUAGCAAGCUCAAAGUAAACAAUAUCAUAUAAUAAGAAGAAUAUAUAUAGAUCAAUUGUUGAGUACACCAAAAAAAAUCAAGUUUGAUUCAUAUGAAAAAGAAGAAGAAUAAAAUGAAACGUUUGAGUAAUAUUCUCCUAGUAUAUGAAAAUCAUGAAAUGAAAAACUUUUAUGGGGGUGGGGAGGCAAGCAAAACUAAAGAAGGGGCUUUAUGCAUUUUAAAGGAGAGAGAAUAUGUCACAUAAACGCAUAUAAAAGAGACCCCCACCAAUUGGUCCAAUUCCCAUCUCUAUAAAUUAAAAUCUUUUCCUUGCAUGCCCAACACUCACUUUGCUUUCUCCCUUCUCUCUCUCUCUUUUCUUUUUUUUCUCUCUUUCCUAAGCCACAGGGGAAAAAGAAACAGCAAGGGGUAAAGGAAGGGGAAAAUAUGCUUGCAGAAGAGAAGUCCCAAAAGUACCCGACAAUGCCAGAGGUACGAAAAAAAAAAAACCUUGUAGAGAGAAUAAUAGCACUAUAUAUUUAUUGUUAAUGGCGUACCUGUUUGUUUGCUAACUUGAUGGAGUUUCCUCUCCUUUUUUGAAGGUCCUUGACGAGCUGAAGCAAAUGGCUGACAUUGGCUUCCCUGUUUUGGCAAUGGGUUUAGUGGGAUAUCUCAAAAAUAUGAUCUCUGUUAUUUGCAUGGGUAGACUUGGAACUCUCCAUCUUGCUGCUGGUUCUUUGGCUAUUGGUUUCACUAAUAUCACUGGCUAUUCAGUUCUCUCGGGCUUGGCUAUGGGCAUGGAGCCACUCUGUAGUCAGGCUUUUGGUUCUCAUAAUUCUUCCAUUGCGUUUCUCACUUUGCAAAGAACGGUUCUUAUUUUGCUUUUUGCAACUAUUCCCAUCGGAUUUCUUUGGCUAAAUUUGGAGCCUCUCAUGUUGGUUUUAAAUCAGAACCAAGAAAUCACUAGAAUUGCAGCUGUUUAUUGCCGUUUUGCAGUCCCUGAUUUGAUAUUGAAUAGCCUUCUACACCCUUUGCGUAUUUACCUUAGAAACAAAGGCACCACGUGGCUUGUUAUGUGGUGCAAUUUGCUGGCUAUUCUCCUACAUGUUCCUAUUGCCAUUUUCUUUACUUUUCCUCUUGAUCUCGGAAUCAGAGGGAUUGCUAUCUCCAAUUUUUUAGCUAACUUCAAUACCCUUUUCUUCCUUUUACUCUAUUUGAUAUUCACUACUCGUAGUAGAAUCUUUUCCUCCUCUUCCAAGGAGGCUAAUCUGCUUAUGCCGCUGAAAAGCAGCACAGUUGUUAGCACCGUCACAGUCGGGGAAGAAUGGGGAAUGCUGAUCAAGUUGGCUAUUCCUAGCUGCCUUGGUGUUUGCUUGGAAUGGUGGUGGUAUGAGUUCAUGACCAUUCUCACUGGCUACCUCUAUAACCCGCGGAUUGCACUCGCGACUUCAGGCAUUGUAAUCCAAACAACUUCGCUAAUGUACACAUUACCAAUGGCUCUCAGUGCUGCCGUCUCGACCAGAGUCGGUCACGAGCUCGGUGCUGGCCGGCCUAGAAAGGCGCGACUGGCGGCUGUGGUGGCAAUUGGAUUGGCCUUGGUGGGCUCAUUGAUGGGGCUCUCAUUGACCACUGUUGGCAGAAGGGCAUGGGGAAGAGUUUUCACAAAAGAUGAGGAAAUUCUAGAGCUGACAAUGGCGGUUCUGCCCAUAAUCGGGCUGUGCGAGCUAGCAAAUUGUCCACAAACAACGAGUUGCGGAAUUCUGAGGGGAAGUGCAAGGCCGGUGAUCGGAGCAGGGAUAAACUUCUGUUCAUUUUACAUGGUGGGGGCGCCGGUGGCAGUCUUGUCGGCGUUUGUUUGGAAGUUUGGGUUUCAGGGUCUUUGCUACGGGCUUCUGGCAGCUCAGAUGGCAUGUGUGGUCUCAAUCUUAAUAGUGGUCUUCAACACAGAUUGGGAAAUGGAGUCAAUCAAAGCCGAAGACUUGGUAGGCAAAAACACCAAUAACAACUUUGCACAUGCAAUCCACACAGCCAUACGUGAAGAAGGUCCUGAAUUUCUCAAAGAAUCACCUGUUCAAAAACAAGAUACAUAAACUUAGAUUUAAUUUUGUAUGAUAUCAAGUAUAACUAGGAUUUAAUAGGAAGGUAUACUAUAUAUUAUAAUUAUCUCCAUUUUUUUUUCGAAGCCUAUUAUUUUGUUUGAUUUAUUAGGAUAAUUGGAAUUGGGAUCUGGUUGUAAUAUAUUUAGAUAGUGAUUUUUGUUUUCUUUUUGUUUUAAUUUUUCUUUUUGGUGUAGAAUUUAUGGUGUCAUAUCAAUGGAUGGAAUUUCCCUUUCGAAUGACCGGAAAUUAUAUAACGAAAAAAAUGGAAGAGGCAUAUGGAAGCACAGUAAUAAUAGACCAACCAUGUGUGCUGUGGUGUGUAUAACCAUUAAGACAACAAAUGAAACGUGAGCUACGCAACAGUGUAUUUCGUACAUGCAAAUGCAUGGCUCAUAAACAAUCCUUUAACAAUACGACUAUCAUAUUCUUCGACUAUACUAAAUACAAUGUUGGACAAUAUAGUCAUUUCCAAGGCUAGCUCUUCAGUUAUAGAAGCCCAGCAGCCAAAUUUAUGGGGGUUUUCUUUUUCCUUGUUCUGAGAAUACCUUUUUUACACAUGAUGACGUAAAGAAAUAUUCCUAUCAACUUAUGAUAAUAACUGAUAACUUAGACAUGUGAUAUAACUUAGAAUCUGGUAUAUACCACAUCACACUAGCUUGAUUCUUCUUUCUUUUUGGUACAAAGCAACGCUGAACCAAGAUAUCUAAUAACCAAAAAAGUGGUCCAAAAUUGAAUCAUAUAGAAGUGGAUUUACAGCUCUCCAAUUUCUAAUAUAAUUCUUCUUUUAAAAAGUUUGUGGCGCUCCUGUCCCAUGGCCCAAACUCUUGAGACAUCAAGAGCUUUUCCUUAAGUUAACACAAAACUUCGAACGGGAUGUCUAAGUUGAUAUUCAAAUAAUAUUAUUGGGAUAUUUUUGUAUAUCAUAAUCUUCUUAUGUUUGAGUGACCAUACCAACUAACGAGUAACACACACCUCAACUAGACUUCUUUCCUCUUGAACUCCUUUACUUUUUACUUUGACUUUAUUGACUAUAUAACAAUCGUUCAAAUUGUUUUGUAAAGUUGUACUUGAAAAUAAAUCCUGUUGCUGUAUACAUGUUCUUUAAUCUUCAUUUCUAUGUUCAAAGAACUUCUCAAGUUAAACAUCUUUUAGAUCAACUCAACUGGAAACGAGUAUGAAAAAUUUAGAAUCCAACCUGGUUUACUGUAGAAAACAGUAAAAUAUUGUUUUGAAAAGUCUAAAACAGUUUCGUAUCAUUAUUCCCAAGCAGCACCUAAAUCAUACAAAACCUUUGAUAAAUGCUCCUGUCUUGGGGUUGGGUACUCCAUUAAGUGAAAAAUAAAAGGCUUAGCUAAAUUUAAGGCCUUUGUGCAUGUUUGGGAGGCAAAUAAGCUGUAUAAAUCUGAUUGUCUUACCUGUCAUCCAUUUCUUGGGGUACGGCGUUUCUUGUUUCAAAAUCAAACGGGAAGAAGUAAUCAAAAGUUGAAUCCAGCUUCCUUCCCUGUGUGCAAGAAAGGCAGCAAAAUAAUGUUAAACAAUUAGAGAACAGCGUGGCUUUAUGCUUCUUUAGACUUAAUUUAAUGAAUUGUCGUGCAAGAUCGCUUCCUUUUUUUGUCCUCUGAUUGCUGACCCUUCAACUAAUUUCCAGGGAAUGAACCUUAGCCAACGGAGUUUUAGUCCAACAUUUCAGCCAACAGAAAGCAAGCUUGACUAACAGUUACUUUUCAUCAUUAAAGGACUAAAACGCUGAUUUCUCUUAUCAAUAAGGAUCCAAACAGAAUUCAAAAAGUUAUGCUAAUCAGCUUACCUCCCCGUGGGGUGCAAAUGGGCGGUGGUUAAGAUAAAGAUGUUAUGUAACAAAAGUAAACUUAGAUCUGAUUUUGACUCUUAGUACUUGAAUUUUUAAGACUCAAUUUGAUAAUAUUUUGAUUUUGUUUGUUGUUUUUUGAAAAUUAAGCCGAUACACACUGCUACCCUAAAAGUUUAUAAUUUGGUUAGCUACCUUCUACUAAUUUUUGGAAAGAAAAAGGAAAUUAUGGAAAUUAGUAGGAAACAAGUAUACAUUUUAACAACAAAAAUCUAAGGCCCCAAUUGUUGACCAUUACAUUUUUCAUUUUUACUUUCUUAAAAUUAGCCUAUUUCAAAACCAAUGAAUUCAAAUGAAUUAUUAGGCAAAUUUCAAAACCAAAAAACAAGUUCUUGAAAAGGACUAUUUUGAUUUUUCAAAUUUGACUUGGUUGAAAACAUCAGUAAAAAAAUAGAUACCAAAUGAAGAAAUUUAGGGUUAAUUUUCAAAAACUAAAAACAAAAAACCAAAUGGUCACCUAAAAAACAAAUGGUCUAAGCAAUUGUAUCAUAUAGAACCAAUCCAUUUGAUGAUACAGACUAGAUACAAUAUUGGCUUCAAGAGUAUUGUAAUUCAUACUAUGAAAUCUGGACCUAUAAUCUAUACAGAUUACCAUCCGACCAGUCUAGAGAUAAUUCAAUCUUAUACCUAGAAAUGAUUAGCUAAGACUUUUCGUAUUAGAGAAAGUAGGAAAAAAGAAAAGAAAAAAAAAACUAUGCAGGGGGUAACCAAAUUAUGCAGAGACAUUACAUCAAACACCUAGCGUGCAACAGUAGUGGCGCGCAUACUUUACAACAUGGACCACCAAUGCAAGAUUCUACAUAACCAAUCAAAUUCCAUUUCCACGACGACGAUGAUAUAUAGUAAUGAAACGACCUGAAAACGACCGUCAUGCAGGGGAAUGAAUGGGGAAUCUCCAUAACGAUAAGAACAAAUUUGCUUUUCUAAUUCGAAACAACAGGCUCAAUAGGAGCAAGGAAAAGAACAAACACAAGAAAUUGGGUGAAAUGCAUCGUGUUUGAAAAGUGAAAUUUCCUAAUUAGUAAAGAAAAUUACAGAUAAUGAAGAAUGACAAAAACGAUUAGAAAUUUAGUUUAGUGUCUAUAUAGAAUAAAAUGAAAUUUACCAGUCAUCUCAUCUCACAGUGGAUGUUCCUCGAUCGCAAACUAUAAUGCUGUUCGCUUUUCAACUCCCAUUGACGAAGAAUUAGACUCCCUUGACGAGAUGCCGGGAAACAUCCACCAGAUAUGGGACACUGCAAGAAGAUAAAGGUCACGAAGUUCGUUUGUGUAGCUUCCAUGGCGGACAUGAUCCGGCAUGCUAAGGAUAAUAAAGCAAGCCUAGUUCUAGAGUACCCAUAUUGCAGCACCAACAACACGAUUGUUCCCCAACUUUCUCGAUUUCGAUUAAAAUAGUAAUUUAACUCCAUUAGGAACAGCAAUCUUGAAUUCAAUUUUGUCUAAAACGAAUUCGCCAUUGUUCAUCAAAGCUUGGUGAGAAAAUUUCACAAAACACAUGAUAGACGUCCACUAACACCAAAUCGUUUUCAUAGCAAGCUAUGAUGAUUAUCGUUUGCCAUUAAUGUGGAAUUGAAGAAUCUUUUUCAAAGUGAUUUUGGCUUCCAAAACAAGAAAAGAAAAAGGGGAAAUGAAUGGAAGUGAUUUUCGGUUCUGAUUUUGAAGUCGAUCAAAGUUGGCGAGACAGCGGGAUCUGUUCAACUUCUUGGCGGUUAUUUUUGCCAAGGAUAAACGUAAUUUCUUUGGGCCACGUGUGAUCAGCUUGCUAAUUGGGCCUAAAGUCCCAGUAACUAAUUGGAUCCACAAUUCAAAGAUUAGCCCACUUUAAUUGGCCCAAUAUUAAUUGGCUUAAUCGAACUCAUUUUCAAUUUCAAAUAUUUAGGCAAAAGAACAACCGGGUAAAUUUCGCAUAUGUUAUGAUUUAUUUCAUUAGGUUUUCGUAUAUUUUUAUACUAGAAUUAUAUUCUUAUCAUAAUUAUUAACUAUAUAUAAUUUUCAAAAUUAAAAUUGAAUUACUUCUAUAUUUAUAUUAUAUUCAAUUUAUUAAGUUAAUGGUAAUUUUUUUAAUUAUUAAUAUAUAUAUAUAUAUAUAUAUAUAUAUAUAUAUAUAUUUAUAUUUAUUAAUAAAAUAUUUAUUAUCUUUCCAAUAAAUUAAAUAUGGUAUAAAUUAUUAUCUUAUUUAAUAAUAUUUUUAAUUAUACUACUGCAUAUAUUCAAUAAUACACAUAUUUUUUUCAUGUUCUGUGAUUUUUUCUUAUUGCGUAUAUAUACUAAUAUAUACACAGAUUAUAUAUCCAUUCAAUUAUUUAUUUUUUAUUUUUUAUAUAUAUAUUACUGAAUAAUUCAUUCAUGUUUUAUGAUCUUUUAUAUAUAUAAGAACUGCAUAUAUUCAAUAAUACAUAAAUAGUGUUCCUCAAUAUACCUCUAAUGUAUUUCGAAUACAAAAUAUAAAUUCUUGCAAACCUUAAAUUUUUGUCAAUUUUUUUCUCAAAAGAUUAGUGUACCAGUUAGUGACCGAUGUUCUUCUUCUUCACCGCUUAUACUUUUCCCAAUUUUCUAUUAUUCAGUGUCUUUUGUGAAGAAUUAUUGUUCAACGUAUUCGAAUAAUGAAACUUUUAUUUUAUUUUUUUUAAUUUUCUAAAUCGUAACCCACGUCCCUAAUUUCUCUCCUUGUCGGUCCACCUUCUAUAGACAAAUUGAUAUAAUAACUUUUCGCAUAAAAAAUACAUUGUAUUAUAAUAAUACAAUAAUUUUAUGACAUAUAUGAAAAACGAAAAAAAGAAUGGACGGAGAGAGAUUGGAAAGUGAGACAGAGAUCGAGAUGAAAUAUUUUUUUGAACAAAAUCACCUAAAUAAAAAUAAUUAAGGAAAAACUCAUGUUUACAUCAAAUAUCUAAUAAAUACAAAUAUUAAUCAUGAUCCACAAUUCUUUUUUCUUUUUCUAUUUUUUAAUUUACUAUUAAUAAUAAAGAUGGUUCAAUUAAUCAUUUAGGCCUUACAUUUGUAUAAAAUAUUAGGCAAUUUACUACAGGGAAAAUUUAAGAAAUUUGAAUUAAUGUUGUUUCUAUUUUAGAGUAUCUUAAUUAAAAGACGCUUUCACUUUUGUCCACAACUUCUUUUAAAAUUUACGUUUUUUUAUCACAAAAGUACGUAAGUGUAUUAAACAGAACAAAUUUUGAAUAUGUAUACAAAUUUCUUUCAUAUAUAUAUAAACUAAGAUUAGCAAUUCAAUCUCAAUUUAUAUAUAUUUUUUAAAUUAAUAAUAGUAUUUACAUUUGUUUCGAUUGUUUUAGAUAUGCUUUUCAACCAACUCAAACCAUGAAAUUUACAUUUACUAAAACUCAACUCAAUAUAGAUAGAUUGAAUAUUGAUAAUCUAACCGGUAGCAAGUGGAUUCUAGAAUCAAUGGUACAACGGUCAAGAAAAGCAAAACAAGAAAAAAAGGAACAUGGCAACAAAGAGAGAAACGGGUCUGGUUAUUAGCCUCGACCGCACCUAAACUUAAAGGUGAAAGGCCCAACAUGGAUAAGCCUUAGAUGGAUGAAACUGUAACAUGCCUAACAAGAACAUUAGGCUAAUUGAUUUUGACCUCUAACGAUCCAUACAAAAACCUUAACCAAAUAAGAAAUAAGAUAAUGACAUAAGCCUAUAAAUAAAACAAUGAAAGAUAAAGCAUAACCAAUUAAGUUUUGGAAUUAGAAUCAAAUAUCAUCUUCUCCUUACAACCUAUUAACUUAAACAUUAGGGUGUUUAAUAAAUUUAUUUGUUAGUUUUAGUUUGAAAUAGUGAUGUUUGUUUAGAGAAUAGAGUGGAAUGGGGAAUAGAGAAAUAGGGAGAAAGGGGAGGGAUGAUAGUAGAAGUGUGAAAUUGAAUAAUUGGACAUUUAAAGUAAUAGGUUUAAAAGUUUGUAUUGUUGUAUAUGGACCACGAUAUUGCUUCAUUCAUGAACACCAUAAAUGCAUUUUUUACCUAUCAAACACGAUGACGAGACUUUCAUUUUUUUAAAAAAAGUAAAAUUCAAUUGUAAUUUUAAACCUUCUUUCUCCCAACAAAAAUAAAUAAAUCGUUUUUUUAAGUAAUAGAAUGUAUAGAGGAGCACCAACAAACUAAAACUUAUGUUCAGAGACGAAGGGAAGACAAGUGGGGAUAUCUACUCCAAAAAUACACACUUUAUUCUUUCGAUGAUUACAAAAAGAGAUUAAAAUCUCAUAAAUAGUCAACCUGGCUAGCAAGUACACAAUCUUGAAGAGACAAUCUCAAGAGCAAAAGCUAGAGAUAACACGUUAUCAAAUAGAGUAUCGACUGAAUUAUAAUCUACAAUCAGUGAAGGAGACAAUGGCGCUAACGAUCCAAACUGAUCAAAUGCAACCCCACUUCAAUAGCUUUCAUCUUAAUGACUUUAGUUCUAUAAUACUUGAGAACUCUUUGACAACCCAAGCCAAUUAAACACUUGGUUAAGGUCACAAAAAAUCCAGUCAACUCCACCUGACUGAAAUCAUCGUUGUUAACUACUAUAAUCAACUUUAUUUUGUCAGUAUUAAUGCAUUGUUUGAAAAUUUAGUAUUCACAUCAACAUCAAUACUUCAAAAUGUCCCCAAAUUAUACAGGUGAAACUCAAAAAUAAGGGUCAAUGUAGAAUUUUAACAAAUUACGUAUUUGUUUAUUGAAUUAUACCAAUGUUUGGCAUAUUUUUUUUUAUGUUUAUGUAUAUAUUUUUUUCAAAAGAAGUGUAAUGAUUAUGUAGUAAGAAAAUGAAGUUAGUUAGACACAUAUUAAAUAUUGUCACCCAAAAGCAAAUCAUUCAAUAUAAUUACAUCAUACAAUACUUAGUUUCUACACUAAUUGAGAGAAUGCUAAUAUAUAUACACAACCACAUUUUUGUUGAUAAUAAUUGAUCAUGUACUAGAGAUAUUUUGUGAAAAGUUAAAAAACACAAGAUAAAAAAUAGCUACAUAAAAAUAUUUUUGAGAUUUAUAUACUUUAUAAAAUUUAUUAAGUUUGGUCCACAACAAUAAAGGAGAUUAUAUAAUUCCAAAUACAAUCAACUAUACCAUUUUUGCUUUUAAAAUAGAAAAGACAAACCAAUUUUAGGAAAUACGGUAAAAGACAAAAUCCUUGAAAAUAUUUAUGAAUAAUCAAAUUUUUAUAUUUUAUCAAUGUCAUCACUCGCAUGUUUCCUAAAAAAAUGUUCAGGAUGUCACAUAACAUAGAAUCGUUCCAAGCUAACACAUGUUCAAUCUUGAAGUUCCUAUGGAUGAGUCACUUAGAAGGAGAGUUGUUAGUAUGGAUAGUAACUUUCAAUAAUUCUUUUAAAUAUAUAUUUAUAUUCUCAAGAUCUCUCUCAUUCAGAUGUGGUAUCGAUUUAUUCAUGUUCCCUUCCUAAACUCAUGGUGUUACAAUUGUAUUUUGGUUCAUUUUUUAUAUUUGAAAAUGUCUCGAACAAUUAACUAUCGAGGAUGUGUUUGAAUGCAUUAACAUACUUUAAUUGUUAGUUUACACAUAAAAGUACUUUAAAGUUACUUCCUAGUUAAGCACUUAAAUCAAGCAUAUAUAUGCAUAAACACACACUUCAUAUUAAUGCUCUUUUAUUCCUUUUCUUUUAACAAAUUCUUGUUACAUACGUACAUAUGUGUGUGGUUAUUAAUUUUCACUAUGAUAUAAAAAUAAUUAAAUUAUAUAAAGUAUUAAUUUCAAUUAUUUUAUUUACCUUUAAUUUAGAGAUGUUUUUAAAUAUAGUAAAAUAAACUAAAAUAUUUAUAUACCGUACUAAAAUUUUGGAUGCUAUUGAGGAUAAAAACUAAUAAACUUCUUCUAUUGUCUAUCAAAACCACUCAUUGAAGUAUAUCAGUGUCUAAAUAGUAUAUAGACAUCAAUUUAAAAUAAUUUCAAAGCUUUUAACAAAUGUUUUGAAGGGAGAUAGAAAUGGGUUUGGGUUUUGAGUUAAAUUUCUAUUUGGAGUUUAUGUUUAAAAAUAUUAGAUUUGUACCCUUCCAUUAAUAAAUUCAAAAUUUUGCUAUCCAUAUUAACUUUCUUAUUUUUUUUUUAAAUUAAAUCAAUUAAACGUAAACAAACAUAAAAAAUAAAGUGAGUUUAGUACGAAAAAAUAUAAGGUCAUAAUUUACAAUCAACUGAAAAGGUGAAAAUACAACGUUAUAAAAUCUAUAUACCAAAUCAAAAUUAAAAUUAAAACUUAAGAGCAAAAUUAUAAAAUAUUUUAGAAACAAAACAAAAACUAUACUCAAAAUAUGAAGAAAAAAAAGCUUGAAAUGUUUAGGAUGUGCGGUUACAAAAUGAUUACAACAAUAUUUUUUUAGUUUCAUAGUUAUAAGAAUAGAAUUAUAUACUCCUCAAAUUUCUAGAACAAAAAUAAUUAAAAAAAUUAUGAUAAUAGAACUCAUGUCACAACAUUUUCUAAAUUUACGAAAAUAUCUAAAAGUGAUGACCCUAACCUUAUAAUUAUCGUAUGGUAAUGCCAAUUUUGUGAAAAAAAUGAGUGUUAUGAAAUGUUUUUUUAAAUGUUUUUGUCGAUUUUUUUAAUUAAAAUAUCUUUUAAAUAACCCUAUGAUAUUUAGAAAUAGAAAAUUAUAAUAUUAGGGAGAAAAAAAAAAGAUGAUUAUUUGAAUUUAAAAUUCUAGGGAUGUAAUUAUAAAAUUGUUAUAGUUUAAGGGUGAUUAGAAGAGUUGGUGGGCGCGUGAAGCAUAAUUCCAUACCUUUAUAACGAAAUUUGCCAGUUUAAAGGACACAAUAAAUGCUUCAUUAAGAAGUAACCAAAGCAAGACCAAAUACAUCAUAAUAAUAAUUCUAGGGGUUAUUAUUUGGACUUUCUCUCAUUUUUUUCCUCCCACGUUUCAUAUAUUUCAAAGUCAUCAAGAAAAUUAAGGUGAAUAUAAAAUUUAUUAUUUUCGAGCUUUAAACAAUUUGAUCAAGUAUCAACAUUAUAAUUUUUUUUUUUUUAAUCUUUUACUUUUAAGGUUACUAUUUUGUGACUAGGAGUUAUCAAUUUCUAUUCAAAUACUCAUAGUUAAAGUUUAUUUGAAAUUUUAUUAAGAUAAGAGUAUUCUUUAAAGUUUUUGAAUUUUUUUAAACGAAAUUUCAACAUUAUACGAAUAUCUUCAAACUUUUUUUUAAUUAUUUUAAUUCUUAAAAUCUUUUAAACUUGAAAAGCACUUUCCAGGUAAAAUACAAAAGGUAAAGUUCAUUGAAAUUUUUAAAAAAUUUAUAAGUUUCACGAAUAUUGUUCGAAAAAAGAAAAGGGAAGAGUACGUGGUAGUUAACAAGGAGUAGAAUAGAAGAUAAUUAUUUUAUAUACUUCUUAAAUAUUGAAAUAGUUUUAAAAUUAUUUUUACUAUGAAAGGUAAUGAUUUGAAAAUCAAAUUUGCAAAAUAAAUUGUAAUUAAAUUUAAACUAUGAUUCCCAAAGGAACCAUUAGUACUCUUUUUUCUUUAUAGCUGUAGUGGACCCCAUCACUCACACAAUCCGUACAAUAUCCAUCUUCUUCUUCUUCUUCUUCUUCUUAUUCUUCUUCUUCUUCUUCUUCUUCUUCAAAUGCUCCAACACCAACAACAAUGGUGGGGUUAAGCGUGGUUUUAGAAUCCAACCAAGGAGCCUACUCCACCUCCAUCCUUCUCUCAAAUCUCACCCUCAACUACUCUAAAUCCUCUCUCACCAAAACCCCCUCCUUUCGCCUCCAUUCCUGCUUCCUCUGCAAACGCACACUCUUGCCUGCAAAUGAUAUCUACAUGUACAAGUAAUUUCAUUCAAUUCCCCCUUUUCUUUUCUCUUUUUUGUUUCCUUUUUUAUAAAUAUAUUUAUGUUUAUCAAUAUAUAGAGGAGAUAGGGGAUUCUGCAGUGAGGAAUGCAGGCGCAAACAGAUUUUCAUGGAUGAAGAAGAGAGUUUCAUGAAAGACAAUAAUUCUCGUAAAACCCCGUCGUCUUCGAGCUCUGAAUCUUCUUCUUCUUCUUCAAUGGCGGCGGCGGCGGCGAAGGGGAAGGGGAAGGCGGCUUCUAGGAGUAAUAAAUAACUGCAAAAGUGGGAGGGGACAGUUUUGAGAGGGUUUCGGAUGAAAAUUACGGAAGUACCCUUAGGUGUAAUUUACUAAAUUACGGAUGAGAUGAGAGACCCUAAUCUAACACUCCUACUUCCUUUGUUUGGAAUUCAAUAUAAUCCUCAAGUUUAAAUACUACGUUGCUUCUCUUCCUUUUUCUUUAAUCUCUGUAAUUUUACUUUUUAAAUUGAGUUUGAGGGUUAAUUUUGAAGGAAGUAAUUAAUAGUUGAAUUAAUUAGGGUUUAUAGGAGGUUGGAGGGUAAUUAUGUAACUUGGUAAAAACAAUGAGGUUAAUUUUGUUUGCUCCCUAGAAGAGAAGCAAUUAGGAAGAAAGGAAGAGAAGGGAAGGUGAAAUCUCCCACAUUUUGGCAACUACCCUUCUUCUGACACUUAAGUUUGGCUUUUUCUUUGCCUCUUUCUUACAAAAGGACUGAAAGGACUAAGAGGGUAAGUUUUUUGGGGGGGCACACAAACCCCCUUUUUGGAUUUUUCCCUUUUUUUUUUCUUUUUCUUUUUCUACUUUUUUGCUUACUUACCUUAAUCUUUUUUUUUCUUUCAAAUAUUACUUUGGAUUUUGCCAGAAAUCAACAAACUAUUUUGUAUUUUUUUAAUGUAUUCAUUUUAGUUGGUGUUUGAUUUGUUUAUAUAUUCAUUAUAUUGCCACAUUUAGUUUAUUGAGUUUAUGUAAUUUCAAAAGGAAUUUGUUUUUGGUUGUUAUGCUUUUACUUUUGGUUUUUUUUUUUUUUUUUGUUGUUGGUGUACUUUUCAAAUGUUUAUUUUGGUCAUAGUUUUUUUAAUUUUGGUUAAUUUAGGGUUUGGAAUUUUAAAUAGUGACAAUUUUGAUUUUCUUAAUAAAAAUGAAAUGAAAGUAGAAAAUUGUAAUGAUUAUUUUGAAAGUAUAAAAUCAAAAUAAAGCAAAGCAGAAGAAUAAAGACACCAAAUCUCUUUAAAUUUGUGUUUAUUUAUAUAUAUAUAUAUUUUUUAUAGCUUUUAGAGGUAUUUAAUGGAAUUUUAAUAAUUAAAAACAAAUGUUUUUUUUAGUAAUGAAGUUAAUGCAUGAAAAUAAGAAUCAAACAUGUGGUUUUUAGAUGAUGGUUGGAUUAAGAAUGUAUGAGGCUUAAGUUUAUUGUAAAGUUGCAAAUAUUAAUUUAGAUGUGAGUGAACAUGUAAGGUGUUAGAUGCCAAUUUUUUGUCGACAAAAAAAAAAAAGCGUAUUUAAUCUUUAUUAACGGUAAAUUUGUAAUUUGAAAAGAAAAUGACUUGUAAACUUAGGUCGAUAAGAGAACUAAAUAAUAAAAAAGAAGUAAGAAAUUCAAGUUACGUUUAGUGGAACCAUAAUGAUAUGUUUACGGAUGUAGUUGAUCUAGAAAUUCCUUUUCUUAUAAUUUUUGACUUAUUAUAGGUUUAUCCUUCGACUUAUUGGACUUAAAUGUGUGAGGGCUGCGCUUUGUUUGACAUUUUGCUAGGUUCGUCCUUGGCCAAGGUUGAGGCCUAGCGUACCUCACUUUAGUUAUACUUUGGGUCUAAAUAGUCAUUCAUGGAUGCCUCAUUAGGUAUUUGAUGAGGCUUGACCUUUGUUCAACCAAGUCUUUUCCUUUAGGCUCAUUUUUGUCUUAGCUCGAAUCGUGUUAUUAUUUUCUCAACUUUGUUUUUGAUGUUUUUGACAAAUGUAAUUUGGUCCAAAAUCACCCAUAACAAAACAAAAGGAAUUUGAUUCUAAAAACUUUUUGAAAUAUAUUAAUUUGUAUUCUUAAAUUUUGAAUUGUAUAUCAAAAUGAGCAUAGAUCAACAGACAUAAUAUUUAUACUAUCAAUCUUGAAGUCGGAAGUUUGAUUCUCUCGCAGUACAUAUUUAAUCCAAUACCUUACAAAUAAUAAUAAAGAUUGUAUUCCAAUAAAACCCUGAAUUAAUAAUUUUAUUAAUUUAAAUUUAGUUAUUUGGAUUGCAUUGGAGAAUCCUCACUGAUACAACGAUCUCAACACAUAUUAAAUACUAGUCAAGAUAUAUGUUCAAUUUUAUAAAAUACAUUAAGAUAAGUCUCUGUUUCAUAAUUGCUAACACAUAUAAAUGUAAAUGUAAGUUAAAUUUUGUGUUCACUUCAACAUACAUACACUAAUCUGCAUAAUAUACAUGUUUAUCAACCCUACAAGUAAAGCUAGGUUUAAACGAGACAUAUGAUGGGCCAACGACUCAAAAUGAAUUCAGAAUAUCAACUCGAAACUCGUGAUGAUAUAGAACGGCAACAAAUGCAAUCAACACAGAGGAAAGUGAAAAACUACUUUUGAACAUAAUGCCUGUGAACAAAGCUGAUUAUGUCUAAUAUAAAGGCUAAAGUGUCCUAAGCAAAAUCAUUAGGUACAAGAAAAAAGAGAGGUGCAAAUGGGGAAGGCUGUCUUGUCCACAAAGGAUAUCAUCAUUUGAUUAAACUGCGAUGAUCAUAAAAUCAGUUAAUAAGAUUCAUUAAUCUGCAUAAUAUACAUGUUUAUCAACCAGAUUUGAACAACAAAACUGCCUUUUGAUCCAAGUAGAAGUAAACGAAGUGGUUUGUCUCGUGUGUCACGUACGAACCUGUCGUAGAAACACCACAAAGUUCAACAUUCAGGAACAUGGUCUAAUCAACACUGAUUUAGAUAGCUACAUAAGUUCUGAUUGUAAGCGAAAACCACAAUCCUAAACCACUUAAAUGAUUGACUUUCAUUUCAAUGGCCACUACUCAACAUGCAUCAAUUUGGGAAGCAUUUAGGACACUGAAUUGAUUAUUAUACUAAGUAGGUUUAAAGGUUAAAAUAGUUUGCUUUUGAGGUGGAAACUAUUUUAGUAUGGGUGGUAAAUAGUAAACGCUAUAACAAAGAGAGAAAGAGAGAAUAUAAAAAAAAGUAACAAAGAAGAAUUUGAAACGGUAAUAAUGUAGCUAAUUAUAGGUUAUAAUAAUUGAAAACAUCAACUAGCCCCAAACUUAACUUGAGGUGGAAUAUAAUACAAUAGACUCCACCCACUUAAAGUUGGUGGUUCAAACACCCCAUUGAUGUCAAAGAAGGUUGUUUUCAUUCACAAGAUAAUCUCCAAUUUUUAAACCUUCUAUGAUAGACUUGUGUCACAGUAUUCACCUUGUCGGGUGCAACUCAUAAUUGGUAUUUGCACCAGAUUGAUGUUACAAAUGUCUUCACUCACAAAGAUCAAUAAAUUUACAUUGAGCAACCAUGAGGUUUUGUUGCUCAAAAGUAGAAUAGACAAGAUAUGGAACAUUUAGUUAGAAGUUGCGAAACUUGAAUGAAGAAUAGUAAGCCUAAUUACUAGUCAUACAUGUUGAUAAUGAUAACAUUGUCAUUGACAUUGACCACUCGGGAGGUUUCAAGAAAUAUCAAGAAAUCCACUCUUUUCUCUUGUUUAAUGCAAUACAAGGGAAUUGAAAGCAAUUUGUAAGCAUUUUCAGACCUUGACCAAAUUAUACAAGGGAAAAAGAGGGAGAUAAAUGUUCUGCACGAACUUGAUUAAAGUUAUGGAGGACAGGUUAGACUCUCUCACCCUCAAGAAAGGAAGGGAGCCUUUUCCAUUGUUCACCUUGACCUUCAUUAAUUAGGUUGCCAACUCAAAACCAAAAACAAAAUUAUUGGCCUUGAGAAACGUUAAACCACCUACCAUGGGAAUCAGCUUUAAGGGGUUCUUGUGCUCAGGGGUUUGAGAUAACUUCUAGAAGAGCCGACAGUUUCAGUUUCUUUUCCUUUCCUUUGGAAAAUAAAUGAAAUACAACAGCCUCAAAAUAAACAACCAAAGACAGACAAAGGACUACUGACUACCCUUGUUCUAAGUAGAGGAUAACCACCCACCCCGGAAAGUUCGCAAACCAAAAUAACUCCUUGUCUUCCAUAAAAAAAAGACCCAUUCAACUCAACAACACCCUCUAAUUCAGCAGCAACCAGGACAAGUUAAAGUUUUAGUUUCUUUUUCUAGUUAACUUUGUGUCAACCUAUUUACAACACGACUAAUCUCAACCGUGACAAGUGAUAAUGAGGCAGUCACAUAUAAUAACCAAUGGGUGCCGAUUUAAAAAAAAGAUGCAUGCCACUUAAUAACUUUUGCCUAUAAAUUCAAGAUACUUUUCUCUCAUACAUCCAAUAAUAAGAAACCAUUCACUACAUUGUUGCAGCCUAACGGAAUAAUUUCUCGACAAACACCAACCAUCUUCAUAACAGUAAAUUAGUCCAUGGUGACUGUGUGUUCAAAUUUCACGAAAGACUAACAACAGAGGAUAGAAGGAAAGGGAAUGGACAAAAUUGAGAAGAAAAAAUUUCAAGUUCUCUGUAAAAGUUACUCUUUACAACUCUAAAUUAGCUCAAUUCAAUUAAAUCUUGUGGAAGGACUGGUUAUUUAUUAAAUGCAGGUAAUCUAACCAGAUCAAACAUUACUACCAAGCAACCUAAAAACAUAGAUCUAUUUCAUUCACAAAGUAAACCUUCGCACCAAAGUCGAAACAAGAAGGCACAUUAUCAAGCAGAAAAAUCACAAACAACGUCAGCUGAAUUUUUAUAGGAAGAGGAAGAUCAGUUACCAAAAUUACGGCCAACAAUGCAGUGCCAGGUCGGUCCAUGUCUCUUAUCAAACUCUUUCUUAAUACACUCUGCUAUAUCCUUCUCUACACUAUGCUUUUCAAAUGCCUGAUACAAAAAUCCACAGAAGAUCAUGAGAAAGAACAACAGUCCAAAAAUGAAAUUCAAAUACGAAAUUAACAAACCAAAAAAAAAAAAAAAAAAACGAUCGAGAAAAGAGAACUUACAGCUAUAGCGACAUCAAUAGCCUUUUUCUGCACAUCACCAAACAUAUCGGCACUCUUGAUAACAAUUUUCUUCCCAGUAGUGGUGAC